RNAcentral lists this long non-coding RNA (91146 nucleotides) under Nicotiana tabacum (common tobacco). RNAcentral's name for it is "long non-coding RNA (NTAB_LNC018192)". The record is from RNAcentral. Lineage: Eukaryota; Viridiplantae; Streptophyta; Magnoliopsida; Solanales; Solanaceae.
UGCCUGAAAAUGAUGUGAAAAGGAUACGGCUAUGAGAUUUUUAGUGUAUGCAUGUAACAGUUUGACGUUUGCUGGUGGACUUUCUGCACUGAUAUCUGCUUUUCAAAUAAUAGUAUACCUCUAUUUAAGUCGCUAGGCAACGGGCUAUGCAGAUCUGCAUUUCUUUUUAUGAUUUUUGUUGGCUUUUUUAUUUUCUUUUGGGGGGAGGGGGGAGGUGGGAGGGGGGAGCGGGUGUCAUAGCAUGUGAUGAUCUUGUCUUGUCUUAGCUUCCCAUUGUUCAUUAUUCCUACAUUGUCACAAGAGAGUUGAUUUCAGUUCAAUUUACCCUAAGUUAGAGGGAGAACUACAAUUUCUACAGGUCUUCGGGUGUAAUUGCUGGUUUUAGAACAAGUAAAUUUGAAAGUGCUAUAUGUUCUUGCACGAAGACACAUGAAAUGAGGUUUUGAUCACCAAUAGUGUUUGAUCCGAGCAUAAUAGAUUGAUCAACCGAAGAGGAACUCUCUAUGAUAUCUCAAAACUUUGUUGGGAUCAAACACACCCUCAAGUAUACGCGGUCAAUAAGUAAUAAUAGUGAUAAAGUAAAGUAUUGUUCCAAUGAGAACUUAUAAUUAACAAUCAAUUAAAUUAAACUAGUAUGAAUUAUCUAUUUAAGUGAUUCCUUAAGUUGUGGUUAUUAACUAAGCUAUUGCAAAAAUUAUAAAGCAAUUAAAUAUACUAGAGAUAUAACGAAACACGUAGGCAACAUAGCAUAAAAAUUAAUAGGAGAAAACUUUUCAAGGUUAUAGGUUAGCUAACAAUCUUGUUGAGUUGUUUAAAUUGUCUAAUUGAUUUGUUUGGUUUCUUGAUUGAUAAAGUUAAUAUUACUCGCAAGAAUCUUUCGAGUCCUGACUUGCAUAUUCAAGUUAAUCUUAGCAUAUAACAAGAAUGUGUUUAUUAUUCAUGCAUAAUAACCAAGUAAGAUGAUUAAGUAUAUGUCUAUUCUAAUUGUGAAUUCGUUCCUUAAUGUCCAGGUUCAAGAACUUGUUUUUUUUAACCUUAUGUGCAAGUUAGUAUUCACUUUCGAGUUCAACUCUAGAUUCGUAGAUAGUAUUUCAAUGUUAGCUACAAAGUAAAAUAAUUAAGCAUAAGAUUAAAUAAACAAAAUCAAUACCGUAAUCAAAGUAGUCAAUUCAAACUUCAAACGUCAACAUACAUUUAGCAUCCAUAACGAACGAGCCACUCAUGCUAACGAUCGUAUGAAUGUUUGAAAGCAUAAAACUAUGGAUGAGAAGAGAAAGGAAGAAAAACUCUAUGAUUUUCGACUUCUAAAUUGCUCUAGCAGCGUUUCUCCUUCACAAGGGUCGAGAUCCCCCUAAAACGAGUUUAAGAGUUAUUUAAAGGUGGUGUAAGAAAAAUCUUAGUUGAUUUUAACCAAGUCCAACCAAAGUAUGAAAGAGUUGGCUUCAAGAAUAUACUGGUCGCGCCGCACUGGGAAUCGUAGCUGAUCCAAGUGAUGUAGUGGUUGCGCCGCGACUGGAAACACAACCUUCUCAGGUGUUGUUAUGUCCAAAAAUAGUUAAUAAGAACUUGAGGGAUCAUAUUGUAAAGAAGUAGAAGUCCAUACAGUAUCGCUUUAAUAAGUGAAUUAUUAGUGAAGAGAGAAUAGAGACUCAGUGUCGUUUUGUGCAAGUGAGUUAGUUAAUUGUUGUUAGCAAGUUGUUAGACGGUUUGGGAAAUAGUUAGUAAUUGAUUUGGGGAAAUUGGGUUUAAAAGGAAAAAUUCAUUUGUCUAUUGGAAGCAGUUGAAUUCGAAUGACUCUUUUUUUUCUCUCUAGCUUUCUACUUCUUCUCUCAAUCUUGAAUCCCAAUUGCAACCAAUUUCUGUUCAGGAACUCUUCUUCUCAAAGUUCUUUAGGAGAUCAUUGUUUCACUUUAGCUUACUUCGAAUCAAGUUGUAUCAUUUGGUAUCAGAGCCACUGCUCCUCAGAGGAACAUAACCAUGAGAGAAUCACGUUACACAGAGCUUCGUAAAGAAGUUGAUAGUAUUAAGGAAUCCUUUGAGGAAUUCAGAAAAUCUAUGGAGGUCCGACAAGCUCAGUCCAUGGAGGAACUCAAGACUUUUUUAGGUUCUUGGAUGAGUGAAUAUAGACCUACAACGAGUGAAAAUCGUCCUCAAAAUCCUAGAGGAAGUCCGAAUCUUGAAGAGCGGCAUAUGGAAGCUUCAGACACUUUGGUUACUCGCAAGUGUCAAAUUGAGUCCCCAAAAUUUGAUGGGAGCGAGUUGAGAGACUAGGUUUCCAAAAGCAAGCAAUAUUUUGAUAUGGAAAAUACAUCAGAAAAUUCGAAGGUCAAACUAGCAUCAUUGCAUCUGGAAGGAAACGAUUGCAUCAAAGGUACAUGAAAAGCAAGAUUACUCGAGAAUGACCAACAUGGGUGAGUAUGUUAAAGCUCUUUGGUAGAUUUGGUACUGCAUUAUGAUGAUCCAAUGGGUGAUUUGAAAGAUCUUAAACAAACUUCUUGUGUACAAAAUUAUGUUGUAUUUGACGAGUUGUUAGCUAGGGUAGAAUUAAGUGAGGAGUACAUCGUUAGUUGCUUUAUAAGGGGUUUAAAAUUUGAGAUUGGUCUCCAUGUGAAAAUGUUUUAGCCGAGAACUUUACAAAAAGCCAUAAGCCUAGCCAAGAUCCAAGAACAAACCUUAUCCUUACCUAAAUAAUUUUUCAGAUCCUUUUUUUUACUACCAACAACCAGAUUAGCCCCAUCUAAGCCCCCCACAAUUUUUCCUUCAAGUUCAGGAUAUAAAAUUCCAUCAAAGGGUCCUAAAAUGUUGAGCCCUGCUGCAAUAGAGGAAAAGAGGGUUAAGGGGCUAUGUUUUUAUUGUGAUGAGAAGUACUCUCCUAGUCAUCAAUGUUUUAGGAAGAGACAACUUUUCUAUAUGGAGUUGAGUGAUGAUUGGUGGGAAGGAGGGAAAAAAGAGGACAGUCCACAAGGAUGGAGUAUGAUGAAAUGGCUUCAAAAUGGGGAGCAUGAUGAGAAAAAUGGGUCUGCAAUGAUUCCUCAAGUGUCUGUGCAUGCUAUAACUAGGUCGAUGGAUUAUAGGACAAUGAAGGUGACUAGAUUGGUGGGUGGAAAGGUGUGCACUUCUUGAUUGAUAUAGGAAGUACUCAUAAUUUCUUGAAUCUGAAUACAUCAAAAAGAUUGCAGUGUUUCCUGCAGGAAAUACCUCCAUUUGCUUACAGUAUCAGACAUGAAUAUGGUGUACAGUACGUACAUGCAUGAAGGGUUUUCUUAGAGGAUGCAAGGUGUCGACUUUGCUACUAACAUGUUGAUAUUACCAUUGGGAGCGUGUAGUGUAGUUAUGGGAAUUCAAUGGUUGAUUACAUUGGGGGAUAUCAAGUGGAACUUUAGAUAGCUGAAGAUGGAAUUCAUGAUUCAGGGGAAGAAUGUUAUGACCCAACUCCCACCGGAGGCGUGAUAGCGCCUAACAUCGCUUGUUUGGCAAGCCAACAACAAAUAUGUGGAAGUAGACCUCAAUAAUAAUAAGAAAUAGUCUCAAAACCGGAAGGGUAUAAAUAAUAGAAGUUAAAAAUGUCAGUAAAAUGAAUUCACUCCAAAAUCUGAUGUUUCAAAGUAUAUGAGCUCUGUGGAAUACUAAAUACAAAGUCAGAACAAUAUACAAUACUGUAUGGAAGACUGAACAGUAAGAACAUAAGAUAAAAGGGAGGACCCCGAACGAAACAGAUGUGCUACCUCGAAAUCUCUAGUCUAAUCCGCAUACAGCUAACUAGCAACCACUGCUAUCAACAACACUUGCAUGUGCACACAAAGUACAGAGUGUAGAAAUAGUACAACCGAUCACAUGUACUCAAUAUGUAGCAAGCUUAACCUCCAGCUGAAAGUAGUGACGAGCUUGGAAAGGUCCGAUGCUCAUUAUCCACAACCAACAAUAGCAAUAACGGCAGAAUAAUAGCAUAUAAAGAAAAGCAGCUAAAAUUAAAACAAGCUUAGCUUAACACAACAUGAGGAAAACUACACAUGCUUUUUAGAUAUAAUAGUCAAGGCAUCAAUUUCCAUAGAAUUCACUUAGACAGGUAAUUAACAAGAUACAACUAUAAUAUCAAGCUCUAAACAUCAAUUGGAGACAUCAAAUACGAAUUAACAUGAGGAAUAAAAUAACUAUAUGCCAGCAUGCUAGUCAUACAUGCCAAAUCAACCAAGAAUCACAGUUUAAAUAUCAGAUAUACGGAAUCUCAUCACGUUAAAAGUGACUGGCACACAGUGCUCCUCAAUCAUAGUCUCAGCACUCUCAGGUUACCCGUCAAGAUGCCCAUGGAUCCUCACACACGAACAUAUGCACACUCUCAGCACUAUACGGGUGCCUAACAUAAGUCCCUCACCCAGCACGUAACGUGUUCCUACACUCAAGAGUCCUAGAGACUAUGGGUUAUCACCUAACUCCGAAGGGCGAAUUUUAGCCUAAGAGUUGAUCAGAUCAAAGUCAACGAUCAUCACAACGCAACCCAAAUGGCCUGGCGCAAGCGUUAACUCAAUAUCAAUACAACUCAUCCUAAUAGGGGGCUGUCACAUGCGUCACAUCAAUAUCAAUAUCAGUAUCAAUACAGCUCUAUGGCCCCAACUCAGUCAUUAAUUCGCUCAGAUCUCAAUAUGCUAAUAUCUCACAGUGUCAAAAUCAAUUUACCCCUUGGAUUAUGCCAACGUGCCACAAAUCCACUCAAAAUCAUAUCACACACGUAAGGAUGCUAACAACAUGUAAGAAGUAUACGAAAAUGAUGAUAUAACAUGCAGAUGUAAUAUCAUGACCGAAAGGUAUGAUUACGUCUAAGAUAAAUAUCUUUGCAUAGCAAAAGUAGCCCUAUCAUGCCUCAACAAAUAAGCAAAUAGCCUAGACAUGAUUCCUAACACGAAUAAUAGCCCACGUAAUUAUACAAGUGGAGAAAACAGAUAUCAAAUAAGCAUGAUAGCAAAAUAAGGCAUAUAAUGGCCUAAGAACUACUCAGAUCAUGAAUAACCACGAUGCACGCAUAUACACACGUCAUCUCACAUAUAUGUCACCCCCAACACAUAACAAAUAUCAUAGUCGAUGGGGAAAUUACCCUCAAACCAAGCUUAGGCAAGAUACUUACCUCAUCCAGGCUAGUUUUCAACCCCGAAUCGCAUCAAAACCUUGAUCUAGCUUUCCAAUCACGAAAAUCCAAGCAAAACAUCAUCUAAGAAAGUCAACAAUGCCAUAAAAAGCGAUCCCAAUCCAUAAAUCUUCGAUCAUUGAAGAAAUUCCCAAAAGUCAGCAAAAGUCAACACCAGCCCACGUGCCCGAAAUCUGAAACCAACACCAAAAUUCUAUGACACAUAACCUGUCGAGUCCAAAUAUUUAAUUAGUUUCCAAAAUUGAGUCCAAAUCGAUACUCAAAUCUCCAAAAUACACUCUCUUAAAGUGUAGACAAAAAACCCCCAAAAUAUGGGUAAUCAAGAUAUAAAGCCAAUUUCAAGUGCAAAUUGCUUACCUCCAAUGAAGUAGUGAAAUUUCUCUUCCAAAUCUCCUCUUCUCGAAGUCUAGGGCUCAAAAUAUGAAACACUUAACAAAGUCCCGAAAUUGGAAACUUAAAUGCACUAUCCAGCAGUACCCUACGCGAUCGCGAUAGCACCCUCGCGAUUACUAAUGUCAAUCUGCCUCCAUCCCAGCUAUGCUUCGCAAACGCGAUGCCUCCUACAUGAACGUGAAGGUCCACACUGCCUAGGCCUUCACGAUCGUGACGCUGCCCACGCGAAUGCGAUGUCCAAAACCCCACCUGACCACAAAGCUCCGCGAACGCGACCUCUUCAUCGCAAAUGCGAAGAACAAUUACCAGGGAUCGCAAAACACCCUUCAUAAUCGCGAUGCUCCUGGCGCGAUCGCGAAGCUCAUUAGAACAGCACUAGAAAUCAGCAAUGUAACACAACCCGAAAUGGUCUGAAACUAUCCCGAAACUCACCCAAGCCCCUCUGGACCCCGUCCAAUCAUACCUAUAAAUCCAAAUACAUUAUCCAAACUUUUCUAAAGGCUCAAAACACCACGAUUAACGUCAAAACAAAGAAUCAUCAAUCAAGAUCAAUCUCUUAAGUACAUAAACUUCCAACGUCUCUAAUUUAAGUCUAACCAAUCCAGAAUGAAUCCAAACUUUGCACACAAGUCCCAAAUGAAAAAAUGGACCUAUUCUAAUUCUUGAAACAACAAUCCAACCCAGAUAGCCUCAAAGUCAACUCCCGGUCAAAUUUGUGAACUCUCCAAUUCUUUAAAUUGCCAACUUUUGAUAAAUAGAGCCAAAACCUUAUAGGAACAUCCAAAUUCGAAUCCUAACAUACUUCCAAGUCCAAAAUCACCAUACAAACCUAUUGAAACCAUAAAAUUCUAAUUCCGAGGUCGUUUAUUCAAAAGUUAAACUUUGGUCAACUCGUCCAACAUAAAGCUUCCGAAUUGAGAAUUACCCUUCCAAAUCAGCUCUGAACCUCUCGAAAGUCAAACUCAACUAUACACGCAAGUAGUAAUGCAUAAUAUGAAGCUACUCAAAGUCUCAAACCUUCGAGCGAAGUGCCAAAGUUCAAAAUGAUCAGUCGAGUCGUUACAUUCUCCCUCACUUAAAUAUACGUUUGUCCUCGAACGUGCCAAGAGUCGUUUCAAAGCUGCCAAAUCACCGUAUGACUCAUCAUACCCAUACCCGUGGGUGUCUCACGUCACCUCAAACCACAUAAGGCCAUUUACACAAUCCAGACUAAAAGAUUUUCCAUCAGCCUUAGCUUAAGGAUCCAUAGCAAAAUCUUCUAACCACAAUAGCUUCUCAUUACCAAAUACGAUACCGGUAAUAUACCUCAUGACACAUAAAACCUUGCUCCAACGUUUGCAAUACUGCAAAUGAUGAAAGAAAUAUGUAAAAACUUAUAACCACCCAUCAAAUCAACAAGUCAUGGAGUUCUCUCACUCAACAAGAACCAUUACCAAAUUCGGAGCUGAUUAGUGACAUUCUUCCUCCAAACAAACAUUAUACAAUAUCAAUUGCACUGAUUCCAGAUCCAAUAGCCUCGUCUCACCCAGUACAAGCUGCUAUACCAACGGCCAUAUCAAAUACAAUCAAGAACCUCAUACAAUGCAAUCCAUGCGUCAGCAAUCAACCGUUCGAAUAUGACCAGUAAUGGAAAAAGAACCAAGACGGAACUAUCCAACAAGUUCAAUAAAUACAAUAUCAAGAGCGUAAUGCUAUGAAUCCAUCCCACAAGGGAGAAAAACACACACAAAAUGAACACGAGGAAUCAUAUCCAACAUAAUCUUGUUGCAACGUGCAACCCGGUCCACACAUAAUACCGUGCGGCAUGCAACCCGACCCACAUAUAUCACUCUAUAUGAGAGUACCCACCGAGCCAACAUGCUCAUACCCACUAAACACAUGUGUAGCUGCAACAAGCACGUAUAGUGCAUAAACACAACCGUGGGGAGACAGAUAGCAUAAUGCGCUACAGAAAAGGCCAAGUACGACUAAGGUGUAAUAAGCAGAUCAACAUCUCAUGAGCCAUCUCUCUCAAAUAUUGUCACAAGACCUAAAUAGAACCACAACAUGUGUGUGAAUAACCAAGUAGUCUCGCAACCCAUCAUGACACAAAGAAGUAACACAUGAAACAUAUCUAAGGCGUGAAUAGCAUUCAUUCUGCCCGAUAACACACCCAUAGAAAAUGGUACACUGAAUACGCGAAUUCAAUCCAAUGUAGAAUACACACCCUUACUAGGCCUACCAAUGAGCCUCCAAACCAAUUUGGGUCAUUCCAAAAAUAGGUCAAUAGCCUUCUAAAAGUCCAUAGUGACCCCAUCCAUGACACAUACGAUCAACUGUCAAAUCCUGAAUACACUUCCAUAGUCCGCAACCAGAGGAAUAACCUACCUCUCUGAAAUAAAAUCUCCAAACCGAGAGAGUACCAAAAUCUCCAUACCCGAUCCCUAACUCUUCCAUUCAAGUGACUAACACACCAUGUAGACACAACCAUCCCAUAGGAGAUACUCCCAUAACCCUUCCGCACAAGCAGCAAAACCUAAACUUCACCGGCUACCAACCAUGCGAUCUCUACAAUACUAGUCAAGCAUCCGCAAUCAAUACACAAUGCACCGUCCACAAAACACACCCUUCCCAAGCGAUACUGAAGACAAUACUAGCAUUCUCUCAACAUUAGAUGUUUCCCAUGUUGUCUAGAACUCAUAAUACUCCUUUCAAAACCAAACUACAACCUUGUUCAUGCAAUCCCAAUUCCACACCGCUCACUGCAUCAAUCAUGCUAAUAUGCAAAAAUACGAUAAUCCCAUUAUCAACUCUGAUUCACAGACAGGAUAUACACUCCAUCAACUAGAAACCUUUCACUAAGCUCAGUUUAGGAGAAAAUCACCAUGCAACCAAAUUCCCAUGCUUGUAGAGGACAACAAUUGCAAGUCGUGGUUGAAAUCAUCACAAACUCUUCGAAAUCCGUAUGCACAUAACGAGGCCAGCCGAACCGAAUACCUCUAAAUCACCCAAGUCACACAGACUAUUAAACCCGACAGUAUUACCACAAAGACACUUAUAAAGCCCUUUAAUACCAAAGAAACCGAUCAUUUCCAUUACCAUGCUGAACCAAACCACCGCUAAACAAACCCAACUCCUUCAAAUUACUCAUGACCCACCUUUACGGCAAUGCUACUCUUCCCAAUUUUAUUAUGGACCUCAAUCAAUACUCAUCCCAGGUGAUCCCGAUGUGAAAUCUCGUUGUCCCAAGACUCGUAAGCCACUGUGUUUCCCCCAUUGUACGUCCAAUAGUACCUCAAAUUGAAAUACCUGCUCUGAAGAGGCCCUCUAUAAAUUUGAAGUUGUCUCUUUCAUCUCUCAAACACUGCCUCACAGAAUUGAUAAUGAUAUAGAAAUGUUCCAAGUCCUUUCCGCAAUCCAAUGUAAAUCUCAAAUCUCCAGUCAUACACAAACCCAAAAAUCCUUAGAUACCACGUAUUGUAUCUUGCAUCCAUUAAAACUUUCACGGGAGUCACCCACUCUGUAUUAGUGCUAUGUUAGCACGUGAAUACACCAAAAUGAAAUAACUGAGUGAAUCCUUCCCUUGCUCACUACCUCUACAGAAGAAUAUCAAACCUGAGUCCCUCCACAAUCUUCAUAUAUUACUAAGAUGAAAUACAACACACUCCUAGAAAUUCAUUGCUCAAAUCAUCCUCAAAGUCAUCCUCCUAAGAUCAUAUCUAAUCUCUAAGCGUCCCAUAGUCCAAAAUCUAUAACAACACAUAAUUAGGUAACUCAAUCACCGAUGGUAGACUCUCCCACUUGGCUUCAAGCCAAAAACACAUAAUCCAAGAACCCAUAAUGACCGCUCCUCUCGAAUUCAAUACCAAUACCAAAAUCCGAUUACUCAUAACAUACCGAGUCCAAAUAUGUAAUUAGUAUCCAAAAUCGAGUCCAUAUUAGUACUCAAAUCUCCAAAAUACACUCUCUUAAAGUAUAGGCAAAAACCCUGAAUUUCCUUUCAAAAUUCCACGUUUUAGGUGUAGAAAUUCAUAGGUAUUCAAGAUAUAAAGCCAAAUCUAAGUGAAUAUUGCUUACCUCCAAUGUAGUGGUGAAAUUGUUCUUCAAAAUCUCCUAUUCUCGAAGUAUAUGGCUUAAAAUAUAAAAUAAUGGGCAAAGUCUCGAAAUUGGAAACUUAAAUGCACUCUCUAGCAGUACCCUAUGUGAUCGCGACAGUACCCUCGCGAUCGCGAAGCCUAAUCUACCUCCAGCCCAGCUAUGCUUCUAGAACGCUAUGCCUCCUACGCGAACGUGAAGGUCCACACUGCCCAGGCCUUCGUGAACGGGACGUUGCCUACGCAAACACGAUGGCCAAAACCCCGCCUGACCACAAAGCUCCGUGAACACGACCUCUUCAUCGUGAAUGUGAAGAAAAAAUCACCAUGGACCCCAAAACACCCUUCGCGAUCUUGAAGCUCAUCAGAAUAACACCAAAAAUCAACAAUGCAGCACAACCCAAAAUGGUCUGAAACUAUCCCGAAACUCACCCGAGCCACUUGGGUCCUCGUCUGAUCAUACCAACAAGUACAAAUACAUUAUCCAAACUUAUCUAAAGGCUCAAAACACUACGAUUAUCAUCAAAACUAAGAAUCUUCAAUCAAGAUAAAUCUCUUAAGUGCAUAAACUUCCAACUUCGAACCAAGCGUCCGAUUCAAGUCUAACCAAUCUGGAAUGAACCCAAAAUUUACACACAAGUCCCAAAUGAUAAAACAAACCUAUUUUAGUUUUCUGAACAAUAAUCCAACCGAAUAGCCUCAAAGUUAACUCCCUGUCAAACUUGUAAACUCUCAAAUUCUUCAGAUUGCUAACUUUCAAUAAAUAGAGUCAAAACCUUCUAGGAACAUCCAAAUUUAAAUCUGAACAUACGUACAAGUCCAAAAUCACCAUAUAAACCUAUUGAAACUAUCAAAUCCCGAUUCCGAGGUCAUUUAUGCAAAUGCCAAACCUUGGUUAACUCCUCCAACUUAAAGCUUCCGAAUUGAGAAUUACCCUUCCAAAUCAGCUCCAAACCUCUUAAAAGUCAAAACCAACUAUACAUUCAAGUCAUAAUGCAUAAAAUGAAGCUACUCAAUAUUUCAAACCAUCGAAUAAAAUGAUAAAACUUUAAACGACCGGUCGGGUCAUUACAAAGAAAGUGUCACUCCGGGGCAUGCAACCUCCUGCAAUGAGAAUUGUGGAUCAAGAUUAAUUGAACAAAUUAUUGUCCCAGCCACCUUCUUUUUCCAUGAUGUCUGUGACCUUACUGAGAAUAAUCCUUGAGGCUGAUGUUUUAGAAGGAACCCUACAACAAAUGUCCAAGGAAGUGGCAGUCAAUUAGGAGAUGGUACGACUGGAGGAAGUCCUUCAUCAGUUUGCAGAUCUUUUUGAGGAGCCUAAGCGCUUACCUCCUCACAGAACUCAUGAUCACAGAGUAGUGGUGAAAGAAUGAAGCUCACCUGUUACUGUGAGGCCUUAUAGAUAUCCUGCAACACAGAAAGAGGAAAUGGUAAGAUUUGCUUAAAUCUGGAGUUAUAAGGCAUAAUACCAGUCCCUAUUCUUCACCAAUUGUAAUGGUGAAGAAUAAAUAUGGCACCUGGAUAAUGUGUAUUGAUUACAUGGAACUUAAUAGAACCACUAUGAAGGAUAAGUUCCCUAUACCAGUGAUUGAGGAACUUUUGGAUGAAUUUUAUGGGGCUAAAUUUGUCUUUGAAUUGGACCUAAGAUCAGGUUACCACCAAAUUAGUAUGGCUGAUGGAGAUAUGGCCAAGAUAGCAUUUAGAACUCAUCAAGGACAUUAUGAGUUCCAUGUGAUGCCAUUUGGGCACACAAAUGCACCCUCGACCUUCCAGAGCCUUAUGAAUCAGAUUUUUGCUGAGCAGUUAAGAAGGUAUAUUUUAGUUUUCUUUAAUGACAUCCUGAUUUACAACACUGAUUUGGAAAGCCACUAGCAACAUCUUACUUCAAUGUUGUCUAUUUUGAGGGCCCAUCAGUUAUUUGUUAAAAGGAGUAAAUGCAGCUUUGGGGUCCACCAGGUGGACUACUUAGGUCAUUUGAUAUCUCACAAAGGGGUAUCAAUAGAUCCUCAAACGGUAUCAAUUAUUGUAAAAUGGCAUUUACCUAAAUAUUUAAAAGCUUUAAGGGGAUUUUUAGGGCUUACUGGUUAUUAUAGAAGGUUUGUGAAGGUCUAUGGAAUCAUUGCAAGACCCUUAAUAGACAUGCUGAAGAAGGAAUCAUUCCACUAGACCGAUACAGCUAAGGCAGCCUUUGAACUAUUGAAGAAGGCAAUGACCUCAAAUCCUGUCCUUGCACUACCAGAUUUUACUCAGGAUUUUGUUAUUGAGUCUGAUGCAUCUGAUAGGGGUAUAGGAGCUGUUAUGAUGCAACAAGGUUGACCAAUUGCAUUUUUCAGCAAAGGAGUAUCUCUUAGAUAUCAUGCCUUAUCUGUAUAUGAGAGGGAUUUGUUGGCUAUCAUUUCAGCAGUUCAGAAAUGGAGGCACUAUCUAAUUGGAAGACAUUUUACUAUUAGAACUGAUCAUCACAACCCAAAGUACUUGUUGGAGCAACAAAUCACCACCCCUAGCCAGCAAAAAUGGUUAGUUAAAUUGUUGGGAUAUGAUUACAAUUUCAGUAUACAAAGAGGAAAGACAACUUGGUAGUUGAUGCUUUUUCUUGAAGAAGUCAAGCUAAGAAGGAACCAAUUCAAUGUUGUAGUUUGUCUAGUAUUACCUCUCAAGUGUGACCUAGGAUUAGGGCUUCAUGGAAAGGAGAUGCACACUUACCGGAAAUCCUUACAUGUUUAAGACAAGACUUAGAGGUAAGGCCACCAUAUCAAUUGAAGGGUGAAGUACUGACUAAAAGGCAAGGUGGUAGUGGGUAAUGACCCUGCACUGAGGAAGGAGCUACUAGAAUUGCAUCACAACAGUUAACUAGGGGGUCACUCUGAAGCAAUUUUCUACUGGAAGGGGAUGAAACAAGAUGUCUACUCUCAUGUUCAAUCCUGUGACACUUGUCAGAUAUGCAAAGUUGAGAAUGUAGCCUCUCCAGGAUACUCCAGCCAUUGCCUAUUCCUGACAAUGUAUGGCAACACAUUUCUAUGGACGUCAUUGAAGGUCUUCCUCCUUCACAUGGGAAGACUGUGAUCUUUGUAGUAGUUGGCAGGUUGAGCAAAUAUGCUCUCUUCCUUAUCUUAAAACAUCUUUACACUGCUCUAGACGCGGCUCAAGUUUUUCUUGAUGGUAUUUUCAAAACUUUAUGGUAUGCCUCAGUCUGUAGUUUCUGAUAGAGAUGCCAUCUUCUUGAGUAAAUUCUGGCAAGAAUUCUUCAAGCUAUAGCCUGUGCAUCUCUACAUGUCCCCAUCUUAUCAUCCACAAAGUGAUGACCAAACUAAGGUUUUCAACAGGUGUUUGGAAUGUUAUCUUAGGUACAUAGUGGCUGAAAUACCUAGGGAAUCGUGUAAGUGGUUAUCCCUUGCAGUGUAGUGGUAUAAUACCACCUAUCACUCCUCAGCAAAGGCUUCACCUUAUGAGAUUCUGUAUGGGCAGCAGCCCCCUCCAUUGGUUCCUUAUAUGCCUUUUGAUUCUCAAUUAGAUGUUGUAGAUAGAAGUUUGCAGUCCAGAGAAGCCUUUAUAAGGGCAUUGAAAUUCCAUUUGAAUCAAGUUCAGUAGAGGAUGCGGGUGCAAGCUAACAAGAAAAGGUCUGAGAGAAUUCUCGCAGUUGGUGAUUGGGUGUACGUGCGACUUCACCCAUACAAGAACUUUCUCUGAAGUCUUAUACUUAUCAAAAGUUGUUUGCAAAGUACUUUGGACCUUUCCAGGUUCUCCAGAGGAUUUGUUCUGUUGCAUACAAGCUGGAUUUAUCAGCUGGUACUAAGAUUCAUUCUACAUUUCAUGUACCAUAACUGAAGAAACGAAUAAACUCAAUUAUAGUCUUUCCUACUAUUCCUUCUCAAGUAAUUGACCAUGGAGUAGUUCUUCUGGUUCCUGAAGCUAUUCGAGAGAGAAGGUUAAUUCUUCGACAUGGGAAACCAGUGGUCCAGGUGCUGGUUAAAUGGGCCAAUACAAUAGAAGAGGAAAAUUCGUAGGUUGAUUUUUAUCAACUAAAGCAGCAGUAUCCCAACUUUGAUCCUUGAGGACAAGGAUGUUCUUUGAGGAAAGGGUAUUUGCUAUGUCCAAAAAUAGUUAAUAAGAACUUGAGGGAUCAAAUUGUAAAGAAGUAGAAGUCCACAUGAUGUCGUUUUAAUAAGUGAAUUGUUAGUGAAGAGAGAAUAGAUACUCGGUGUCGUUUUGUGCAAGUUAGUUAAUCGCUAUUAGCAAUUUGUUAGACGGUUUGGGAAAUAGUUAGUAACUGAUUUGGGGAAAUUGAGUUUAAAAGGAAAAAAAUUAUUUGUCUAUUGGAAGCGGUUGAAUUCGAAUGAAAAUAACUCUCUUUUUUUCUCUCUAUCUUUCUACUUCUUCUCUGAUUCUUGAAUCCCGAUUACAACUGAUUUCUGUUCAGAAACUCUUCUUCUCAAAGUUCCUUAGGAGAUCAUCCUUUCACUUUAGCCCUCUUUGUAUCAGGUGCGCCACCGGGAACGAGGUGCUCAGUAUGGCACUGCCUCCAAGUGUGUUGCCCACUACGUCGCUCUCAAAGUGCAUCUGCUGCCUAACUUUGUUUUCCUUCAAAUCUUCAAUUAUUGCUACCUAAAUCAACUUUUCAUGUGCAUUCUUCUCUUCAUUAAACUCCAACUGUCACCACGUUAACUUGCUAAUUUUGGAGUCUUCCUCCAACCAAACUUUUUACUUUAGUCCAUCUUUUAAUCGCCCAACUCCUAGUCAUAGUUGACUUGCACAUCAGUUUGUCCCAUGUUCAUCAUUUUGCUCCAGAGUUGUGCACUUUCACUUCACUCGACUUUCAAUUGCUUCCACACAUAUAAACAACGCAAUAAGCUCAAAACUUCAAAAUGCACUUCAAAUAUUUACUAACACAACACUAAAAUGUGAGGCAAAUAACGUUAUUUUAUCAAACAUCAAUACCCCACGCUUAAGUUUUUGCUCGUCCUCGGGCUAAACUAACUCAAAACAUAUCACAAAAUUACACAACUUGGAAGAUCACAUAUCAAUUAAACACACUACACCCAUGACUAUGAUUGAUAACAACAAUUAAGCCAUAUAUUUUCUACACACUUCUCCAAAUUUAUCAUGCCAACACAGUUAAACAAUUCAAAAUAUUUAAAUACUUUGAUCUUAAUCUCCUAACCUUAAGAAAUGACUUAAUGCCACAAAGUAUUCUCAGGAACAAUAUAUAGAGUAUAGUAGAUAGCGCACACAUUAGAAAUAAGGGUUCAUAUUUUAUUCAAGGACUCACACAUAUGAAGAAAAUUCACUUGCUCUCACAAAGAAAUUCAUGUGUCAUCCAAAAGUCGUACUAUAGGCUUGCUCGUAGUGUAGGACUCGAUUGAUCUAAGCCUGUUAAAUGUAGGAUAAAAUAGGACUUCAAGGGCUGUAACGUAGGUUAAGGGACAAACAUGAUAUAUCUGAGAUAAUAAUGACUAACCCUCCUAAGCACUAGUUUAUACAAUACCAUUCACUUUCGAGCGCACAUUCAUCAUAACCAACUCUAUUGCCUUGCCAAGAGACCAUCACAUAUAAUUAGGCUCUUUCUCUUUAAGCACUUCAUAUCUUGGCAACUUACUAGCACGGAUCAAGUUGUAAGAGAGAUGUAUUUAUUUUUAAAAAAUUAAUAGAGCUCCCUAUCUUUGCAUUCCCGCUAGUAGUUCUUUUCUUACACAAAUGUAUCUUUCUUCCUUUCAGUGGUUUCACCAAAAGCUACCAAUUUUAAUCUUACUCUUUCUAGCGCUCAUUUUCGCGAUUUAAGUGCUUUCGGAGGUAAAGGUUCAUUAAAGAGUUUAUUAAGAACAAAAGGAUAUUGGCUUGUAAUAUGGGUGCCAAGGAAAAGGCUUACAGGCUCAAAAUGGUUGACUAUGAAUAACAUCAACAAUGGAGGGCAAAAGGCUAAAUAGGCUAAUCAAAGAAAUGCCAAAAUUAUCUCAUAGACUCAACAAGACUCGCUCAUUUCUCUUAGACCCACAUAUGAGACAAGUUCUAGACUAAUACGAGAUGCCACAAAAAUCAAUACUAAACCUCACUUCAUACAAUGCACAUGAUCCACUCUGGACGUUCCAUUCAAAUUCUCAAGUCAAAGCAAGUAUCCACAAAGCCAAUAAAAUAUCAAACAUAAAGCACUAAGACGAUACAACGAUUCAAGAAACUUAGAGUAGGUGUCACAAAACAGGCUAUUUAAUUUUCAAAGCACACAUAACCUCAAAGUUCAUGGUAAAGGUUAUCUAUAUGCCUAGACCUAACUAUACUGGUACCAAACAAGUCAAAAGAUCCCUAGAAAUCAUAUCAGUCUCUUUUUUAUUUAUUAACUACGUCCUAAACUAGUCUUAAAAACUAUUCGGUUUAAGUUAUAUUUCUUGAAAAAGAACCGAUGCACAAAAAAAUCAAGGAGAAUUAUUACAUACUAAAGUAAUCUAAAACUACCUAAGAAAGCAUAAAAUAUUUUUGUAGUUUUCUUUAAUUUUUAACCUUUUUUUGUUGGUAUUUUUCGAUAUCAGGAAAGUGAAAACUACUAAUGUAAUGAAGAGCUCACUAACCUUUAUGGGCCAUUAAUAGUGCGAGUAUUACAACCAAAACUAAGGAAAGCAAGAGACAAAUUAAAAAUAAAGUCAAGUGACUAAACAAAAAAAUACAACUAAUACGAAUACUACACUAAAGAUAAAAAAUAGUAAAGUGUCACGACCCCAAUUUUUCGACCUUAGGAUGUCGUGAUGGAACCUAGUCUCUAAUAAGACUAGAUAAGCCUAACAAAUGAGAGAUUAUGACAGAAAUAGAAGCUAAAACAUGAUAUAAACUAACAAUUCUCAUAAAUAUCUCGAUAACUGAAACACAACUACAAAAUCCGGUGACACUGAGCCAUAAGCUUCUACUGAAUGUUCCAAAACACCUACUAUAAUACCGUCUAAUAAAGGAAAACAACAAUACUAUAAAGAUAACGGAAGGUGACUCCGAGGCCUGCGGACGCCGAGCAGGUAUACGUUGAAGUCUCUGGCAAACAGCUACAAUCAAACACUAACGUCCAGCAUGAGCAGACGUACCUAGAUCUGCGCAAAAAGAUGUGCAGAAGCGUAGUAUGAGUAUACCACAAUGGUAUUUAGUAAGUAUCAAGCUUAACCUCGGUAGAGUAGUGACGAGGCCAGGUCAAGAUACCUACUAAGACAUAAUAACAGAAUGAAAACGUAAUAACGAGAAGUAAUGGAAGGUGGAGAAAUAAAUAAUACGAAACUAGUUAAUAACAUAGACUAAUGACAUAACUGUAAGCAUAUAGAUCACCUAAAGGAAUCAAUUAAAGAGAACCACAAUAGUCAAAUACGGACCAAAACUGAUAAGACAAGGAUGAAUCAAAGAAACAAGAAGUGUUCCACCAAUGACUCUUUACAACAUGAAAUAAACAACAAGAAUCACAAUCGAGGUACCACCUCGUAUACAACCAGAAUCACAACCGUAGUACCGCCUCGUAUACAACAAGAAUCACAUCCGAGGUACCGCCUCGUAUUCACAUUUUGUAAUUUCAAUCACAAUCUUUCCUUAUACCGUCGCGUGAGCCUUACAUUUAAAUAGUUUUGAAAAUAUUUUUUCCGUAAUAGCUACACUAACUUUAGCUCACCUUAUGACGCCGCGUGCACAUUAACCUCUAUCCUUAUACUGCCGUAUGCGCAUCAAUAUCACAUUACAAUAACAACUCGCACCACAAGUGCCCAUUUGUCAGAAUUUGCCAAUAAUCAACAAUAUCAAUAUUUCUACAACAAUAGCCCAUGGCUCAACCACAAUUUGUACAAGAAUAUCAACAAUAACAAUGAAUGUAAAUUUCUCAAAAAGAAAGAUAUCUCAACAAUUAACACUUCGCCUCAAUGUGAUAACAUCUUUCACAACUUUAAUACCAAUACUCAAGAGUGAGAGAGAUAAUGUGUAACCCCGAUAUCAAAUAAGAAUAAAUCACAAUGAGAGAUGUAACAUAUAACAAUGAUUUCAAGUAAGGAUAAAUCAACAAUGGAAGAGAUAACAUGUAGCAAUGGCUUCAAUUAAGAAUAAAUCAACAAUGAAAGAGAUAACAUGUAACAAUGAAAGAGGCAACAACUUCAACUAAAGCAUAAGAACAAAGUAUCAAGUAAAAUGUAGAACAAGUGUUAACAAAGUCAAAUAAGGCAUGUAAGGAAAGACUAACACAAGUAAGAAUAGAUUGAUUAUGAGAGUUCAAAACAUGAUAUGACAAUUCAAUUAAGGGAUGGAAAUAGUCUAAGUAGCCUAAACCGAUCAGAUAUCAAAUAUAACCCGUGUACCCACUCGUCACCUUCCGUACACGGCUUUCAAAUAGCACAAAUAAAACAUUCAAUCCCAAAUCCUAAGGGGUAGUCUCCUCCCUCCCCCCCUCCCCCCCAACCCACAAAGUUAGGCAAGAUACUUACCUCAACUAUGCCAACUCAACCCUCAAAAAUAGCUUUUUCCCUAAAAUUCGCCUCCACACAGCUCAUAUCUAACCAAAAUCGACUUAAUAUCAUCAAACAAUGCAAUGAAAAUCAAUUACAAUAGAUAAAGAUAUGAUCUUUACACUUUUCUCAAAAAGUCAACAAAAGUUAACCCGGAGCCCGCCCGGUCAAAAUCCGGGUCCAAGGGUAGAUUCCGACUACCCAUAACCCCACGAGUUCAUAUAUAUAAUUUAUUUCAAAAUCUGAGUCCAAAUUGACUCUCCAAACUCAAAUUUUUAUUUUUCAAAAACUUGACAAAGUUUCACAAAUUUUCACUUUGAUUCACAUGAUUUUGAUGCUAAAUCUAAGAUAUAUUGAUCAAAUAUAAUUGAAAAAUGAUUAGAAUUACUUACCCAAUGUUUGUAUAUAAAAAUCCCCUUUCCAAAUCGCCUCCUACCGAGUCUAGGGUUCUAAAAUGAGAUAAUAUGUUGAAAAAUCCUGUCUCCCAGCCCUUAUGACCAGUUGCAAAUGUUGCAUUUGCGACACAGGGUUCGCAUUUUCGAACCCUCGCAAUUGCGAAUAAGGGAUCGCAUUUGCGAACCCUGAUAGCCUCCACAGAAGUCGCAAUUGCGAAGCUGGCCACUAUCGCAAAGCGACCAAUUACUCGCAAUUGCGAACCAGCUCUCAGGCCUGCUAACUUCACAAAUGCAAAGGGAAAGUCACAUUUGCGAAAUCUGAGACCCCCUGGUCACUUUUGCAAUUGCGAGGCCGGUGCUCGCAAUUGUAAUAACAGAGCACCAUUAACACCAGCAAUUCCAUUUUCAGUCCAAAACAUUCCGAAACAUGUCCGAAACUCAUCUGAGCCCUGGUGAUCCAAACCACAUAUCUACACAAGUCUAAAAAUACCAUACGAACUCGCUCGCACGAUCAAAACACAAAAAUAAUAUAUAGAAUUACGAAUCGAACACCAAAACGCAUGAAUUUCAAAGUAAAUUUCAAGAACUUCUAGAAUUGCAACUAGGCACCCGAAUCCUAUCAAUUAAACUCCAAAUAAUACCAAAUUUUGCAGACAAGUUCUAAAUAGCACAACAGACCUAUUCCAAGUUACAAAAUCAAAUUCCUAACUCAAUAGCUAAAAGUCAACUUACUGUCAAAUUUUUCAACUUCAAAUUGCCAAAUUUCGGCAAAACAACACAAAUCAACCUUCAGACUUCCGAAUUUGAUGCCGGGCAUACGCCCAAGUCCAAAAUCACGAUACGAAGCUAUCGGAGCCAUCAAAACACCAUUCCGGGGUUGUUUUUACAAAAGUCAAAGUUUGGUCAACAUUUCUAACUUAAGCUUCUAAGUCAAGAAUCAAAGUGUCCAUAUCAACCUGAAAUCUUCCCGAAAUAAAACUAAUCAACCCCGUAAGUCAUAAAAUCAUAAACACACAUGUGUGAAGCAUAAAAAGGGAUAACGGAGCGCAAUUAUAUAAAACGACUGGUCUAUUCGUCAAAAAAAGUUUCCCCCACACCACACUUAAUAGUGCAUUGUCCUCGAUGCAUAACAAAAUCAAAAUCAAACACAUAAGGGUGGUAAAGGGAUCAAUCUCGUAGAUCGCAACAUCCUUCUCUUUAUCCUCAGGACAGACACCAUAGGGGUUAGGCUCAUCUCCAUCAGUCCCCACAUCAUCAACAAUAGCCUUCUUAUCCUCAGCUUUGUCCUCGUGGACAGAUGGCUCUGGAGUGUUCUCAUCUUCCUCUGGCAGGACCAUAGUACCUGACAGAAGACCAACCAGCUAUAUAGCAUGGACAUUGAACGGGUGUCACUCAAGUAGAUGACUCCUUUCAUCCUCAACAACUGCUCUACCACUAAGUUAGAGCUCAAGAUCUAACAUCCGAGAGAAGUGGGCAAACAGACAACCAUCUCGAUAUAGCGCUCAGCUGCAGUCUAAGUGCUCACGCCCAUCCUCUUAUGGCCCUUUGACCCUAGUAAUAUAGUAGGCCUAACCACAAGAAGAAAAAUAAUAUCACAAUUCGGAUCCUCCUCUACUCUGUCUGAGCGCAAAUGCUCGGUAAGCACAUUGCCAAAGAAUAUUUUGGAAAGCUUUCCAGUCCUAGUAACUCCAUCUCCUAUCACAUUAAGAAUCCUACAUUGACCGCUUCCCAAUCAUCAAGAAGUAGACUAAACACACUCGCUCUCUCAAUAUAUUAGUGUAGUGGUCACCAGGCAAAAUCCUCCUGCCUACCAACUUCAACCAAAUCUUAGCGGGCCUCAGAACUUUCCCAUAUGGAAACAACUAUGUGCCCUCUUCUUGUCAUGAAUUCACAAAGAAUCAGAAUUGACACCACAUAAAGUGUGUCUAAUAGCUGGAUAGUCAGGAUGCUUUAUAAACUCAAGUAGCGAGGGGCGGCCCGACGAAUUUUGUGGCCUAAAGCCAAAUUUUACGAGGGGCCUUAAUUUUUUAUUAAAUUGUUUUUAUUUGAAGUCCAUUUUUUUAGUUUUUUUUAAAUGCAAAGUUAUUAAUAAUUUUUUUAUAAUCAAUUUUUUUUUUCUAAUAAUUCUUUCUCAAUUGAUAAUAUAGUUCAUUUAUUUAACUUCUCUUCAGACAUUAUUGAGCUUAGCUAAGAUUUUAUCAAUUUUAAUUUCGAAAAACUUCUUUUUGCUGAAGCAACGGUAACAAGAGUUAUUAACAUUAUUCUAUAAGCAAUAUAGGCAUUUGGAAAAGAAUCAAAUCUUUUUAUUUGAUUGAGUAUGUCAAUUAAACUAUUAUCUUCUAAAAGGGCAGCCCUGUGCACUAAGCUCCCGCUAUGCUCGGGGUCCGGGGAAGGGCCGGACCACAAGAAUUUAUUGUACGCAACCAUACCCUGCAUUUUAGCAAGAGGCUGUUUCCACGGCUCGAACCCGUGACCUCCUGGUCACAUGGCAGCAACUUUACCAGUUACGCCAAGGCUCCCAUUCAAAACUAUUAUCUUCUAAUUGUACUAUUUUUCUUAACACUUUUAAUUCAGAAAAUAAAUCUAAACCAUCAAUAUCAGAUUGAUUAUUAUGCUUUAAGGAACACUCAAGAUUAAGGCAGUAUUUUUCCAAAUUUCCAUUAUCUGGUGAUCUCAGUUUUUUGCGCUAAAUAGAAAACAAAAAAUAUUUUCAUAUGCUUCGAAUUGUUCAAAUCUAUUUUGAAGUGAAAAAAUAGUCUUGAUUACUAUGUAUAAAUAGUAAUUAACUCUGAAGGACUCUUCAAGAGAUUUCAACAUCAAUAUUCACGUCAAAUUAUUGUUUUUCUAUAUAUCACACGUUACUUACAAGUUCGGGUUUGAUUUUCAUUUCAGAUGCAAUUUUCUUGAUAGAAAUCAUACCAGUUGUAAAUUCUUUUACCCCUUAAGCUUUUAAGACACAGGUUUUAAAAGUCUUUUUUUUCUUCUUAAAUUCCGUGACGAAUCAAACAACCUCAUCUAAAUUGAAAUAUAGAGAGUAUAUAAUAUAAUAGGUGUAAUAAAAAAUGAGCCCCCCACAAAUGUGGGGCCUAAAGCAGUUGCUUUACCUGCUUUAGGGUAGGGCCGCCCCUGCAAGUAGCGAUGUAGUAGGAACAUUAGGGGCAUCCAAGAAUUUUCACAAAGCAAUCGGUGAUAUGUAAAUAAGUCUCCCUCAUAUGGGCACCAGUUCUCCUCGUCAUAAACAUCCCAAUUUGCGUAGAACUCGCGUAUCAAGCUAACAUUUCCCUCGCAUGGAUUCUUGAACACUAAUCCCAGUCCUAUUUUAUACAGCUUCCCCAUAUGCGAACAUAAACUCACUUUCAAGGUGUGCUCAUCGAUAGUUGCCACAUUUGUAUAUAGGAGGCUUAAACUUCUUGUACCAAGCCUUCCCAUAAGCUUUCACAGAUUUGAGACUAAGGGUGUGUUUGGUAUAACGGAAAAUAUUUUCCAAGAAAAUAUUUUCUUGGAAAACAAGCAGUAAUAUUACUCAUUUUCCGGUCUUUAGUACGCAAAUUAAGGAAAAUAACUUCUCAAGAGUAUUCAUAAAUAAUUUUAGAUACAAUAAACAUGAAGCCAUAAACUUUCGAACCAACAACCUUUCGAACUCACAAAUUUCAUAAACUUCUGAACCGCUAAAUUUUCGAACACGCAUACUUUCAACCCGCAAACUUUCGAACACGCAAACUUUCAACCCGCAAACUUUCGAACCCGUAAACUCUAUAAUUUCUAAAUCCGCAAACUUCCAAACACAUAAACCCCCGAACUCAUAACUUUGGAACUCGUAAAAUUUCAAACCUGUAAACUGAAAAAUGAAAAACUAGAACUGAAAAUAUAUAAAAAAUAAUAAUAAUAAUUUUGCGCGGGGUGGGGGGUGGGGUGUGUGGGUGGUGCAGAAAAACGAAAAAACAGAAAAUAGAAAAUUUAAAAAUUCAAAAAAAUAAUUGGGGGGGAGGAGGGGAAGGGGUUGGGUUGACGGGGUUGGGGUGGGUGGGUGGCGUAGAAAAACGAAAAAAAAACAGCAAAUUGAAGUUGGAGGGGGUUGGGGUUAGAUGUGAGGGUAGGUGGAGUUUUUGGAAAAUAUUUUCCUAACUUUUUCUAGGAAAGUCAUUUUCCUCCAAUUUCAGGAAAAUGUGAUAUCUAGAAAAACAUUUUCCAAACUAUUUUGUGCAACCAAACAGUGAAAAAUGGGAAAAUAUUUCCGGAAAAUAUUUUCCGUCAUACCAAACACACCCUAAAGAUCAUCUUCUUCUUAUCAUGUGGCUCAACUGGGGUUGAAGUUGAGGCCUUUUGCUUGCCCUUAGCUUGGAUGCUAGACACAACCUCAGUGUGAGAUUAUCGUUUUUGCUGACAGUCCUGAAGUAGAGGUCUUGGCUGGAGCCUUAGCUAGCCUUAGCGCAAACUUGGUUAGGGCAAACCAUUUUUCUAAGAACCCACAAACAAACACAAGCCAUUAGUCAUAGGAUAUAAUAUGUAAAGCAUAAGUGGGUUGAAACGACCCCAUACUAAAAAUUCAAGCAUCGGAGCACUUUGACAAUUUUAAGGUACUUAGUCAUCCCCUACUAAACUCAAAUUAACCUUGCUAAUGUGAAACGUGCCAUAUUUUUAAACAUAUCAGUGUAUAACCAUCCACAUAACAUCAAAGAAUAAGUGGCGGACGCACGUAGUGGCAAGCGGGUUCAGUUGAACCCGCUUCAUCAAAAAAUAAUAUUGUGUAUAUGUAUAAAUUAGGAUUAAAGCUGCGUAAAUUUUGUAUAAAUAUUUUAUUAGAACCCACUUGACAACUACUAUUUUACGACUAAAGUUAUGUACUUCUAAGAUUGAACCCGCUUGCACAAAAUCCUGGGUCCGCCACCGCAAAGAAUGGCUGCACGUUCAACGUGAGUGACAAAAGUACUCGACCUAACUAAUUAGCAUAGAAAAGAUUAAGUUUCAAGUAUGCACAACAUGGGCAAAACAAUAACAGAUGAUCCACAUGAAUGAUAUUAGCAUACAUCAUGAAUGACACCAGUAACUUACUACAACAUUUCAAUCUGGGUAGCAAACAACACCUUACAAUUCAUAAUAUAUCAAAACUGAUUCACAAGUAUAGCCAUAAACUAAGCAGCUCGGCAGCUUACUAGUUUAGCACAUGCCACGUGCGACAUUGACCUUAACGCUUUCAAAACUACCCCAGCCUUGUUGAUCCACCCCACACUUAAUUCUCAUGAUUAUAGUCGUCACCACACUAAAUUAGUUUAACCCCAGAGACUCGGGAUCAAAUUGAGACUUGAAUCGCCGUUGAGAUAAUUCAUCGAACACUUAGCUCGCACAAAUUGUGUUUGAGUAUGGUUGAAUGUGAGGGACUACAUCACCCUCCCAAAUCGGCUUGGGACUUGUGUUCCUAGUACUUAUAUUAGCAAGUAAUAGAACAAGUAUGUGGAGAAAGAGUUGGGAUUCAUUUUUCACUAUUUUCCUCCAUUGCUAAGCACAACUAUGGGAAGAAAAAAAAUGAACUAAGCUACUACCUAAUUAGGGAUGAAAUAAGGAAAGAAGAUACUACCCCAAAUAGAGAAGAGAUAGAAAAGUUACCUUAUCUCAUGGUAAAGUGCAGCAGUGGCAAAGGGGGAAGAGGGAAUGUAUUUUAAAAUGGUGUUAAUUGUGUUAAAAAAAGGGAUUGGGUCGAGUUGAUCCGUGGGUGUGGGCGAAAUAAGGCAAAGAAAAAUAAAAAAAAACUUACAUGGGAGCGGUGAGAGUGCGACACGGACAGUGCCAGGCUCGGCUCUAUUGUGUCCUUAGGUGCGACGCGGUCAAUACAGAGGACAUACAUUGGGCGCGUUACCGGGUGCAAGACGCCGAGUAUAGCACCUAAAUAAAUUUGCCACUUGCUAUUGUGAGUGCUACUGGAAACGAGGCGCUGAAGACUGCUUCAGCAAAGCUAGGAAGAACAUAUAAAACAUGAUAGAAGGAAGAAUAUAUCCAAAACAAAGCAUGAUACAGCCUAAAGACUACCCUGAACAAAGAUAACCAUUUCACGUGCAUAUACGCUCGUCACCUCGCAUAUACAUCGCCCUCGCAUGUAGCAACCAAUAUUAUAUAUUAGAAAAAAGUCCCUCAAACCAAAGUUAGGCAACACACUUACCUCAUCCGGGCUAGUCUUCAACCUCAAAUCGCGUCAAAACCUAAUUCUAACCCUCCAAUCAUGCAAAUACAAUCCAAACAUUAUCCAAGGAAGUCAAACAAUACUAUAGGAAGCAAUCCCAAUCAAUAAAGUUUUGAUCUUUGAUGAAUUUUCAAAAUAUAAACAAAAGUCAACUUGGGCCCGCGUCCCCAAAAUUCAACCCAGAUACCAAAUAUCGAUGAUCCAUAACCUUCCGAGUCCAAAUAUAUAAUUAGUUUUUAAAUUCGAUUCCAAAUCUGUGGUCAAAUUCUCAAAAUACACUCUCUUAAAUUAUAGUCAAAAACCCCAAAAUUCACUUUGAAAAUUCAUAUUUUAAAUGUAGAAAUCCAUGGAAAUUCAUGAUAUAUGACCAAAAUUAAGUCAAAAUAUGGGUGAAAUCCAUCUCUAAAAUUGCCUUGAUCAGCUUUCCAAGCCUCAAAAUUUAUGAAAUGAGCUCAAAAUCCUGAAACUAGGUAUUAAAUACCCCUGUUAGGCCUCCUCUUUCGUGAUCGGGUCACAAACCCCGCUAUCACAAUUCACAAAAUGUCCGGCAUGAUUUUAUCCUUCGCGAUUGUGGCCAAGAAGCAAUGUGAUCGCGAUGAACAAACUUGAACAAAAUUUUUCAUCUCAUUCCAAACAACCUCUUGUUAACGGACAUAACAUUUAGUAAAAAAUUCUUAAUGACAAACGAUUUUGGUGUCCUGAUAACUUGACACAAAGGGCUACAACUUUUAUUUUUGAAUCAUCUCUAAAUUCCUUAUAGAUUGCAAGAUAUAAUCUCCCCAAAACAGCCUAGUGACAAUAGAAUUUUCUUUUACGCGAUUGUGAAUAGUCCCUCCGUGAAUGCGAUUUACAAGACAAAAACUACAUUUUACUCUUCGCGAAUACAGCCCAGAGCUCCGCGAUCGCGAUGUAUGCUCCUGUAGCCAAAAAUCAGGACAUGAAAAGAGCCUAGAAAUGGUCCAAAACCACCCCGAAACUCACCCGAAUCCCUGGGGAUCCCGUCCAAUCAUACCAACAAGUACAAUUAUCUAAUUCAAACUUUUGCAAAGGCUCGAAAAAUCACAAAUAACAUCAAAAUCAAGAAUUGAAGAUAAUAUCAUUCUCUUAACUUUCAAAUAUUCCAACUUUGCCGAAUGCGUCCGAGUCACACUCAGACAUUUUGGAUCAUAAGAAAAAUUUGCAUAUAAGUUCCAAUCAACUAAAUGAACUUAUCAAAUAUUCCAAAACACCAAACGGAAUUCGGUUAUAUCAAAGUCAACCUCCGAUCAAACUUAUAAAGUAUUCAAUUCUUUGAAUUGCCAACUUUCGACAAAUAGAGUCAAAAUCCACUAGGAACAUCAGAAAUCACAUUCGAACAUACGUACAAGUCCAAAAUAAACAUACAAACUCAUAGAAAUCAUCAAAUCUCGAUUCCGAUGUCAUUUACUCAAAAGUUAAACCUUGGUAAACUUUUCCAACUUUAAGCUUCCAAAAUGAGAAUUACUCUUCCAAAUCAAUCCCGAACCUCUUGAACAUCAAAGCCAACCAUACACGUAAGUCAUAGUGUAUCAUAUGAAGCUACUCAAAGUCUCAAACCGCCAAACAGAAUGCUAAAGCUCAAAGUGACUGGUCGCGUCGUUACAUUCUCCCUCACUGAAACAUAUGUUCGUCCUCGAACGUGAUAAAAGUCAUUUCAAAGCUGUCAAAUCACUGUAUAAACUUAUCAUACACAUACCCAUGGGUGAUUUCAGCUCUGUUGAUCCACCCCACACUUAAUUCUCAUGAUUAUAGUCAUCACCACACUAAAUUAAUUUAAUCCCAGAGACUCGGGAUCUAAUUGAGACUUGAAUCGCCUUUGAGAUAAUUCAUCGAACACUUAGCUCGCACAAAUUAUGUUUGAGUAUGGUUGAAUGUGAGGGACUACAUCACCCUCCCAAAUCGGCUUGGGAUUUGUAUUCCUAGUACUUAUAUUAGCAAGUAAUAGAACAAGUAUGUGGAGAAAGGGUUGGGAUUCAUUUUUCACUAUUUUCCUCCAUUGCUAAGCACAACUAUGGGGAGAAAAAAAAUGAACUAAGCUACUUCCUAAUUAGGGAUGAAAUAAGGAAAGAAGAUACUACCCCAAAUAGAGAAGAGAUAGAAAAGUUACCUUAUCUCAUGGUAAAGUGCAGCAGUGGCAAAGGGGAAGAGGGAAUGUAUUUUAAAAUGGUGUUAAUUGUGUUAAAAAAAAGGGAUUGGGUCGAGUUGAUCCGUGGGUGUGGGCGAAAUAAGGCAAAGAAAAAUAAAAAAAACUUACAUGGGAGCGGUGAGAGUGCGACACGGACAGUGCCAGGCUCGGCUCUAUUGUGCCCUUAGGCGCGACGCGGUCAAUACAGAGGACAUACAUUGGGCGCGUUACCGGGUGCAAGACGCCGAGUAUAGAACCUAAAAAAAUUUGCCACUUGCUAUUGUGAGUGCUACUCGAAACGAGGUGCUGAAGACUGUAGUUGAAGCUCAUGCAUCAACAUGUGCGACACUUUCACGACCCUAAACCCCACCUAGUCGUGAUGACACCUAACCCCAACAUGCUAGGUAAGCCAAAUAACAAAUAACUCAACUCGAAUGAGAGAUCAUCAAGAAAUAAUAAAUAAGAUGGAGGAAAUUCAUACAACUAUCUCAAAGACUGGUAGUACAAGUCAUGAACGACUAAGAAUAAGAAUACAAUUACAACUCUACUAUGAAGAAAGAUUACAUCAUGUGUUUGAAAUUUUCAGAAACAGAAAUAUAAGUCCUAGAUUAUCAUGAACAGGUGGUAGCUUGUAUCUAGAAUGUUGGUACCUCUUCAAUGCUAGCAUUCGUCAUCCACAAUAGCUCAGCUCCAAAAUUUGCACGCAAAAUGCAGAAGUGUAGUAUGAGUACAACCGACACCAUAUACUUAGUAAGUAUCUUGACUAACUUUAGUGAAGUAGUGAAGAGGAUUUAACUCAAAAGAUACUCACUUUACGAAACUUGAACAGUUCAUGAAUAUAUAUGUACACAACAACAGUAUCGAAAUCUAAGCAUGAAGUACAAGUAAGACCAUUAGUACAUAUAGAGAAGAUUCAUACAAGCAUUGUAAAUAAACUAAAAGUUCAGCAUAUAGAGAAAAUAUGCAUUUGGUAUCAAAUAACCCAUCAACAGUUGCAUAUAGAGAAGAUAUGCAUAAAAUAUCAAAUAACCCGUCAAUAAUUGCAUAUAGAGAAGAUAUGCAUGAAAUAUCAAAUAACCCGUCAAAAGUUGCAUAUAAAGAAGACAUGCAUGAAUAAACAAGUAAAGUAAAUGGAUUAACAAAUAAAGAAGAUAUGUACCUUGAAUCAUUUCUUCAAGUAAAGUAGUAUAUAGAGAAGAUAUGCAUAAAAGAUAUUCAUAUAAUCCGGAGCUAGCAUAUAGAGAAGAUAUGCGGUAAAAAUCAUGUAUACAUCCAUGGAGUUUGUAUAUAGAGAAGAUGUGCAAAGUCCAACCACUAAUCAGUUUUUCCAUAAUCUACGUGUACAUCAUUAAGAGAGAAACAUGGGAGGACGACCCUAGGGUGAUAGAUCCUAAUCCACACGCUACAUGGACAAUUCACGUGCAAUAAUUAUAACAACCGCAUAGGAAACUCACAUGCUAUAAUCAUAACAAUUACACAGACAUCUCACGUGCUAUAAUAACUCAACCCGCAUGGGCCACUCACGUUCUGUCAAUCAAGUCCAUCUCACAGAAAGCAUAUACAAUAACACAUAUAUACGAACAACGGAUAUCAAACCACAUACUCGUGGAUUGAGAAAAAUAGCAUGCUAAGGUGUAUGCUAGUGCGAUGUGUACGACUGCAGUUCAGAUUAGGCGGGUACGCCAUACAAUAAUGAGUAUCAUGUUCAAACAGGAAUUCAAAACCUACACAUUAUCUCUAGCAUGAUUCAAGGAGUACAUGUAGUCAUACAAACAUAUAAAACAUGAUAGAAGGAAGAACAUAUACAAAACAAAGCAUGAUAUAGCCUAAAGACUACCCUGAACAUAGGUAACCAUUUCGCAUGCAUAUACGCUCGUCACCUCGCAUAUAUAUCUCCCCCGCAUGUAGCAACUAAUAUUAUUUAUUAGAAAAAAGUCCCUCAAACCAAAGCUAAGCAAGACACUUACCUCAUCCGGGCUAGUCUUCAACCUCAAAUCGCGUCAAAACCUCGUUCUAACCCUCCAAUCAUGCAAAUACAAUCCAAACAUUAUCCAAGGAAGUCAAAAAAUACUAUAGGAAGCAAUCCCAAUCAAUAAAGCUUUGAUCUUUGAUGAAUUUUCAAAAUACAAACAAAAGUCAACUUAGGCCCGUAUUCCCAAAAUUCGAUCUCGAUACCAAAUAUCGAUGACCCAUAACCUUCCGAGUCCAAAUAUAUAAUUAGUUUUCAAAUUCGAUUCCAAAUCUGUGGUCAAAUUCUCAAAAUACAUUCUCUUAAAUUAUAGCCAAAACCCCCAAAUUUCACUUUGAAAAUUCAUAUUUUAAGUGUAGAAAUCCAUGGAGAUUCAUGAUAUAUGACCAAAAUUAAGUCAAAACAUGGGUGAAAUCCAUCUCUAAAAUUGCCUUGAUCAGCUUUCCAAGCCUUAAAAUUUGUGAAAUGAGCUCAAAAUUCUGAAACUAGGUAUUAAAUAUCCCUGUUAGGCCUCCUUUUUCGUGAUCGGGUCACAAACCCCGCUAUCACGAUUCACAAAAUGUCCGGCAUGAUUUUAUCCUUCGCGAUUGCGGCCAAGAAGCUACGUGAUCGCGAUGAACAAACUUGAACAAAAUUUUUCAUCUCAUUCCAAACAACCUCUUGUUAACGGACAUAACAUUUUGUAAAGAAUUAUGAAUGACAAACGGUUUGGUGUCCUGAUAACUUGACACAAAGGGCUACAACUUUUAUUUUUGAAUCAUCUCUAAAUUCCUUAUAGAUUGUAAGAUAUAAACUCCCCAAAACAGCCUAGUGACAAUAGAGUUUUCUUCUACGCGAUUGUGAAUAGUCCCUCCGUGAAUGCGAUUUACAAGAGAAAAACUGCACUUUACUCUUCGUGAACAUGGCACAGAGCUCCGCGAUCGCGAUGUAUGCUCCUGUAGCCAAAAAUCAGGACCUAGAAAAGGCCUAGAAAUGGUCCAAAACCACCCCGAAACUCACCCGAACCCCUGGGGACCCCGUCCAAUCAUACCAACAACUACAAUUAACUAAUUCAAACUUAGGCAAAGGCUCGAAAAACCAUAAAUAACAUCAAUAAUUGAAGAUAAUAUCAUUCUCUUAACUUUCAAAUAUUCCAACUUCGCCGAAUGCGUCUGAGUCAUACUCAGACAUUUUGGAUCAUAACAAUACUUUGCACAUAAGUUCCAAUCAACUAAAUGAACUUAUCCAAAAUUCUGGAACACCAAACGGAAUCCAGUUAUAUCAAAGUCAACCUCCGGUCAAACUUAAAAAGUAUCCAAUUCUUUGAAUUGCCAACUUUCGACAAAUAGAGUCAAAAUCCACUAGGAACAUCCAAAAUCACAUCCGACCAUACGUACAAGUCCAAAAUCAACAUACGAACUCAUAGAAACCAUCAAAUCUCGAUUCCUAGGUUGUUUACUCAAAAGUUAAACUUUGGUCAACUCUUCCAACUUUAAGCUUCCAAAAUGAGAAUUAUUCUUCCAAAUCAAUCCCUAACCUCUUGAACAUCAAAACCAACCAUACACGUAAGUCAUAGUAUAUCAUAUGAAACUACUCAAAGUCUCAAACCGCCAAACAGAAUGCUAAAGCUCAAAGUAACUGGUCGCGUCGUUACAUUCUCCCUCACUAAAACAUACGUUCGUCCUCGAACGUGACAAGAGUCAUUUCAAAGCUGUCAAAUCACUGUAUAAACUUAUCAUACACAUACCCAUGGGUGAUCUCAUGUCACUUCAAUCCAUAUAAGCCCAUUAACAUAAUCUUGAUUGAAAAUUCUUCCUUCAACCUUAGAUUACAAUCCUUAGAACCAAAUUCUAACUUCUGGAACUCCCUCUACGAUCUGAUUCUUGUAUAAAUACACUGUAUCAAUCCCAACAAGCUGCAUCAAGACAUAAAUAUAUGUCACGCCAUAAAUUUGGGGAGGCGAGAUCCGCACCCGGUGCCUUACUUGACCGAGCGUAACAACUGAAACUUGCAUUCUUUGAACCUAUAUGACUGCUAAGGCCAACUGAAUAUCGUUCUGUAAUAUCUUAGUCCAGAAAGGCCUUAACUUAUCAAAUUUGAGGAAUGAACAUCCAGGAGGAAUGGCCUCUCAUCAUAUUGCAGACGGAAUUCCAUUUUAGUGUAUGUCUGCCACAGCGUCUAUACAAAGGAUUGCGUAUGGGAAAUAUUGAAACCGUCCUUUCCAGUAGCAUCACUGCUGUUUUUUUGAAGCUUUUGUUAUUGUCGGGAACUAUGUGGUAUGGUUCGGCAAGUUCCCCGAUUGAAUUAUUUGGUCCCACUCGUUACCAAUGGGAUCAGGGGUACUUCCAACAAGAAAUAUAUCGAAGAGUUAAUGCUGGGCACUAAUCUCAACUGAACGGGAAGCAACCCGGUAUAUAUAUGUCAACCUACACAAUCAAAAGAGAAUACAUACAAGGGCCGACAAGGACACCAUACUAACAACUGUACAUAUAGGACAAGUGACAAGCCUCUAUAGAAUACAACUGUACUAUGGUCGAGACAGUGCCCCCACCCACCCAUACUGUCUGAAUAUACAACAAAACUCUAGACCUGGUAACUCCGAAUGAUGUGCAGCUUACCAAUCAAACUGUAUACUGGCGCGCUUACAGCUGAGGCCUAUCUAUGUGACUGCCAAAACCUGCAUGCAUGAAAUACAACUCCCCCCGUCAAAAGGGGUGCUAGUACAAAAUAAUUUACCAAGCAUGUAAGGCAACUGAAUAACUGAAGCUGAAACUGAAAUUGAAUUGAUAUACAUGAUAUACUAAAUGUAAUUGGAGGAGACAAUGAUAAUAUAGAAACAUACUUACUGGUCUCUAACUUAUAUCAUACAAGUAAUACCGAACAUAUAAGGCUCGGUGUGUAUAUGUAUAGACCUGUAGUCAACUGUAUAGCCCCAUAGGCAAAUGUAUAGGCCUGAAGGCAUAUGUCUAGCACAUAAGGAAUGGCGCGCAUCUGUCUAGCCCCGUAGGUAUAAAGUAAUACAGUAAAUGACAUAUGUAUACUCUCUAUUUCUCAAGUAGACAUGGAAAAAUGCUAAACUGAAAGGAAUUCCCAACAAGGGAGUCACGACCCCAAAAUCCCACCUUUAGGAUCGUUAUGGCACCUAGUCUCUAAGACUAGGUAAUCCUAACACAAGAUGAGAUUUAACAGAAAUAAACAACUAGCUAUUAAAUUAAACUGAUAAAUGGCAUAAUAAGUUGAAACUGAUCAACAGUUAUACAUCCCCAAAACCGGUAGUAUGGAGUCAUGUGCUCUACUAAAAUACACUACAAAUCUCAAAAUACAAUACUGUUCUAAAAUUCAAAUGACAGUAUUAAUGAAGGAUAACAGAAGGUGACUGCGAGAACCUGCGAGCGGAAUGACAUGUAUACCUUGAAGUCUCCUCAACAACUCAAACAACUGUCUAACAUCUGGCAUGCUCUGAGGUAUAUGGAUUUGCACAAAAAUGUGCAGAAGUAUAGUAAGAGUACACCACAAUGGUACCUAGUAUGUAUCAAGACUAACCUCGGUGGAGUAGUAACGAUGUAUAAGUCGAGAUACUCACUAGACACAAAACAUGUGCAAAGUAUUAAUAUAAAGCUAACAAAAAAAAUAUAUCAAUAUACAACUAAAAAUGGAAAGUAUAUUAGUAUGAAGAUAACAAUGGAAAGAAUAUUAAUAUAAAGCUAACAAUGGAAAGUAAAAGCAACAAAUGGCAACAAGGAGAAAAUAGGUGAUAAAGCAGCAAAUUGAUUAGAACACAGUUAAAAUAGAAGUGAAAUCAAUUAAGGAAAGCAAAAUGACAGUCCAAAUAAUCAAUCCGUUCUAACACAAAGUUUACAACAAGAAUUACCCCGAGGUACCACACCUCAUAAUCACAAAUCACAAAUCACAAAUCUUCCUUAUAACACCGCGUGAGCCUUACAUUUAUUUAAAAAUAUUUUUUCCGAAAUAGCUUCACGCGCUUUAGCCUCCUUAUCUCGCCGCAUGUGAUUCAAAUAUAGUAAUUUCCCUUACUAGCAACACGCGCAUAAAUCCCCCAUAUCUAGCCGCAUGUGCAUUAAUAACACCACCCUUAUGCCGCCGCAUGCGCAUCUCAUCACAACACAAUAAUUAUCUCGCACCACACGUGCCCAUAUACCACAACAUUGCCAAAAUAACAAUACCAAUAUCACAACGAUAUAUAGCCCACAGAUCAACAACAAUGUGUACACAAAUUUCAGCAAUAGAACAGUGAAACGGAAGAAUAACUCAACAAUGAAAUAUAUCCAAUGUAACAAUAACUUUCAUUCAAUGCAUAUAAUUAACCUAAGAGUCUAAACCGGUCAAUUAACAUAAAUAAGCAUGUGCACACACUCGUCACCUCAUGUACACGUGUUUCACACAAUUCAAAUAAUACAAUUAGACCAAAUUCUAGGGGUAGUCCCCCCCCCCCAACAAAGUUAGGUAAGAUACUCACCUCAAAUACGCCAAAUCAACACUCAAAAAUAGCUUUUCUUGUAAAAUUCGCCUCCGUACGGCUCAAAUAUAAUAAAAAGGACUUAAUAUCAUCAAACAAUGCAAGAGAAACCAAUUCCAAUAAUUAAAGUUAAAUCUUUGCACAAUUCUCCAAAAGUCAACAAAAGUAAACCCCGGGCUUGCCUGGUCAAAACCCGAGUCAAAGGGUAUAUCUCGACUACCCAUAAUCCCACGAGUCCAUAUAUGUGUUUUGUUUCCAAAUCUAAGUUCAAUUCGACUCUCAAAUCUCAAAUUUUUAUUUUUCAAAACAUAGUCAAAAUUUCCCAAAAACUCUCUUCAAAUUCCAUAGAUUAGAGGUUAAAUCUCAUAGAUAAUCGUGUAAGAUAAAUCAAAAUCAUUUACCCAAUAGUUGUAUAUGAAAGUCCAUCCUCAAGCACCUCCUACCGAGUGUAGGGUUCUAAAAUGUGAUAAAUGAAGCUAAGUCCUGAAAUACCAUUAUUUUGUUCAGCUGUAGGUUUCGCAAAUGCAACCUUGCAAACCCGUAAAUGCAACAGACACAUUGCAAAUGCAAUUCGUGACAAACCCAGGUAAUGUCGCAAAUGCGACCCUGACUUCGUAUUUGCGAAGUUAGUCCCUUCGCAGAAGCGGUCGUUUGGUCAAAAAAGUGAUCAGCUCCCACCCAUUGAUUCCUUUGCAAAUGCGAUGCAUAUUUCGCAAAUAUGAACGGGUGCUCGCAUUUGUGAUAGCUGCAGCACCAACACACUAGUUGUUGAUUAACCAGCCCAAAUCCAUCCGAAACAUGUCCGAAACUCAGCCGAGCCCUCGGGGCCCCAUGUCGAACAUCCACACAAGUAUAAAAUAUCAUACAAACUCGCUCGUACGAUCAAAUCACCAAAAUAAUAUCCAGAACCACGAAUCAGAUAUUAAAACAUAUGAAAUUCCAUAAUGAACUCAAGAAUCGCUAGAAUCACAACCAAGCAUCCCAUUCCUAUCAAACCAGCUCAGAAUGACACCAAAUUUUGCAGACAAGUUCCAAAUAACAAAACUGACCUAUUCCAUAUCCCGAAACUAAAAUCCGAAAACCCGAUAGCAAUAAAGUCAACCUACAGUCAAACUUAGAAAUUUCUAAAACUUUAAAUUGCCAACUUUUGGCAAAACAAGACAAAUCAACCUACGAACCUCCAAAUUCAAUUCCGGGCAUACUCCUCAGUCCAAAAAUCACUAUACGAACUUAUUGGAGCCAUCAAAACACCGUUCCGGGGUCGUUUUCAUAAAAGUCAAACCUCGGUCAACAUUUCCAACUUAAGCUUCUAAACCAAGAACCAAUAGAUCCAAAUCAUUCCAAGACCUCCUCGAAAUGGAACCAACCAUCCCCACAAGUCAUAAAAUCAUAAAUACACAUACGAUAAUUCUCAAAAGAGUAAACGGGGUUCAAAUACACAAAAUGACCGAUCACGUCGUUACAUUCUCCCCCUCUAAAAAUAAAUGUUCGUCCUCGAACUAGUGUAGAGACAUACCUGAACUGCCAAACAUGUGUGUAUAACGACUCCACAUGUUGUGUUCGGUCUCCUAGGUCGCCUCUUUGACUGGUUGACCCGUCCAUUGAACCUUCACUGAAGUAAUGUUCUUUGACCUCAACUUCCGGACCUGUUUGUCCAAGAUAGCCACUGGCUCCUCAACAUAAGUCAAAUCCUUGUCUAAUAAGACUGAGCUGAAAUCUAAUACAUGUGACGGAUCACCAUAAUACUUCCGGAGCAUGGAAACAUGGACACACCAGGUGAACUCUCGAUAAGCUAGGUGGCAAUGCAAGUCUGUAGGCCACGUCACCAACUCUCUCAAGGAUCUCAAAAGGACCAAUAUACCGAGGGCUCAACUUGCCCUUUUUACCGAACCACAUCACACCCUUCAUGGGUGAAAGUCUAAGAAGAAACCUCUCUCCUACCAUGAAUGCCACAUCACGAGCCCUCCGAUCAGCAUAACUCUUGUGCUUGGACUGUGAUGUACGAAGCCAAUCCUGAAUCAAAUUCACCUUCUCCAAGGCAUCCCGAACCAAGUUAGUACCCAACAACCUAGCCUCCCUAGGCUCAAACCAACCAACCAGAGAAUGAUACCACCUCCCAUAUAAGGUCUCAUAAGGAGCCAUCUAGAUACUCGACUUGUAGUUGUUGUUGUAGGACAAUUCUGCGAGAAGUAGGAAUUGAUCCCAUAAACCCCUGAAAUCAAUAACAUAUGCACAUAGCAUGUCCUUUAAUAUCUGAAUAGUGCGCUCAGACUGCCCGUCUGUCUGCGAAUGAAAUAUUGUACUCAGCUCGACCUGUGUGCCCAACUCACGCUGCAUGGCUCUCCAAAAAUGCGAUGUGAACUGCGUGCCACAAUCCGAGAUAAUUGACAGCGGCACACCAUGAAGGCAAACAAUCUCACGUAGAUAAAUCCGAGCCAGCUGCUCUGAAGAGUAGGUAGUCAUGACUGGAAUGAAGUAUGCAGACUUGGUCAGUUUGUCCACAAUAACACACACUGCAUCAAAUCUCCUCAAGGUCCAUGGAAGUCCAACUACAAAAUCUAUAGCGAUACACUCCCACUUCUACUCCGUAAUAUCAAGCCUCUGAAGAAAACUACCCUGUCUCUAAUGCUCGAACUUCACCUACUGAUAGUUCAAACACCGAGACUCAUACUCUACUAUAUAUUUCUUCAUUCUUCUCUACUAGUAGUGCUGCCUCAAGUCCUGGUACAUCUUCGUGGCACUUGGAUGAAUGGAAUUCUGCGAACUAUGGGCCUCCUAAAGAAUCAACUCACGUAACCCAUCCACAUUCGGAACACAGAUUCAACCCUGCAUCCUCAACACCUCAUCAUCGCCAAUAGCACCUCCUUGGCAUUACCGUGCUACACUGUGUCCUUCAGAACAAGCAAGUGGGGAUCAUCAAACUGACGUGCCUUGAUAUUCUCAAAUAAGAAACACUGUGAAAUCACGCAAGCAAGAAUUUGACUAGGCUCCGAAAAAUCCAAUCUCACAAACCUAUUAGCCAAAGCCUGAACAUCCAAAGCUUACGGCCUCUCCCUAACUGGAAUAUAAGCAAUACUACCCAUGCUCUCAGCCUUUCUACUCAAGGCUUUGGCCACCACAUUGGCCUUCUCGGGAUGAUAAAGAACGGUGAUAUCAUAGUCCUUUAGUAGCUCUAACCACCUCCACUGCCUCAAGUUCAGAUCCUUUUGCUUGAACAAGUGCUGUAAACUCCUGUGAUCCGUGAAUACCUCACAAGACACACCAUAGAGAUAGUGCCUUCCAAUCUUCAACGCGUGAACAAUGGUUGCCAACUCUAAAUCAUGUAUUGGGUAGUUCUUCUCAUGGGGCUUCAACUGACAUGAAGCAUAAGCAAUCACUCUAUCCUCCUGCAUCAAUACGCACCUAAUGCCAUUCCGCGAAGCAUCACAAUAAACCAUAUAAGAACCUGAUGCUGAAGGUAAAAAUAGAACUGGAGCUGUGGUCAAGGCAGACUUGAGCUUCUGAAAGCUCUCCUCACACUCGUCAGACCACCUGAAUGGGGCACCCUUCUAAGACAAUCUAGUCAAAGGAGCUGCGAUGGAUGAAAACCCCUCCACGAAACGACGACAAUACCCGGCCAAGCCUAGAAAACUCUGGAUCUCGGUAGCAGAAGAUAGCGUAGGCCAACUCUGAAUUGCCUCAACCUUCUUUGGAUCCACCUUAAUCCCCUCACUAGACACCACCUGGAACAAAAAUUCCAUAGAAUCAAGCCAAAACUCACACUUGGAGAAUUUCGAAUAUAACUUCUUCCCCUCAAGGUUCAGAGCACGAUCCUUAAGUGCUGCUCAUGAUCCUCCCGACUACGAGAAUACACCAAUAUGUCUUCAAUGAACACGAUGACGAAUCAAGAUAUGGCUGGAAUACACUAUUCAUCAAGUGCAUAAAGGCUACUGGGGCAUUGGUCAGCCUAAAUGACAUCACCAAAAACUCGUAGUGACCAUAGCGAGUCCUAAAGACCGUUUUCGAAAUGUCUGAAUCCCGAUUAUUCAACUGAUGGUACCUUGAUCUCAAAUUAAUCUUCGAGAAUACCCGAGCACCCUGAAGCUAAUCAACCAAAUCAUCAAUGCAUGGUAGUGGGUACUUGUUCUUGACUGUAACUUUGUUCAGCUACCUGUAGUCAAUACACAUCCUCAUAGAGCCAUCAUUCUUCUUCACAAAUAGAACUGGAGAACCCCAAGGCGAGACACUCGGUCGGAUGAAACCCAUAUCAAGCAACUCCUGAAGUUAUUCCUUUAAUUCCUUCAACUCCACUGGUGCCAUGCGAUAUGGAGGAAUAGAGAUGGGUUGAGUGCCCCACACCAAGUCAAUACAAAAAUCGAUAUCCCUAUCGGAUGGCAAGCCCGGUAGGUCUGCUAGAAACACAUCUAGGAAAUCUCUCACUACCGGAACUGACUCAACGGUAGGAGUAUCAGCAUUGACAUCCCUCACAAAGGCUAAAUAUUCCAAGCACCUCUUCUAAACCAUCUGUUGUGCCUUCAGGAAGGACAUCACUCUAUUAGGAACAUAAUCCAAUGUACCUCUCCACUCCAACCGCAGCAAACCCAGAAUACCCAAUGUCACAACUUUAGCAUGACAAUCCAGGAUGGCGUAAUAUGGUGACAAUCAGUCCAUGCCCAAAAUGACAUCAAAGUCCACCAUAUUGAGUAACAAAAAGUCCACCCCAGUCUUAUAACCCCUAAUAGUGACCAAACAUGACCGAUAAACACAGUCUACCAUAAUAAAAUCCUCAACAUGUAUAGACACAUAAACAAGGGCACUCAAAGAAUCACCAAACAUAUCCAAAUAUGAAGUAAAGUAAGAUGACACAUACGAAUAUGUGGAACCUGAAUCAAAUAAAACUGAUGCUUCCAUAUGAAAGACCGGGACAAUACCUAUGACGACAACAUCUGAUGCAACAACCUCGGUCUUACCUGGAAAAGCAUAACAACGAGCGUGGCCUCCCCUUUUAGGAUGACCUCUACCCGCCUAUCCUCCACCCCUAGCUGGCUAUGCAGGUGGAGUAGCAGUUGGAGCAGCAACCAUAGUCUGUGAACCCUGUGGAGGCGGACCCCUCCAAAGCCUAGGACAGUCCCUCACCAUAUGCCUAGUAUCACCACACUCAAAACAACCUCUCUGCAGGCGUGGCUGUUAGAAUUGAGUCUAACCUAGUUGGCUAGAAUGACCGUUGAAGGCACCCCAUGUAGGAGGUACGCUAGUAAGUGGCUAUGCAAAAUGGGCACUCUGAGGCCUCUGAAUGGCUGGAGAAGUACGAGUAGCCAGAAGCGCCAAAUGAACUGGUCGACUGACAUAACCUCUUCCAUGACGAGCUGAAACUAUAGCGCUGGAACCACUAAAUCCUCCAAAAUCUCAAGGCCUCUUGGCCUCCCUAUCCUUCCCCUCCUGGCCACACAUACGCUCAAACUUCCGAGCGAUAUCCAUAUUAUGCUAAAAUGGAGUAUCAGUCUACUCUCAUUCCAUACUGAAUCUAAGACCAUAACUUAGCCCCUCAAUAAAUAUGCGGAUUCGCUCUCUGACUGUAGAAACCAAAGCAGGUGCAUGACGGGAUAGCUUGAACUCUGUGCGCCACUCAUCCGGGAGGGUAUGUGGGGUGGACUCCCUUAAAAAUAUAUCAUAAAGCUUAGCCCAAUUAAGUGGCGCUACAUCAGCUGGCCUACCCCCCUCAUAAGCCUUCCACCAUCUAUAUGCUGACCCCGUGAGCUGAAAUGUUGUAAAGAUGACCCUACUCACCUCCAUGAUGCCCAUGGUGCAGAGAAUACGGUGACACUGGUCCAGAAAACCCUAUGCAUCCUCAAAAACUGUGCCACUAAAAGUAGGAGGAUCAUACUUCUUGAAACUCUCCUCUACUCCUCCUCUGAUGUCACUGGCCUGACCUCAGGCUAAACCGCGACAACAAGUUGUACUGGUAUAACACUCAGAACCUGAUCAACAUGGACACGUUGCUCUAGAGUAGGGGUGAUAGGAUUCUGAUAUCCUCCCCCAGCUUGAGAAGUAGCUGGUGCAACUGGGGUCAAUCCCGCCUAAGCCAAAGAACCGAACAUGCUCAGGAAAUGUGCCAAAGUCUCCUGUAGUGCAGGGGUAGCAACAGGCGCCUCGGGUGCCUGCCCCACAAUCAAAGCUACUGGUAGCUCCUCGGUCGCUGCUCUGGCAGGUGCUCUAGCUAUGGCACGUGCCCCUCCUCGGUCUCUACCUAAGUCUCGGCCUCUCGCGACUCUAUCAAUGGCUGCGGGUGUCUGCUAUGCUGAUUCGGUAAGGAUUACUAUCUUUGAGAUAAUAGAAAGAUAAAGGCUCAGAUUUCGAAAUCAAAAAAUUCGCACAAUAAGGAAUGAAAGAAGUGGAAUUUCCUAAUGGUUCCGUAGCCUCUCAAAAAUAAGUAUAGAUAUCUCCGUACCAUCCGCAAGACUCUACUAAACUUGCUUAUGUCUCCUAGUACCUAUGAACCUAGAACUCUGAUACCAACUUAUCACGACCCCAAAAUACCACAUUUAGGAUCAUGAUGGCACCUAGUCUCUAAGACUAGAUAAGCUUAAGACAAGAUGAUAUUUAACAGAAAUAAAUAACUAUCUAUUAAAUUAAACAGAUAAAUGGCAUAAUAAGACUAAAAUGGAUCAAUAGUUAUAUAUCCCCAAAACCGGUAGUACAAAGUCAUAAGCGCUACUGAAAUACACCACAAAUCUCUAAAUACAACACUACUCUGAAAUUCAAAUGACAUUACUAAUGAAGGAUAACAGAAGGUGACUCCGAGGCCUGCGAGCGGAAUGACAAGUAUACCUUGAAGUCUCCUCAGAAACACAAAUAACUAUCUAACGUCUGACACGCUCCGAGGUACCUGGAUUUGUACAAAAAUAUGCAGAAGCGUAGUAUGAGUACACCAAAAUGGUACUCACUAAGUAUCAAGACUAACCUCGAUGGAGUAGUGACAAGAUACAAGUUGGGACACUCACUAGACACAAAACCUGGGCAAAGUAUUAAUAUAAAGCUAACAGUGGAAAUAAUAUCAAUAUACCGCUAACAAUGGAAAGAAAAUUAGUAUAAAGCUAACAAUGGAAAUGAUUUUAAUAUAAAGCUAACAAUGGAAAGUAAAAGCAACAAAUGGAAACAAGGAGUAAACAGGUGACAAAGCAGCAAAUUGAUCAUAACACAGUUAAAAUACAAGUGAAAUCAAUUAAGGAAAGCAAAUGAAAGUGCAAAUACUCAAGUCGUUCUAACACAAGGUUUACAACAAGAAUUACACUGAGGUACCACACCUUAUAAUCACAAAUCACAAAUCUUCCUUAUAACGCUGCAUGAGCCUUACAUUUAUUUUAAAAACAUUUCUUCAGAAAUAACUUCAUGCGCUUUAGCUCCCUUAUCUAGCCACAUGUGCUUCAAAUGUAGUAAUUUCCCUCACUAGCAACACGCGCAUAAAUCCCCCUUAUAUCACCUCAUGCGCAUCAAUAACACCACCCUUAUGCCGCCGCAUGCGCAUCACAUCACAUCACAACACAAUAAUCAUCUCGCACCACACGUGCCCAUAUGCCAUAAUAUUGCUAAAAUAAUAAUACCAAUAUCACAAUGAUAUAUAGCCCACGGCUCAACAACUAUGUGUAUAAGAAUUUCAACAAUAAAACAAUGAAAAGGAAGAAUAACUCAAUAAUGAAGGAUAUUCAAUGUAACAAUAACUUCAAAUCAAUGCAUAUAAAUAACCUAAGAGUCUAAACAAGUCAAUUACCACAAAUAAGCCCAUGCACACACUCGUCACCUCAUGUACACGUCUUUCAUAUAACUCAAAUAAUGUAAUUAGGCCAAAUCCUAUGGGAUAGUUUCCCCCACACAAAAUUAGGCAAGAAACUUACCUCAAUUAGGACAAAUCAACACUCAUAAAUAGUUUUUCCUUUAAAAUUCGCCAACGUACGGCUCAAAUAUAACCAAAAAGACUUAAUAUCAUCAAAUAAUGCAAGAGAAACAAAUUCCGAUAAUUAAAGUUAAGAUCUUUACACAAUCCCCCAAAAGUCAACCUCGGGCCCGCCCGAUCAAAACUCGAGUCCAUGGGUAGGUCUUGACUACUCAUAACCACUUGAGUCCAUAUAUGUGUUUUCUUUCCAAAUCCGAGUCCAAUUCGACUCUCCAAUCUCAAAUUUUCAUUUUUCAAAGCAUAGUUAAAAUUUCCCAAAAAUUCUCUUCAAAUUCCAUGGAUUAGAAGAUAAAUCUCAUAAAUAAUUAUGUAAUAUAAUUUAAUUUGGAUCAAAAUUAUUUACACAAUAGUUGUAUGUAAAAAUUUCCUCCCACCGAGUCUACGACUCUAAUAUGUGAUAAAUAAAGCCAAGUCCCGAAAUCCCAUUAUUAUGUUCAGCUGCAGGUGUCGCAAAUGCGAACCCCGCAAAUGAGACAGACACAUGGCAAAUGUGAUGCUUGACAGACCCAGGGAAUGUCGCAAAUGCAACCCUGCCUUUGCAUUUGCGAAGUCAGUUCCCUCACAAAAGUGGCCGUUUGGUCACAAAAGCGAUCAGCUCCCAGCCAGUUCCCUUCGCAUUUGCAAGGCUAGCUUCGCAAAUGUGACACCUUCUACCCACUGCCCCUUUCACAAAUGCGAUGAUGGCAUACGUGAACCGGUUCUCGCAUUUGCAUUAACAGCAGCGCCAACACACUAGUUGCUGUGAAACUAGUCCGAAUCCAUCGAAAACACGUCUGAAACUCACCCGAGCCCUUGAGGCCCCAUGCCAAAAAUCCACACAAGUCUAAAAAUAGCAUAUGAACUUGCUCACGUGAUCAAAUCACCAAAAUAAUAUCCGGAACCACGAAUCGAACAUCAAAACACAUGAAAUUCCACAAUAAACUCAAGAAUCGCAAGAAUCACAACUAAGAAUCCAAUUCCUAUCAAACCAACUCAGAAUGACACCAAAUUUUGCAGACAAAUUCAAGAUACCAAAACGGACCUAUUCCAAGUCCCAAAACAAAAAUCCGACAAGCCUAUUCUAUAACAAAAUGGCCAGCAUAUCCCUGUUUCUUUUACAAUCCUUAGGUUCCCAAUAACAAGAACAAUCACAACAACCAGCGACUACAUAUUUGGUUCUUCAACCAACACAAAGGAUACGUCGAGCGACAAGCUCAGGUGACAACUAGUACAACUAUAUUUUAAACCCUUAUUUAUUUCAAGGUACAUAGCAACAACAAAUACAACAUACUCCUAGCUUGGAAGCAUAAGUUGGAAGUUUUGACCAAGUUUAACUUUUGUAUAUUUGACCUCAGAUCGGAGUUUUGAUGGUUAUGGUAGGUCUAGAUGGUGAUUUUGGACUUGGGCGUAUGCCUAGAUUUAAGUUCCGGUGUUCCUAGAGGAUUUUGAGGCUAAUUGCCGAAAGUUGGAAGUUUGAAGGUUUGGAGAGUUGAUAGGUUUGACCCAUAGUUGACUUUGUGGAGAUGGGGACUGCACUUGCGAAAAUUGGUGGCCCGCAUUUUCAAGCUUAGUGUUGCACUUGUGACAGUGGUCUGCGGAGGAAGGCUUCGACAUUUGCGAAGAAUUUGAUCGAUUUUGCGAGUAGGUAGCUGAGUUGGGACCUUCGCAACUGCGAAGGAUAGUGUCGCAAUUGCGACUUUAGCUGGGCAGGCUAGGUUCACAAAUGCGAGCCGUUGGUCACAUUUGCGAGGGUCGAAAUUACGAGCCUUCAAUCGCAAAUGUGAGACCUGCGUCGGAUACUUAGAGUCCAUUUCGAUGUUUGAGUUCAUCCUAUCACAUUUUGAGAUUGGGAUCUCAGAUUGAGGCGAUUCUUGAGGCAAUUUUCACCCACUUGGAUUACGUAAGUGUUUUUUACUCGAAUUUGACCAUUAUUAAUUAUUGUGUCUUUGAUUUUGGCAUUUUGGUUGGUGAAUCUAAGAGAGAAAAUUUGGGGCUUUUUGGCAAAACUUUUCUAUUGUGAAAAAAUUGAAAUUUGAACAUUGAUUAAGAGUCGGAUUUGGAUGAAACUUAUAUGGUUGGACUCGUAUUCGAAUGGGUUAUCAGAAUUUAUGAGUUUUUCGGAUUCCAGGGUGCAAUCCUGGGGUUGAAUGUUUGGUUGACUUCACAUAUUUGUUUAAAGAUUCGACAUUUAUCAUUUGGGUUUGAUUCAUAUGGCAUAAUUUGAUGUUAUUGAGUUGGUUUUUGCUAUAUUCGAGCCGUUCAGAGGUCGUUUCGCGCGGGAAGGCAUUCUAAAGUAUUGAUUUGGCUUGUUUGAGGUAAGUAUCUUACCUAAUCUUAUUUAAGGAAUAACCCUUAGGAUAUGACCUUGUUUGUUUAAUUCAAAUGUGUGAGAAGUGAUAUGUAUAAAAGGUGACGAGCGUAUAUACGGGUGUUGUGUAUGAUUCAUGACCGGGGUAGUGUUUGGCGGUACUAUGACUUUAUUUGGAUAUUGUGCUUCGUGCUAUCAUGCAUUAAGUAUUUGUAUGACUAUGUGAGCUCCAUGAAUCAUACUAAAGAUCAUGUGUAGGUGUUGAUUUCCUGUUGAGCAUGAUAUUUUCUAUUGUAUGACGUAUCCGCCACAUUUGAGCUGUAGUUGUACACUCGCACAUUCAUACACCUUAGCAUGCUAUCUUCUUCAGUCCAUGAGUAUGUGAUUUGAUAUUCGUUAAUCAUAUACAUGUAUAAUUGUAUAUGCCUUAUGUGUGAUAGACUGGAUUGGCAUCAUGUGAUUGUUGUCUUGUUCUUGCUAGUGGGGUAUAAAGUAAAGUAGUGCUUAAAGAAAGAGGGAAUAGUUUUGGGGAGUGAUCUUGUUUGUGAAAUUAAAGUGGAUUGAAGAAUUUGUGCUUAAAGUUUAUUAUGUGAUGUGUUAAAGUGUUUAGGAGGGUGAACCACUAUUUCCUAUAUAUAUCAUAUCCGUUCCUUAGCCCACAUUACAACCACAAUAAAGUCCUAAUUAAUUUUAGACCGAGUGAGCCUACAUUAGUAGAGAUUUACAUUAUGGGUAAGCCUAUGGCACCUUUUGCAUGCAUGUGUCACAACCUCAAUUUCCCUCCGUAGGAUGUCGUGAUGGCACCUAGUCUCUAAGACUAGGUAUGCUUAACAAAACAUGCAGAAUAUAACUAAAAUGACAAAUAACUCUCAAAUACUCAAUAAUUUAACAUAAAGAAACUCUGCAGCUCAGUAUAAACAAUUUCCCAAAACCCGGCGAAUACAGGUCAUAAGCUCUAAUAGUAGUACUGAGUAAUCCUUUACAUCAAUGUCUAUAAAAGGAUAAGGAAAAUAGAAUUGUCUUGGUAGAGGGGGACUCCAAAUCCUGCGGACGCUGGCAGGUAUACCUUGAAGUCUCUGAAGCUGAGCUCUCGCUAGUACCUGGGUUGGUAGGAGGUACCUAAAUCUGCACAAAAAGAUGUGUAGAAGCGUAGCAUGAGUACACCACAACAAUACCCAGUAAGUGCCAAUCCUAACCUCGGUAGAGUAGUGACGAGAUCAGGUCAAGGCCCUACUGGAAUAAAUAAGAAAAAAUGUACAAGUGUAUGGCAGUGUAGUAAUGAUAGUAAUGAAAGUGAAACAACAAAUAACAUAUCAAGGUUAGCUACACGAAACUAAAGCAAAUAAUCCAACACGGAGAAAACAAGGAAUGAUAUGCUAAGGAAACCAAAACAACCAAAGACAAGCGUAGCAAUAGAAAAAUACCAACAAGAGUCACUACUGUGGUACCACCUCGUAGUCUCAAAUCACAAGAAUAAUUCAUAAUCUUCUCUCAUAUCACCGCGGGAGCCUUGCAUUUAGUUUUGAAAAUCAUAUUUCCCGAAAUAGCAUCCUAUGUUUUAGCUCACCUUAUCACACCGCGUGGCUUCUAGUAGUUCCCCUACUAGCAACGCGUAUCAAGUCCACUUUAUCUCACCGCAUGCAUUUCAACCCCAAAACCUUAUACCACCGCAUGUGUAUCAAUAUCACAACGUAUCACGAAUCGCACCUCAAGUGCUCAAUAUCACAACUUGACAAAGAAAGCAAUAGUAAUAGUGUUUUCACAAUAAAGAGCCCAUGUCUCAACGACAAUGUACACAAGAGUGUGAACAAUAACAACCAAAAGUGAAUAACUCAACAGAAUAGUAUUUCACAACUUAACACUUUGCCUCAAUGUGAAUCACGACCUUUAUAACUCAAUUACCAGUUUCAUCAACAAGAUAUCCCAAGAAUAACAACUUCAAGUAUAAAAUUCACAGCUAAAUAAUGAAUAAGGAAUAGAGGAAACAACAACAACUUCAACUAAACAUGUAGGGCAAUUAACAAGUAAGAGAUAAGACAAGUAGAGCAUGUGAAGAUAGACUAGAAAUGAUUACUAUAACAUGUUAAGGUAACUCAAUUAAGGCUUGAAAGGAAUCUACAUAGCUACAAUCGGUAAAUUUUCAUAUUUAUCCCAUGCACCCACUCAUCACCUUGCGGACACGGCUUUCACACAUCAUAGUUAUCACAAACAACACCAAUCCUAAGGGGUAAUUUCCCCCCACACAAAGUUAGGAAGACACUUACCUCGAAACACGAUAACUCAAUCCACUAGUAGGCCUUUUCCUCGAUUAUCCAACUCCGAACGGCUCGAAUCUAGCCAAAACAACUUCAUAUUAUAAAUAUAAACUAUAGGAAACUAUUUCGAACAAUAAAAUUACUAUCUUUGCAAAGAAAAUAAAAAGUCAACUCAAAAAUUCAACCCGGGUCCACAUCUUGAAAUCCAACCAAAAUUACAAAAUCCGAAUAUUCAAUUGAUAACGAGUCNNNNNNNNNNNNNNUUAAGAAGUUUUCACAAUUUUUCCUCAAAUUUCCAACUCAAAUCACUAAUUAAAUGAUGAAAUUAACAAUAGAUUCAUGUAAUUUAACCAACUGCGAGUUAGGAUUUCUUACCCCAAUGAUUUUCUUGAAAAACUCUUGAAAUAUCGCCACAAACUGAGCUCUCUAGGUCCAAAAUGGAUUAUGAAACUCAAACCCUCGAAGAUCCCUUUUCUGCCCUGGGAUUCCGCAUCUGCGGCCUUUUAGUCUCACCUGCGACGCCGCACUUGCGUAAAAACUAUCGCAGGUGCGAUUCACAAUUAACUCCAGGGGUUCCACUUAUGCGGAUAAUGGCUCGUACCUGCGAGCCCACUUCUGCGGAGAAACGACCGCAUUUGCGGCCUUGCCCAAAGGCCCUUUCCAAAUUCCGCUUCUGCGGAAGAAAUGUCCACGCCUGCGGAGACGAACCUGCGCCCAGGUGUUCGCACCUACGACCCCAGCCCUGGGCUCUCCUUUUCUCUUCUGCACUUCACCUUCCGCACCCGCGAGUCUACACCUACGGUCAAUCCUUCCGCAGGUGUGAUGACACCAGCAGGCCUGGGACUUCAGCAACAUGAACAAGCCAAAAUUCAUUUCAGAUUCAAUCCGAAUCACACUCGAGGCCCACGAGACCCCGUCCAAAUGUACCAACAAGUCCCAAAACACAUAGCAGACCUACUUGAGGCCAAAAACCACAUCAAACAACAUCAAUUCUAUGAAGCGCAACCCAAUUUAAGCCUAUGAAACUAUGAACUUUCGAAUUUCAAAACUAAUGCCGAUUCAUACCAAAACAAUUCUGAUUGACCUCAAAUUUUGCACACAAGUCAUAAAUGAUAUGACAGACCUAUUCCAACUCUUGGAAUUGGAAUCCAAAUCCUAUAUCAAUAAAGUCAACCCCCAGUCAAACCUUCCAACCUUCCAAACCUUUAACUUUCUAACAUUCGCCAAUUCACGCCAAAAUGACCUACGGACCUCCAAAUCAAUAUCCGGACACGCUCCUAAGUAUAAAAUAACCAUACGGAGCUAUUGGAACUAUCAAAACUCCAUUCUAGAUUUGUCUACACUAAAGUCAAAAUACGGUCAACUCUUUCAACUUAAAGCUCUAACUUAGGGACUAUAUGUCCCAUUUCACUCCGAAACUCAUCCGAAACCAAAACCAAAUACCUCCGGAAAGUCACAUAACCGUAAUACAACAUAGAGGAGGAAAUAAAUAGGGGAUCGGGCUAAAAUACUCAAAAUGACCAGCCGGGUCGUUAUAACAUGUGACUUCUUUAUGAGAGUGAGAGAUUUUUUUUUAUAGAUGUGAGUCCUUAAUUUAUAUUUAAUCAUGAGAUUUGAAUGUGUGGAUUCAACUUACUCUCUUAUUCUUGUUGUGAGGGCACGUAGUUUCACUAGGGAUAAAUAACAUUAUUAGACUUCUCUGUGAUGUUGGAUAUUCAAGCCAUGAGUGUAUUGUGAUAUUGAGUCGGCUUUUGAGGCUAGGAUUGUUAUGAGCAUGUUGUCUUUGUUGUGAAUAUUUUUAAAGAAUGGCAUAAGUAAAGGGAAGUGAAAGUGAUUGCAUAUGCUAUAGUUUAAUUGUUGCUAUCAACGGUCAUUGAUAGAGUGUAUGUUGAAAAAAAAAAAUUGCUCCCCCUUGUUGACAUGUACGUUGUUGGGGUGUAGUUAUAGUUCCAUUGCUCGAGAGCGAGCAAGAGUUUAAGUGUGGGGUGUUGAUAUUUAGCUUAAAGUAUAUAUAUUUAUAUGUAUAUCGCCUCGCAUUUUACUCGUGUUUUGUAGAUUUCGGAUGUGAAAUGUAAUGAUUUAUGCUAAUUCGUGGUAUUUUAAUGUCUAGGAAUCAUCCGAAGGCAAUAUGGGGCUAAGGUGCGAGAUUGGAGCCAAAAAGGAGCAAAAUUGGAAAAUAGCCACUUUGUAGCACCACAAGAAGCGUGGGGCGCUAUUUGUGGCGCAGAAGUCAGAAGCCAAAAAAUCCCAGUACCAGGGAUAGCGCCCCACGCUACCCUGGGUACUGGUGAAGAGAAGUUUUUCCUAGUUCGCCCGAGACAAGGUUAUUUCGGCACCCACCCACCCCCCCACCCCCCCAACGCGUAUAAAAGCAAGAUUAAGCCUAUUUGUUUUUUCAAUUUUUGGUUUAGUUAGAGUAGACUAGAGUUUUUUUAUUUUCUUUAUAGACAUAGAAAUUAUAGGUAGAAUGGUGAGGGGGAUGUAAAUUGGAUAUAUAAAGUGCUCGGGGUGGAUCAGGGAUUUCAUUCAUUCAAAAAAAAAAUCGGCAGAACAGCGCCCAGUGCUACCUAGGGCGCAAAAAACAGAAUCAUCCAUUCCCCCAGCGCCAGGCCUAGAGGGACGCGCUGGGCUGGGGGUAGGUGAGUUUCAAAUUCUUUUUUUGUUUUUAUGUUUUAUUGUUUUCUUAUUAACCCAUACCCAUAAAACCCGACCCACUUACCCCUUUCUAGUCAUCCCUGUCCCCCUUAGCCCUUCUCUCUCUCUCUCCCUGCUACUUUCUUCCUCUCUCAGCCCGCAUCGAUGUCCCUCUCCCUCUCUCAAGUUUUUCAAGUUUUUUCUUCUUUUGCUUUCAUCCUCAAUCCUCAAGGUAUGUUCCCUCUUCUCCAUUAUUUUUUAUUUUGUAAGUUAAGUUUCCCCUUCCCCUUCCCAAAUGCCUGAAACCCCAAUUCCCAAUUAGUGAUUCUUUAGAACUCUUUUCUAUGGUGGGUGGCCUAUUAUGCAAUGAAAUUGGCUGUCAAAACUUGGUUGUUGUGUUGUAUACGGAGUAGUAAACUAAAACUCCCUCUACUUUCUUAAAAUUUGGGAGGCCCACCAUGUUCCACCAUUGUUAAAUUGAGUUGCACACACUUAAUGCCCACCAUGUGUAUGAUAAAAUGUUUGAAUGAGUACUUUGUACACCGGUGAAGUCUGAGUAGCCGAGUGUAGUUGUAUGUGAUAUCGAGCUAAGUGUGGGGUGUUUGGGGGUGGUUUUAUAUAAUUCGAAGCUUGGCUUUAAUGUUCCCAUGUCGCCCACACCAUGUAUCUUGUAUUGUGUAUGAUGUAGCACUUUGUUAGAGUUAGCUAGUGUAGUGUAUUAGUGGUAGAGAUUGAGGACCAUGUGCUACUUGCUUGUAUUAAGGCUAAGUCACUUCGCCUUGUUCGACAAUUUGAUGUGUGUGGCAUAGUUAGUGGAUUAUAACUGUGCGGCACGGGGAAGUCUUGAGUACCCAUUACUUGUGGUGCAACACUUGUGCAUUUUAAACUAAUAUUGUGAGUAUAUUACAGUGAGCCUUCGGUUUUAAGUGUGGGGGUCAUAUUUGACCUUCACGAUAACCUUAGGUGGAAGUCUUGAUGCAUUCUCGCAUUCAUAAUUAAUUGUGUUGUAGGAUGAUAUGGCUCAUGACAGUGCGAACAAGGGAAAGGGAGUAGGGAAGUCCUCAACCACUGCCCCCUCUCCUAAAAAGUUCAAGCAAGGGGAAGGAUCAUCUCGGCAAGCGAAAGGGAAACAAGUUGUCGACGGAUCGAAAAAGGCACCAUUGGGACCGAGGCCUCAUCUGGAUCUAGUUCGUGAUGAUGCCAUCCAACGACAUAAUAACUUUGUGCCAUAUGGGCGGUAUGUCUCCGAGAUGGGUAUUAAUCUGAAAAUUUUGGAAAAGAACUUCCCGGACGUGCUUGCCCGAUUGCGAGAAAUAAAGAUGGAUAAGUUCCUAGAGUGCCCCAGCCAUGAAAAUUUGAGUAUGGUGCGAUAACUUUAUGCCAAUUGGAAUGGGGACUUGUUCAAGUCAUGGGUCCAUGGAAAGGAGGUCCCAAUGGAUAGGUGGUCUUUAUGCAAAUCUUUGGGAGUUGAUAACUCUAACCCGCAAAGGCUGCAAAAAUUUGUCAAAUGCCCAAGCUACCAGGUGAUACGUCACACUCUUUGUGGCAUCGAUUCGAAUGCCAAGUGGGCCCGAACUAAGGGUGAUGCCCAUCCUGAGAUGAUCCGCUUUGAUUUUAGCAAGACCACUAAGGUGUGGCAAAAUUUCUUGCAGGCCAGACUAUUAGCCAGUUGAGCACAACAGUAAAUGCACUUGAGCUCGAGUGUGUGUGAUAUGUUUUCUGAUGACUGGGUGACCCAUCAAUGUGGGUGAUAUCAUGCUAGGGGAGAUGGCCCGCACACGAUUUGGGCUGAAAAUCAAGAGAUUCUUCUUUGGCAACUUGCUCAAGCACUACAUGCUCUCCCGAGGGUGCCUGAAUAUCCCAAUUAUGACGAGGUUGUGGAGGCUCCUAAGGGGUUGAUGGACAUCACAUCUUUAUUGGAGUCUACAUCUAAGCUUAUCCAGGUGGCACUGAAUGAGAGGAACAAGAACUUCAACAGGUAUCUCUAUAACUCCUUUAAUGUGAUCAUGAGCAGGUUGGGUGUAUCGGACGGGGAGAGUAUGAAUCUACAUAAUGAUCUAUCCAGUUCUUUCAAAGAGAUGUUAGGAAUUGCAGUCGGCAGUCCUGUUCACCCAUCAGAGGAUGAGAACACUCACAAAGGCUCCAACACUGAGGAUGAGAUUGGUGAUAAAGUCAGGGGGCCAUGGCUUUGGUGCCUCUGGGAGCUGAUGAUGAUUAUGAGCCCGGAGCUGCAGCUGGUGGGCAUUCUAAGGAGGAGGAAUCUGACUAGCACGGACUUUUUCUUUCCACCUUACUUUGCUUUAAAUUCUUACAUGCAUCGGGGACUAUGCAUAUGUUAAGUGUUGGGUGGGGGAACUACUUCGUGUGAUGUAAAUUGUAUAAAUAUAUUUCUUUUUAUUAGUUUUUUUUAGGAACCCGUAGUAGACUUAGUCUAGUUUUGGAAAAAAAAUAAAAAAAAGAUUAUACAGAAAUAGAAAAAAGAAAAAAAAUUAGAAGAAGCUCAGACUUUUCCUGACGAUGGAUCUUUUGGACAAUUUUAUUGAGGGAUUAAAGUCCGAUUAAAAACACCAAAAAGUUUUUUUUUAAGGAUAGUUAGGUAGUAUCCCUUGGUUUUUCUUUGGGCGCCAGUUCUUUUCCAAGGGUGUAGCUCGACCUGGGUACUUUGUUUUUUUAGGAGUAGCUUAGGAAGAAACUGAGUUGCUCUGAGGUGCCUAUUGACGUGUUUGGUGCUGGCACAUUAGGCUAUGGCAUGCUCUCUGUCUUCCCGUACAUUUGAUUUGAAUUUUGAUGCCUGAGUAAAAUAAAUAGCCUACUAUGUGAUGCCUUUUCUCAGUUGUUCGACUUGUAUGCCACAUAGUUCAAUAUUGCUUAAAAUUUCUCAACUAUAUGUGCUUGCUUGACUCGAGAGUUGAACAGAACCAUCUUGAUUGAGUCAUGUGCCAUGUGUGUGUGAGGAUUUGUGAUCUUCUGUGCUAUCAUGUGUAGUCUAGAACUUGCCCUGUGUGUUAAUUGAAUCGAAAUCAUUAAGUUGUGCUAGCCUAGGAGAUGAUGUAGGCGUUUCUUGCUUGAUCAUAUAUGUGCUUGUCACUUAAAAAUAAAAUUUUCCAUUGCUAGCCCCUUUGAGCCUAUAGACCUUUUCUUUGGCACCCACAUUACAAGUCGUAUCCCUAUUUUGUUCUUAAUUUGAGAUUGUUGAACCUUUACCUCCUAAGGCACUUAGUCGCUAAAAGAAGUAAGGUGAGAGAUUGGGGAGUAGCUUUCGAGUGGAACCAUGGAAGGGCCCUUAAGGUGCACUAAAGUUGUGGAAAAAUAAGGUCACUAGCCGAUUUGAACCUUAAUGUACGGAGUGUGUGUAGAAAAAAAAAGAGAAAAAGAAAAAAAUUGCAAGAAAGAAAAAAAGAAUAGUUCAAAUAAUGUAGAAAAACACACACCUCCUAAUCUUACUAAUUCGUGCUAGUGGGAAUAUAGAUGUGCUUAAUUGGAAAAAAAAAAAGGGGCUAUGUUUAUAUGGUUUGUGGCGAGUGAAUUGGUUGAGAAGAAGAUGUGCUCGAUUUUUUAGUGUAGUAUAUUACAGUGCUUAGGAGGGUUAGUCACUAUUCCUAAAUGUAUCUUACCCGUACCUUAGCCUACGUUACAACCUUAAAGUCCUAAUUGAUCCUAGAUUUGGCUUGCUUAGAUUAGUAGAGAUGAACACUAUGGGCAAGCUUAUGGUACGACAACGGGAUACACAUGAAAUUCUUUGUGAGAGUGAGCGAAUUGGGUUCAAUUGUGUGAUGUCCUUAAAUUAUGUUCCAAGGCAUACUUGAAUAUGUGGACUAUUCUAUAUUCACUCUUUUGUUUGUUGGUGACGACACAUGAUCUCAUGAAGGAUUGGUAAUGUUGUAAACUUCUCUUGUUGGGUGAGUGCGCGAGUUGAGGGUGCUUAGUGGUAACGAGUUGGCUCUUGAGGUAGGGUGGUUACGGAUAGGUUGUUUGAAUUAAUUGAAUUGAAAUGUUUAUACUUGGGCAUGUUUGAAACGGGAAGAAUGUGAAAUUAGUAUGUUCAUGCUUGAUUGUCGGUAUCGAUCAUAGUCAAGGAUAGAGUGUAUGGUUAAAAAUUGAAUUGCUCCCCCCUUGUUGACAUGUACGUUGUUGGGGUAUAGUUAUAGUUCCAUUGCUUGAGGGCGAGCAAGAGUUUAAGUGUGGGGUGUUGAUAUUUAGCUUAAAGUAUAUAUAUUUAUAUGUAUAUCGUCUCGCAUUUUACUCGUUUUUCGUAGAUUUCGGAUGUGAAAUGUAAUGAUUUAUGCUAAUUCGUGGUGUUUUUAUGUGUAGGAAUCAUCCGGAGGAAAUAUGGGAUGAAGGUGCGAGAUUUGAGCCAAAAGGGAGCAAAACUGGAAAAUAGCCACUUUGUAGUGCCACGGGCAGUGUGGGGAGCUACCUCUGGUGCAGAAGUCAGAAGCCAAAAAUUCCCAGCGCCAGGGAUAGCGCCCCACGGUACCUAGGCGCUGGUGACGGGAAGGUUUUUUCUUAGUUCGCCUGGGAUAAGGUUAUUUUGGCCCAAGACCCCCCCCCCCCCAAAUGCAUAUAAAGGAAAGACUAAGCCUAUUUUGAGAGGGGAGACGCCACUUUGAAGGAAAAAUAUACAUGAGGAACAUCCAGGAGCGGGGAUAUCUCAGUUUUCUUCAUCUUUUCUUAGUAUUCUCAAUUAUUCAACACUUGUGAUUUUUUUCGAUAGUAUCAUGUGUGGCUAAAACCCAUAGUUCUGAUGUUGUGAUUUAGCCAUAAUUUUUGUUGUUUAAAAUUGACUUAACCUUGAUUACAAUUCACUAAUAUAUGGUUGUUUCUUCAACUCUGUCAGUAUUACUUAAUUGACUGGCCAACAGUUAGGUUCUAUUUACUAUAUAUGCUAUGCUUGGGAAAGCUACGUCUAGAAUAGAAAAGAAUUGAAGAGAGCAUGAUCUUAAUUCUGAGUGGAGGCAGAUUUGUUGUUAGGAUAGGAAUAUACCUAGUCACCAUGCUUAAUUAAAUAUAAUAAUCUUAAUGCAUUCUUAAUAGAUUGAUUCCAUAGGAAUAUAGGCAUUAAUCUAUUUUGAAUAGGCGAAUAGUAAUUCGGGAGAAUACUACGAGAGCAAUUGUUCGAUUAAUUAGCAACCAUGAGUGAAUUGUAUGAAAGGGAGAGUUAGUUAGAACACAAUAGGAUUGGUGAAUCGAUCACAACUCUAGAAUAUUCGUCUCUACUGAAUACACAACAACUAUUUUGCUGCUUGAUAAAUUAGUUACUUGUUAGAAUUAUUGCUUAGUAUAAUCAAACUUUUGAACUCUGAUUAACUCGACUAAAUAAUAAUCUUGGUGAAACUAGUGGGUAGUUAACACAAGUCUCUGUGGGUUCGACACUCGAUUUAUCACUUUAUUACCUGUACGACCACGUAUACUUGCAUGUGUAAUUUGGGAGCAACAUAUAUGCAUUCCACUGAAUAGAAACAUAAUACGAAACACGCGACCUCGAAUCUUCACGCAGGAGAUAACCCACCGGCUAGACUCAAAUCAACAACUCCCCAUGACCCCACCAAGGUCACAACAACUAGGCAACCGACUAAUACUCCCAAGUCUCCGCUUGUCGACAAGAUACAAGAAUCUACUUCAUCCCACAAAUGAACAACUGGAAGAUCUACCAAUACAUAAACAUCAAAACCUUGACAACACAUCGCGAUGGUAAUCAAGCAUUCACAGGCCUUCGCAGCCCAUCCACAACAUCACAAGUCGUUGGUGCAUAAUGAGACUUGGUGCUCAACAUCGCAUUUGGACAAAUAGGAAGAAUCAAAGUCGCAGGUUUCAAGCUGAAACAAGGUCGCACGAUAAGGAAAGAAAUAAGUAAAGUUUCCUAAAUGCCAUGUAGCCUCUCGAAGAUAGGAAUGGAAAUCAUUAUACCGAUCCACAAGACUCUACUAGACAUUUGCUCAUGAAUCGUAGAACCCGCACACCUAAUGCUCAGAUACUAACUUGCCACGACCCAAAAACCACUUAGAUGUGAUGGCACCUAACCAUAAUGCUAGGUAAGCCAGACAUAGAACAAGGUAACUCAAAUGAUAGAUUAAAUGACUGAAUUCUAUACAACCUCCCAAGGACUAGUAGUACAAGUCAUGAGCCACUAUGAUAUAGAUUUACAAAAACCAAAAUGAAGUAUAAGUACAAUAUCUGUUUGAAAUUUACAUAAACAGAAUUUAAGUCCUAAACUACCAUGAACAAGAGGUAGCUUGAAUAUUGAACGCUGGAACGUCUUCAGUGCAAGCCUCGAUUUUCCAUAGCUACAUAGCUCCAAGAUCGGAACGCAAGGUGCAGAAGUGUAUUAUAAGUACAACCGACCCCAUGUACUCAGUAAGUAUCUUGACUAACCUCGGUGAAGGAGUGGCGAGGUUUUAAGUUAAAGAUACUUACUUAAUAUGUACCUGUGCAGAUAAUAAGCAGGAAAAAUAAGGCAAGAGAUAUGUCGAAUAAUGGUAGGAGUAUCAACUCAAAAGCUAUGAAGCACGUUAACAAACAUGGAAACAACACAUAACCUCAUAACCAUUUCUACAAAGAGAACAAUAAUCAUGAAAUAUGCACAAGUGUCGCGCUCCAUUUUCUCUCGAAAGCGGGUUUCAUUGUCUAACAACUUUUUUGAAUGGGUAUUAAGAGGAAAGAAUAGCCACCUAAUGAUUUUAGUGUGCAUUAGGGCACCUAUUUCACAAAUAAGUCUGUUUUAACUAGUCCGUGUCACCAAAGAUCAGGUAAGGGCUCAAAUUACCUCAAAGAGAAGGUGUUAGGCACUCUUCGAGGUCCACAACUGUGGGUCCCGGCCGAAAUUAAUGUUGUCUGGGUUUGGUUGUCUCUUGAUUCUCUCAGGUAAUUUCUUGUUUAUGCAGUUAGCCUUCAACUUGAAAGAGUGAUUUUCAGUUUCGCACUCAUAACAGGAAACUUUAUAGCUCUUUGCAAUAAUAUCGAAAUCGCGAAUUGUUUAUGGUGCUAGAAAGUUAACUCAUGGAGCUUAGACAUAUGUGAAAAAAUAUCAGUCAGAUAACUCCCAAAUCUGUUCAGGUAAUUUUCUGAUCAGUUUUUGAAUUCGAAUUCACUGAUCACUUCAGUGUCUCACGUCAUCACGAGAAACCUUAUAACUUUUUGUAGGACUGUCAUGACCCAAAAACGACCUAGUCGUAAUGGAACCUAACCCUAAUGUUAGAUAAUUCAAACAUAGAACAAGGUAACUCAAAUGAUAGAUUACUAUUAACAAGGAAUAAAAAUGACUGAAUUCUAUACAACUCCCAAGGACUAGUAGUACAAGUCAUGAGUCACUAUGAUAUAGAUUUACAAAAGCCGAAAUGAGGUAUAAGUACAAUAUCUGUUUGAAAUUUAAAUAAAAAGAGUUUAAGUUCAAAACUACCAGGAACAAGAGGUAGCUUGAAUUUGGAAUGCUAGAACAUCUUCAGUGCAAGGCUCCAUUUUCUACAGCUACGCAACCCCAAGAUCUGCACGCAAGGUGUAUAAGUAUAGAAUGAGUACAACCGAACCCAUAUACUCAGUAAGUAUCUUGACUAACCUCAGUGAAGUAGUGGAGAGGUUUUAAUUUAAAGAUACUUACUUAAUAUAAACAUGUGCAGAUAAUAAGUGUCACGACCCAAACCGAUGGGCCGCGAUGGGCACCUAGUACCUUACUCAACCGAGUACCAACAUAACAUAUCUUUUCGUAUCAUGGCUAUCAUAGGUAAAUGAUAUGGAAAGGCUGUCGUGGGAUAACUAGAAUAAAACAUGUAAUACCAACUUAUACAUAAGACAUACGGGCCUAUAAGACCAAAAUGACCACUCAUACACUGAACAUAGGCCGACAAGGCCAUACAAUCUUUUACGUACAUGACAUAUNNNNNNNNNNNNNNNNNNNNNNNNNNNNNNNNNNNNNNNNNNNNNNNNNNNNNNNNNNNNNNNNNNNNNNNNNNNNNNNNNNNNNNNNNNNNNNNNNNNNNNNNNNNNNNNNNNNNNNNNNNNNNNNNNNNNNNNNNNNNNNNNNNNNNNNNNNNNNNNNNNNNNNNNNNNNNNNNNNNNNNNNNNNNNNNNNNNNNNNNNNNNNNNNNNNNNNNNNNNNNNNNNNNNNNNNNNNNNNNNNNNNNNNNNNNNNNNNNNNNNNNNNNNNNNNNNNNNNNNNNNNNNNNNNNNNNNNNNNNNNNNNNNNNNNNNNNNNNNNNNNNNNNNNNNNNNNNNNNNNNNNNNNNNNNNNNNNNNNNNNNNNNNNNNNNNNNNNNNNNNNNNNNNNNNNNNNNNNNNNNNNNNNNNNNNNNNNNNNNNNNNNNNNNNNNNNNNNNNNNNNNNNNNNNNNNNNNNNNNNNNNNNNNNNNNNNNNNNNNNNNNNNNNNNNNNNNNNNNNNNNNNNNNNNNNNNNNAAGUUGAUAGCCUACUUGGAGGACUCUCGACCUGUCUAUCGGGACCUACAGGCAUGAAACUCUACGUCCCCAGGAAAAAAGGACGUCAGUACAAAUAAUGUACCGAGUAUGUAAGGGAUAAAAAUUAGUAAACAAUAGACAUGAGAGAAACAUGGAGUAAAAGACUCAACAUGUAAGUAUGAAUAGAUCUGCAAAUCAUUUCAUAUUUAUAAUGUCAUGCAUAUGCAUAUAAAUGUCAUGCCAUGCAUAGGUAUAUGCGUUCAUAACAUCAUCAAGCCUCUGAGGGCAUCCCAUCAUAUCAUCUCGGCCACUGUGUGCAAAUCAUCAACGUAUACCAGCUGAUCAGGUGGUGGUACGUAUAUAACACCUAAACCUUUUCCCAUAUCCCAUAUACAUAUAUUUACAUAUAUAUAUAUAUAUAUAUACGCGUAUAUAACUCCAUCUGGUCAUGGGUCAAUGUACAUGCAUAAAUGAAUGCAAUGCAUGAGAAGUACAUCAUUAAAGUCUCUCGAAAUGUCAUAAGACCAUUAUGCCUCUGAUAGAACAAUAGGACACAUGGGGAAUCAAGAACAUAUUCAUCUCUAGUAUUUCUAUGAAUAGAGUCAUUUAUGAAAGUUGUGCAUUUGCUAUUUUGGUUUGUAUCGUAUGGAUCAUGCCAAAAGGAAAGAAGGGAUAACCUUAACAUGCCUGAGCCGGUUUACUUGACAAUCCCUCUAACACACGACCAUCGCGAUAAAACACGUAACGGCGGAUUGAAGUAGGGGAAAAUCCGUAUUAUAUUCUUAAGAAAGAUUGUAUCGGGCUCCCUUGGAAUUUGUAAAUUCAUGCUGCCAUUACAUAAUAACAUCUUCAUAUAAUUUGAUGAUGUUUCCCUUCAUUAUCUUGUAGUGAUACAAGUAUCUCUCUUAAGUGAUUUUGAAAGGUUGAAACAACUCACAUUGCUAAUGCAUAAUGCAAUCCCGUAUGGAUUCUUGUUGUAGCUUCAUCCGUACCUUGUUGUUCUCAAAGUGUAACACCAUUUGAUACACUAUUUACCUAACCUUGUGGAUUAGAGAUGGCAUUCUUCAACAAGAAUGAUAUAAAGGUGCACAUAACUUUAAAUGUUGCCACCACCUACUUAAGGUUAUGAAUUGGUGGCAAUUUGCUGCCAAGUUUCCAUAAAUACUACGUGGAUGUUGUCCCCCCUAACAAUUAUCCAAAUCUCAUUUAAAUAAUUAUCCACAAAAUUCAAUUUACAAGUUAAUCUCCCACUUAAAAAUUCAUAAUUACCCAAUUAUCCACAUAAUUAAGAAUUAUCUCAAAUUACUUAAAAUACUACUCACUUUUAACAUACUUUAUAUACCUCACUAUCAUGGUUAUAUGGUAUCUUGUAUGGAAUUAGUCCAUAAAUACCGAGUAUUAUAGCUUGGACCGUAUUUUAUCCUAAAUUGUCAAAUUUUGACGAAACUCAUUUCUUCGAUUCGCUUACCCUCUCACCUUCACGAAUUUAUUUAUCACUUGUUUUGAAAUAGCGUAAUACUUAUAAUCUCAAAAUAAUCUCAUUCCCGAGAUUUCAUCAAUUUACUUAUGAUGUACUUUCACGUAUGAAAACAUGGGGUGUAACAUCAUUCCUCCCCUUUGGAACAUUCAUCCUCGAAUGUUGACUGAUGCACUUAUCAUUUUCAUAACUUAUGCCUUCCGAAUACUUUAGCACUCUCAUUGCCAUCUAGACAACUAUUCUGUGAAUAAAAUUAAAGGCCAAGUCAUCCCCCCCCCCAGGCCUCUUUCUCACACCAUGACUUGUGGUCGGAAUCUUUCCAAUCUCAUAACUGUUGCUACUUUCUAUCAUGCAGCCUGUAUGACUCUGACCUUGUGAGUGUGCCUAUGCAAUUCUUCUCUCCUUUUUCCUCUAGUUUUUAGCCAAUCUCUAGGCCUCACUUUGUAAAUAUAUACAGAGCUUGACAAGAUGUCCCUCUGGGCAUCUAUAGGUAUAUUGAAGCUCUUCGCUCGGUACUUUGUUGAACUUACGAAUAUUGUUAUACCUUAUUUCGUAGAUCCGUUUAUCCAUCCGUAUGACUUUAUUGCAUCUAGGUAGGUCAUACUAUACAUAACUCNNNNNNNNNNNNNNNNNNNNNNNNNNNNNNNNNNNNNNNNNNNNNNNNNNNNNNNNNNNNNNNNNNNNNNNNNNNNNNNNNNNNNNNNNNNNNNNNNNNNNNNNNNNNNNNNNNNNNNNNNNNNNNNNNNNNNNNNNNNNNNNNNNNNNNNNNNNNNNNNNNNNNNNNNNNNNNNNNNNNNNNNNNNNNNNNNNNNNNNNNNNNNNNNNNNNNNNNNNNNNNNNNNNNNNNNNNNNNNNNNNNNNNNNNNNNNNNNNNNNNNNNNNNNNNNNNNNNNNNNNNNNNNNNNNNNNNNNNNNNNNNNNNNNNNNNNNNNNNNNNNNNNNNNNNNNNNNNNNNNNNNNNNNNNNNNNNNNNNNNNNNNNNNNNNNNNNNNNNNNNNNNNNNNNNNNNNNNNNNNNNNNNNNNNNNNNNNNNNNNNNNNNNNNNNNNNNNNNNNNNNNNNNNNNNNNNNNNNNNNNNNNNNNNNNNNNNNNNNNNNNNNNNNNNNNNNNNNNNNNNNNNNNNNNNNNNNNNNNNNNNNNNNNNNNNNNNNNNNNNNNNNNNNNNNNNNNNNNNNNNNNNNNNNNNNNNNNNNNNNNNNNNNNNNNNNNNNNNNNNNNNNNNNNNNNNNNNNNNNNNNNNNNNNNNNNNNNNNNNNNNNNNNNNNNNNNNNNNNNNNNNNNNNNNNNNNNNNNNNNNNNNNNNNNNNNNNNNNNNNNNNNNNNNNNNNNNNNNNNNNNNNNNNNNNNNNNNNNNNNNNNNNNNNNNNNNNNNNNNNNNNNNNNNNNNNNNNNNNNNNNNNNNNNNNNNNNNNNNNNNNNNNNNNNNNNNNNNNNNNNNNNNNNNNNNNNNNNNNNNNNNNNNNNNNNNNNNNNNNNNNNNNNNNNNNNNNNNNNNNNNNNNNNNNNNNNNNNNNNNNNNNNNNNNNNNNNNNNNNNNNNNNNNNNNNNNNNNNNNNNNNNNNNNNNNNNNNNNNNNNNNNNNNNNNNNNNNNNNNNNNNNNNNNNNNNNNNNNNNNNNNNNNNNNNNNNNNNNNNNNNNNNNNNNNNNNNNNNNNNNNNNNNNNNNNNNNNNNNNNNNNNNNNNNNNNNNNNNNNNNNNNNNNNNNNNNNNNNNNNNNNNNNNNNNNNNNNNNNNNNNNNNNNNNNNNNNNNNNNNNNNNNNNNNNNNNNNNNNNNNNNNNNNNNNNNNNNNNNNNNNNNNNNNNNNNNNNNNNNNNNNNNNNNNNNNNNNNNNNNNNNNNNNNNNNNNNNNNNNNNNNNNNNNNNNNNNNNNNNNNNNNNNNNNNNNNNNNNNNNNNNNNNNNNNNNNNNNNNNNNNNNNNNNNNNNNNNNNNNNNNNNNNNNNNNNNNNNNNNNNNNNNNNNNNNNNNNNNNNNNNNNNNNNNNNNNNNNNNNNNNNNNNNNNNNNNNNNNNNNNNNNNNNNNNNNNNAAUGAAAAUCAGUAAACAAUAGACGUGAGAGAAACAUGGAGUAAAAGACUCAACAUGUAAGUCUGAAUAGCUCUGUAAAUCAUUUCAUAUUUAUAAUGUCAUGCAUAUGCGUAUAAAUGUCAUACCAUGCAUAGGUAUAUGCGUUCAUAACAUCAUCAAGCCUCUGAGGGCAUCCCAUCAUAUCAUCUCGGCCACUGUGGACAAAUCAUCAACGUAUACCAGCUAAUCAGGUGGUGGUGCGUAUAUAACGACGUAACCUUUUCCCAUAUCCCAUAUACAUAUAUUUACAUAUAUUACGCGUAUAUAACUCCAUCUGGUCAUGGAUCAAUGUACAUGUAUAAAUGAAUGUAAUGCAUGAGAAGUACGUCAUUAAAAUAUCUUGAAACGUCAUAAGACCAUUAUGCCUCUGAUUAAUAUCAUGAAAUAAACUUUAUCAACUUACGUAUUUUUUGAGACCCAUGAACAGAUGAUAGAACAAUAGGACACAUGGGGAAUCAAGAACAUAGGCAUCUCUAGUAUUUCUAUGAAUAGAGUCAUUUAUGAAAGUUGUGCAUUAGCUCGUUUCGUUUGUAUCGUAUGGAUCAUGCCAAAAGGAAAGAAGAGAUAGCCUUAACAUACCUGAGCCGGUUCUCUUGACAAUCCCUCUAACUCACGACCAUCGCGACAAAACACGUAACGGCGUAUUGAAGUAGGAAAAAAUCCGUAUGAUAUUCUUAAGAAAGAUUGUACCGGGCUCCCUUGGAAUUUGUAAAUUCAUGCUGCCAUUACAUAAUAACAUCUUCAUAUGAAUUUUAUGGUGUUUCCCUUCAUUAUCUUGUAGAGAUACAAGUAUCUCUCUUAAGUGAUUUUGAAAGGUUGAAGCAACUCACGUUGCUAAUGCAUAAUGCAAUUCCAUAUGGAUUCUUGUUGUAGCUUCAUCCGUACCUUGUUGUUAUCAAAGUGUAACAUCAUUUGAUACACUAUUUACCUAACCUUAUGGAUUAGAUAUGGCAUUCUUCAACAAGAAUGAUAUAAAGGUGCACAUAACUUUAAAUGUUGCCACCACCUACUUAAGGUUAUGAAUUGGUGGCAAUUUGCUGCCAAGUUUCCAUAAAUCCCACGUGGAUGUUGUCCCCCCUAACAAUUAUUCAAAUUUCAUUUAAAUAAUUAUACACAAAAUUCAAUUUACAAGUUAAUCUCCCACUUAAAAAUCCAUAAGUACCCAAUUAUUCGCAUAAUUAAGAAUUAUCUCAAAUUACUUAAAAUACUAUUCACUUUUAAUACACUUUAUACACCUCACUAUCAUGGUCAUGUGGUACCUUGUAUGGCACUAGUCCAUAAAUACCGGAUAUUAUAGCUUGGACCGUAUUUUAUCCCAAAUUGUCAAAUUUCGACGAAACUUAUUUUUUUGAUUCGCUUACCCUGUCACCUUCACGAAUUUAGUUAUCACUUGUUGAAAUAGUGUAAUACUUAUAAUAUUAAAAUAAUCUCAUUCCCGAGCUUUCAUCAAUUUACUUAUGGCGUAUUUUUACGUAUGAAAACAUGGGGUGUAACAAUUAGCAGGAAAAACAAGGCAAGAGAUAUGUCGAAUAUUGAUAGGAGUAUCAACUGUAAAGCUAUGGAGCACGUUAACAGACAUGGAAACAACACAUAACCUCAUAACCAUUUCUACGAAAGGAACAAUAAUCAUGAAAUACGCACAAGGAUCCUAACCAAACAUCACCAACAAAUACCGUUGCGGCAUGCAACCCGAUCCCAAUCUCAAAUAAUAUUAUUGCAGCGUGCAACCCGAUCCCAACAUCAAUAAAUAUUGUUACGGCGUACAACCCGAUCCCAAAUAUCAAUAAAUACUGUUGCGGCGUGCAACCCGAUCCCAAUAUCAAUAAACACUGUUGCGUCAUGCAACCCGAUCCUAAUAUGAAUAAACACUAUUGCGGUGUGCAACCCGAUCCCAAUAUCAAUAAUACCACAUAAAACUGCAACAACAACCAAACACGGGAAAAGUUCAUAACGUAACACUAAGAAAACAACCACGCGGUAUUCAACUAGGUAAUACAACUCAAACAGAGUAGAAUAAGCAAUCCAAUAUCAAAAAAUAGUCUAUCAUAUAUAAUGACAAGGCUUCCACAAAGCAUAACACACAACCAAUCUAAAAGUCUCCCAAUUUGGUUAAGAAAAGGAGAGUAGAAGAUGAAACGAGUAAAGAUGUUCAACAAGAAAGAACAUGGAUCAAAUGAAGGCAUUCAAUAUAUGAAAUCAUUUAGCAAGUAUAAGCAUGUAGAAAGUAAGGCAUUUAAUCAGUGAAGGCAUAUGGUAAGUAAAAACAUAUAGUAAGUGAAGACAUAUAGUAAGUGAAACCAUGUAGUGAGUGAAGACAUGUAGCAGGUUAAGGCAUUUAACAAGUAAAUCACGUGGCAAUUAGAGGCAUGUAACAGGUAUGGGCUAAUAACAAGUAAAGACAUGAAUUCGAAGAGGAGAUGUAAUAUAAGUAAAUCAAGUAAAAGCACAGGUGUAAUAGGAACCGACAAGGUAAAGACAUAGCUAUAACAGUAACAUGCCAAAGGGAAAACGCAGAGGUAACUACAAAAGGAACUCAAACGGAAGGUAUCAUUCAAAACAACAAACACUAAUCAAAACCAAAGUAAAGGGCAUAUACGUACUUAACGAAUGGGUAAUCGUAAAAAAAAUCCAACUUCCUUCCUUUUCGAACGGUAAUAACCAACGAACCAAUCUCAUUUCAAACAGCACGGAAAUACUCAUCGUGCUAAUAUCAUAUCAACCGCACGGAAGUAUCCAUCAUGCCAAACCUAGCCCGAAGGCCCAAUCACCAUCUCUUAUUACGAAUAAAGAAGCUCAAGUAACAUUACAAUAACAUGUAUAGAUAUAGGUUCGUGUUACCAUGAUCAAGUUAGGUAUGCAAGAUCUCAAAACCACACAUUAAAUCCUUUUUUAAGAUGUCAAGUUUUUUCUUGCAUGAUUCCUAACACAGUUAAUUGAGUUUAUUAGUCAUCGAAUUAAAUGAGGCAUAGAUUAAGUAAUAAUCAAGUUCAACAAAGGCACAAAGAACCAUAUAAUUCCCCUUCUCGAGCAUGAAAACCCUGGAACAUGUAUAUACGCUCGUCACCUCGUAUAUGCAUCACCCCCGCAUGUAGCAAACAAUAUCAAUUAGUAGGAAACAUUUUCCCAACAAAGCUAGGCAAGAUACUUACCUCAUUCUACAACAAAUCAAUAUUGUACCAUGGAUUUUCCUUUAGAACAAGCCUCCAAAUCUAGCCAAAUAUCGAUUAAAGAAUUCAAAAUAAGCUUUAGAAACUAUCCACGAACGAAAAAGGUUCAAUCCUUAGCUAAAUUGAAAAUAAGUCAACAAAAGUCAACCCUGAGCCCGGUUAUGUGAUUUGUUUUGAAAUUCGACCUCAAUUUGAGGUCUAAAUCUCAAUUUUAUAAUAUUCCAAAAUUCUACCCAAAAACCCUAUUUUCUACCAUGACAUUCCUAGAUUUGAUUUUAAAAACUCAUGAAAAGUAAUGGGGGAAUUGAUAGAAAAUGAAUUAGAGUUGCUUAUCAAUGAAUUUGGGAAGAAACAGUUCUUCAAAAAUCUCCUCUAGAGUGUUUGGGGUUGAGAAAUGGUGUAAAAUGAGCUAAGUCCCGACUUUCCCCUCUUUUACCCAGUUGCAGGUGUUGCAUUUGCGAACACUUGUUCACAAAUCUGAUGCUCGCAAAUGCAAUCAGUGCCUCAGGUCCCCAGAAGUGGCAAAAGUGACAAAAGUCUAACAAAUGCGGGGAGUCCCCUCAUCGCAUUUGCGAAGCUGCCAGCCCCCAGUACCUAAUCGCAAAAGAGACCAACGGUCGCAAAUGUGACCACCCACUAUCCGCAAAUGCGAUAAUUUUCUUCGCAAAUGCGAAGACCCAGUCCCCAGCCCAUGCUCGCAAAUGCGAUCUCUUGACCGCAAAUACGAGACUCACAAAUGUGAGUCGGACCUCGUAAAUGAGAGAUCUACAUCUGAACACCAACAACUGGAAUGCACUAGCAAUUCCAAACUCUUUCGAAACACUUCCAAAACUCAUUUGAGCCCCUCAGGCUCCAAGCUGAACAUGCACACAAGUAUAAUAACAUCCUACAAACUUUCUCGCUACCUAGAAUCAUCAAAAUAACAUCAAAUAACACGAAUCGAUUAUCAAAAAUCAAGAAUUUUCAACUUAAACUCAAUUUCAAAUUUCUCACAUAAUACACCGAAACGCGUUCGGGUCACCCCGGACCCCAACCACCCGUGCUUACAAGUCCAAAAAUAUCAUGUGAAACUACCAGAAUUGUCAAAAUACUGAUCCGAGGUCAUUUACCAAGAAUGUUGACCGUAAUCAACUCUAGCCUUAAUUUAAGUCAAAAAUCAUAUUUUCUUCAACAUUUUCGGUAAAAACUUUCCGAAAAAUGACAUGAACCACGCACUCAAAUUAAGAAACAACAAAUAGAGCUAGAAAAAUUUUUGGAACACAGAAAGGAAUGCUAGUACCCAAAACGAUCGGUCGGUCGUUACAUCCUCCCCCACUUAAACAUACGUUCGUCCUCGAACGUGCUACUAGUCGCACCCAAGCCAUCAAUUAGCUGAAUGAACUCAUCAUACCCAUACCCAUGAGUGAUCUCGUGCUACCUCGGUCCACAUAAGUCCAUGAACAUGAGCCCGACUGAAGAUUCUUCCUUUGACCUUAGCCCCAUCGGGUGUGGAACCAAAUUCCAACAUCCGGAACCUCCUUUGAGACCCGAUUUUUGUAUGUACACACUAUAUCAAUCUCAACAAGCUGCAUCAAGCCAUCAAUAUAUUUCCACGGUCAACCACACAAUGUGCCACAUAACUCAUGUACUCAAAGCAUUAAUCUUCCAACCACAAUAGCUACUCAUUACCAAACUCGGUACCAGUAAUAUACCUUAUAUCAAAUGAAAACUCAUUAUGGGCCUUCACAACGCUGCUAAUGAUAAGAGUAACAUGCAGAAACUCGUAACCACCCAUGAAAUCAACAAGUCGAGGAGCUCCCUUAUCCGACAAGGACCAUUGCCAAAUUCUGAGCGGAAAUAUGGUAUUAUUCUUUCAAAUAUUCCUUAUCCCCAACACGAUAGUGAGAUUCAUAGGUCCAAAAACCUCAUCUCACCCAAUACAAAUAGCCCAACUGACAAGCCACACCAAGGGCCAGGUGUGGUCCGUACACCAAAAGGGCAAUAACUCAGAUAUAUCUAAAAAUGGAAAUGAAAUAAGGGACGAGGACUAUCCAACAAGUAAAACUGAUAUAACAAAAAAGCAUAAUUUUUAUGAACUCAUCCCAUAAAGGGAAAACAAAACACAUGAAAUAAACACAAUGAAGGGUAUCUCACAUAACUCUGUUGUGGCGUGCAACCCGAUUCAAAAUAUAUCAAUCCACAUAGGGAUACCCAUCGAGCCAUAGUGCUCAUGCCCACUAAGCACAUUUGCAUCAACAUCAAACACAAUAUAGUGCACAAAUAUAACUGUGGGGAGGUGGAUAGAAAUAACACAAUACAUAAAAGAGGCAAGCACAACUAGGGUGAAAUAAGCAAAUCAACAUCAAAAGGGACAUUUUGCUCCUAUAUCUCCAUAAGGCCUAAACAGGAUCACAUCAUGCGUGCGAAUAAUCAGGUAGUCUCACAACCCGUCAUAGCAUAAGAGAGAAACACAUAACAUAAACCAUGAUAUGUUCAAAAUCUAGUCCGCCCGAUGAUAUACCUACGGUAGCAAUUACUUAAGGGUAAGCAAACCCGAUCUGAUACAGCAUGCACACUCUCAUUAGGGCUACAAAUAGCUCCCAAACCAAUUUCGAUCGUUCUUAAACAGGUAUAUAACCUUACAAAAGUCCACACCAUCCUAUCCAUAACACAUACCCUCUACUAUCCAAUUCUUAACAUAUCUUCACAGCCCGUAACCAAGGAAUAGUCUGCCUACGAGAACAUCUAGUCUCUAAACCUCAAGACUAAUGGAAUCUCCAUAUCCGAUCCCAACUCCACUACUCAAAGAGCUAAUACAUCACUCGUGCACAAUAAUCUCAUGGAAGAUACCCACAUAAAUCUUCUGUGCCACGUAGCAAAAACCGAAACUCAACAGCCCAAAACCCGGCGAUCGUCGUAACACUAGUCAAGCAUCCGCAAGUCAAAAUACAAUGCGCCUCCUAAAACUCACUCCUCUCAGGCGACAUCAAAUGGCACCAACAUUCUCUUAAAUGUCUGAAUUCAUCUGUGCCAUCAAGAACUCAUGACCUUCCCUUCAAAACUAUGCCGCAAACCUUGAGCUCGUAACUUUAAAUCCCACAUGGUGCACUACAUCCAUCACGCUAUCUCAUGAAAAUAUGAAAAUCUCAUAAUUAACUUUGAAUCACAAGCAGGAUGAACACCUUAUAAACCAAGAACCUUCCACUUAACUCAAUCCGGAAGGACAUCACCACACGCAACACACUUUCUAUACCUGCAGAAAACAUCAACUCCGAAUCAUGGCCAUAACCAUCAUGAAUUCUUCGAAACCCGUUAACGCAUAAUCAAGUCAUCAGAACUGAUCCCUCUAACUCAAUAGAGUCAUGUAGACUACCAAAACCAAAAGUAACUCAAUCUGAAAUGCUCGUUCUAAAUGGACCUUUUGCGAAUUCGAAGUCGUUUCUUGCAUCUCUCUAAUACUACCAUGCUGAGUCCAUAUUGAUAUAGAAGUAUAGAAAAUCUAGACGUCAUCCACUACCAAUCUCGAGCUCUAACCAUAUAAAAAUUUGAAAAUCCUCAAAUGCCACAUAUGAAUCUUGAGCUCAUCAGAACCUUUUACGUAGUCAUCCACCUUGCUCUAAUCUCCACUACACAGCCAAUACGUAUCGAAUAACUCACACUUCGUCAGCACCUGAAUAACUAGAAGAAGCAACCAAGUGAUUUCUUUCCCUUGCACACCAUAUCCACAAUGAGUAUCAAACCUAAAUCAUUCGCAAGACCUCUAUAUACCUGUAAAGAAUAUUACAUCAUGCAUCCACCGAUUCCUUGCUCGAAAUAAUCCUCGAGGAAACCUUUCCCAAAUCAUAGCCAAUCCAAAAGCACAUCCUAGUCCAAGAACUAUUAUAACGCAUGACCAUGCAGUCCGAUCAUCGAUAGAAGACUCCCCCACUUAGCUCGAAUCCAUAUAACACAUCAUCGGCAAUCCACAGUAACAUUCCUUCAUAACUGCCCCGGCCUCGCACUAUUAAUAAACUAAAUACUUCAUAAACUCACAUAACACCAGUCAUCAAACACUCCAAAGACUCUCCCGAGUGCAUAAGCAUCCUUGUGAUUGUCAAGCCGAUUUCCUCAAAUGCUCCAAAAUUAUAAUAUAUGCAUUCCACUGAAUUAGAAACAUAAUACGAAACACACGACCUCAAAUCUUCAGGAAGGAGAUAACCCACCGGCUAGACUCAAAUAAACAACUCCCCAUGACCCCACCAUGUUCACAACAACUAGGUAACCGACUAAUACUCUCGAGUCUCCGAUCGUCGACAAGAUAUAAGAAUCUGCUUCAUCCCAUAAAUGAACAACGGGAAGAUCUACAAAUACAUCAACAUCAAAGCCUUGACAAUACAUCGCGAUGGUAAUCAAGCAUUCACAGCCCUUCGCAGCCCAUCCGUAACAUCACAAGUCAUUGGUGCAUAACGAGACUUGGUGCAUAACGAGACUUGGUGCUCAACAACGCAUAUGGACGAAUAGGAAGAAUCAAAGUCGUAGGUUUCAAGCUGAAAUAAGGCCUCACGAUAAGGAAAGAAAUAAGUGAAGUUUCCUAAAUGCCAUGUAGCCUCUCGAAGAUAGGUAUGGAAAUUAUCAUACCAAUCCACAAGACUCUACUAGAAAUUUUCUCAUGACUCGUAGAACCUACACACCUAGUGCUCUAAUACCAACUUGUCACGACCCAAAAACUACUUAGUUGUGAUGGCACCUAACCUUAAUGUAAGGUAAACCAGACAUAAAACAAGGUAACUUAAAUGAUAGAUUAUUAUUAACAAGGAAUAAAAAUGACUGAAUUCUAUACAACCUCCCAAGGACUGGUAGUACUAGUCAUAAGACACUAUGAUAUAGAUUUACAAAAACUGAAAUGAAGUAUAAGUACAAUAUCUGUUUGAAAUUUAUAUAACCAAAAUUGAAGUCCUAAACUACCAUGAACAAGAGGUAGCUUGAAUAUUGAACGUUGGAACGUCUUCGGUGCAAGGAUCAAUUUUCCACAACUAGGCAGCUCCAAGAUCUGCACACAAGGUGCAGAAGUAUAGUAUAAGUACAACCGACCAUCAUAACCUCAUAACCAUUUCUACACAGAGAACAAUAAUCAUGAAAUAUGCACAAUUGUCGCUCCCCAUUUUCUCACGAAAGCGAGUUCCGACGUGUAGCAACUCUUUUGAAUGGGUAUUAAGAGGAAAAGGUUGACAUCUAAUGAUUUUAGGGUGCAUUAGGAUACCUAUUUUGCAAAUAACACUAUUUUAACUAGUUAGUGUCACCAAUGAUUGGGUAAGGGCUCAAAUAACCUCAAAGAGAAGGUGUUAGGCACUCUUCGAGGUCCACAACUGUGGUUCCUGGCCAAAAUUAACGCUAUGUGGGAUUAUUAGAUUAUAAUUAUCCUAUGUGAUCAUAUAAAUUAAAGGAAGAUAGGGAAUUUAAAUAUUUGACUACGAUAUAAAACAAGUGUAAAGAAGAUUACACAUAUGAAGGAAUUAGUCUAUAUAUUAAUAGAUGAUUAGUACAAGACUUUGGAGAUUACAAGGUACAACCUAAUUUACAAGGUACAACCUAAUUUCUUCUAAGUCCGAAGAAAUAAAUGUGCGAGUAAUAGACAUAUGGGGGUCCUAAGUUUUUUAGCCUAAAGGAUCACCCUGCGCAACAUAAAUAAUACUUCGUAAGUCCCUUAAGUUAGGGGUUGCUGAUAUUAUUCAGCGGGCACAAACUAUCAUCUCCUGCUAUCGAAUUAUUAUGUUAAAGUUGUUUACCUAAAGUGCUCUAGUUUAAUUCUAAAAUGUGUCCUAUGUGUGCAUUACACGUCCCAUGCCUAUGGUCCAGGAGGCUUUGGACCUACUAUUUAGGUGGUUCUAGACUUUACUUAGGGUACUUAAAUUAAUAAAACUAGGUGCAUAUCACAACAAAUAGGAUACUGCACAUGAUAGCAAUGAAUGGCUCAAGUUAGCCUCCACACAUAGUAGCAAAAGCACGCAAACAGAUUUCACAUUACGCAGCAAGGUGUCAUAGACAGUUUUUAAAAUUGAGACGCAUUAAAGUCGUUUUAAUCCUAUAGUCAUGGUGUAAUAAAAUCUCAUAGGCAGUAUUACUAGUCAGGUUAUCGAAGUUGCAGAUUAUAAUCGUUAUAAGAACCCUAUAGACAUGAUCAAUUAAGGCCCUAUAGACAUGGUAUCUAGAUGAGCAGGUCUUAAUUACUUAAUGCGAUCCUAUAGGCAUGUCAUCUAUCAAUCACACAACAAUAGCACAAGUUGAGUAAACAAUCAAUGAUGUUUGAAUCCUAUAGGCAUGCUAUCUAAUACUAUAUAGAAGUGAAGCAUGUGAACAAGUGAAACACUUAGAUUCUUAUAAGAAUGUUUCUGAUAGUGUCCGGGCAUUGAGCAGGUGAAGUGUUUAAGUUGCUAUAGGCAUACUUUCUAUUAGCGUAUGGAAGUAGAGCAUGUCAAUCAAGGUAGCAAAUAAAGCAAUUAAACCCAAUCGGCAUGUUUUCUGCCCAUUCAUGCGAGAAUUAAAGUUCCCCCAGUCCCCUUUUUCACAAAUUUCCCCAUCAUUUAGUUUUACAAGUUAUUACAGACCACAUUGAAUAAUUACAAGCUCAAUUACAAAUUUAGAAUAACCCAAUAACACAUUUGGGCCUUCAAAUAGGCUUAGAACUUCACGCAGACAGGGGGCCCAAACUCCUGGUGCGGACAGUGUACUUCAAAACACCAAUACCAAAAGCAGGCCCAAACGAUUGAGGUAAAUAAUCUAAUGGAUGCCAAAUUUAGCCAUACAGGUAACAAACUACUCACAGAAUUAAUUAAACAACUUAAACACUUAGUUCUUACAACUGAAACUAGAUGCAGCUCUAGCCAAGGCAUAUAAAUAGGAUCAUGCUAAAUUAAAAGGCAUCAAAGACACAUAUGGGUAAUUUUAUUAUAAGGCCCCGUAAAUAUUUCACCUAAAACCCGGGGUUUCGUAAUGGAGGGGUAGACUUAUGUGUUGUUGAUUGUAGAACAGUGUGUUGGGGAGUUGAAGAAAUUUUUUAGAAAAAUAAGGCAUUUCUGCGGUCCAUUCAACUGUCGCAGAACUGGUCUGCGGACCGCAUAUCGGCCGCAGACUGAAUCAGAGAACAAGGCAAAAAUUUUGGACCAUUAUGCGGUCCAUUAUAUGGCCGCAUAAUUAUUUUGCAGGCCGCAUAACCCAUCGCAAAUCCAGCAUGAAAAAUUUUCGGAGGGAUGUUCUGCGGCUCAUUAUGCGACCGCAGCUGGUCGGAGAGUGGGGUAGAAUUGCCUAGUUCUGGAGGGCCAUUAUACGGCCUAUUUUGCGGAUCGCAGAAGUAUUAUGCGACCGCAGAUCUGUGAUGGGGCUUCAUUUUUCUAAUUUUAUAACCUGACCCCCAUUUCGUUUAUCUAGCCUAAGUGUUCAUUUUUGGAGGAUCACUUGUCAUUUUAGAGAGAGGAGAGAAUUAUUCUAGAGAGAGGAAAUGGAGGGUUAAGGAUUUCACUACUCCACCUUGAUCGAACCUUGGGAUUUCAUCGAAAGGAACUUGCUAGGGUUUCAAAGAGGUAAGAAUUUCUUUCCCCAAUUCUUCAAUUUCGGGUUUGGGGUUGAUUAUGGGUGAUAAGGGUAGAUUUAUCACAUGCAAGAUCUAAUAGGGCUUAUGGGGAAGUUGUUGAACAAUCUUGGAUGGUUUUGUUGUUGAAUUGGUUGAGGGAAAGGUUGGGUCAUAGUUGUAACAGCCCUUGUCAUACGGAUUUCUCUAAUUGUGCUUGUAAUUCUCCCCUCCUCUAUACAUUGGCAUCGUUAAGAGUGUUGGGACAUUAUAUGUUGCAUUACCAAAAGCUCUUUCGAGGCAUGUUGGCUAAACUCUUCUCUUAGAAUUGAACCCCACAAUACCCUUGUAAGUCCCGUGAUGCUUAUUAUAAAUUGAAUUCUUCCAAAUAAGCCUUGUGUCAAAAUAAAUAUGCGUUCAAUAUGUAUUCCAAAUAUUCUUGUUAUGUUGAGUUACCAUUUGAGAAUGUGGUUUAAGCAUGGGAUGUGUGUUAUUGUGUUAUGAUUUAAAAAUGUGUUUCUAACGAAAGUUACCAUGUCAAAUUGUGUAAGAGAAAUCACCUGUGCCUAAGACCCUAAAUUGCUCAAGUAUGUGUUCAAGUCUUAAUUUGGAAGGCCUUGUUGUUGAUUAUCCAUGAUGAUAUUUGAAAGUGAAAUAGUGAGCAUGAAAUAAGAUGUGCGGCCAACAUGCCAAAAAGAUAUUGCAUCAUGGCCAUUGGUGCCAGCGAAACGAAUGAUAUACAAAAUAUUACGAAAUAAGUGGUAAAUCCUUUUAAUAGUAAAUUUCUUGGGAGUAUCGAUUAGCCACCGAGGAAGGAUAGGUCGAAAUAACCUAACCCCGAAACUACACGUGCCGGUGUAAGAGUGAUUGAGGGGUAAAUCCCUGUGACAAUGUGAUAAGGUUGUUUCCCCUUAUAUGAGAUGAGAUUGAUGUGUUGAGAUGUUUCCCCUUAAAUGGGAUGAGAUUAUUGCUAGCGAGAUAUGAUGUGAUGUGGACCCACACGGCAUUGUGGCGAGACAGCUUAUGUCACACCCCAUCCUCGGGAAGCGUGAUUGGCGCUCAACCGAGUGAACCCGGCCGAGCAAGCCUGUUAGAUAUUGUCUACCCAAUUAACCUAUGAUCAAGAAACGACGUGAUUAUAUUAGUUAUACAGUAGGAAUCUCAUUCAUACAAUCCUAAAUCAUUUCAUUAGUCAUUGCGCCUUUAAGUCUCAAAAUACACAUUUCUUAAAGUUCAAGUGGAACGAGUGAUCAAACACAGCAUGACUUGUUUAACAUUCCCAACACUCACAUACGACCCACAUAGUGUCUACGGAGUCUCUAAAGAUACAAAAGAGAGUAAAGAUGAUGCCGGCAACAAGGCCCCGGCUAUACCUCAAAAAGUGACCAUAAUAUAAACAAAAGGUACAAUACAUGACCCCGGAAUGAAAUGGGGCUCACCAAGUCCGCUGAGAAGAGGAUGCAGCACUAUCUGCGAUCCGCAUUGUCUGCUAUGUAACCACCUGCAUCCAUUUAAAGAUGCAGCGCCCCGGGCAAAAGGGAUGUUAGUACCGUCGAAUAACACUAGUAUGUAUAGCUAAACACCAACUCAAUAGAAUGAAUAAUAACACAAGAGGAAUAGUCAAGAAUUCAAUAAGGGCUUCAAAUAAUAGUAAAACAACAAGUUAAGGAUCAUAUACAUUUUUAAGACAAUUUCCGUAUUAGUAGGUUGGGUGACCUUUAGUACCGAUAUUCCACAAUUCACAAUACCUCCGUACUCUUACACGGAGUCCGAUCUCGGCCGGAUCGGCUAGGCCGCCUCAUCUGAGACAUUACCACAAUUUCGUUAUAACUUUCCAGUACAGUACCACCAUGUGUGCGGCAUAGCAUCCGAUCACGGCCCGAUCGGCUAGGCCAUCUCAUUUGAGACAUUACCACAAUUUCAUUCACAAUACCACUGUGUUCUUACACAGAGUCCGAUCUUAUCCCGAUCUACUAGUCCAUCUCAUUUGAGACAUUACCUUUUUCAGUCAAUAAUCUCACAUCGUACUUCUUUCAUGUACUUUCGAUUCAUUGACACUAGUGAUUACGAUUACAAAUUCAUUCUUGUCACUUGGCCGUAUUUCAUAGUUCCAUACCCAUUUUCCACACUCAAUAUCAUUAUCAAAAUCAAUAAGGCUCCCCAUUCAAGACAGUAAAUUCACAUAUGAGCAAUUUGGGAAUAUUAGGCACAUAAAGGCUUUUCAUACAAUUUGGUAUAACAACUUUUAUUUCAAUCUUGACAUGAAGUAUUAACAUUCCUAACACAUAUUCCACAUUUUGAACAUAUUCUCAAAUGGCAAGAUGACAUGAUGAAGAAUUUAGCAUAAACAUUGAACAAACAUCCUUCUACACAACCACAUUAGGAAAAGCCAAUUCGAUAAUGAUCAAGAACUUACUCCGAUUACAUGAACACUGUGGGAUUCAAUUCUAAGAAGAAGGGGGUUUAGCCAACAUACCUCAAUUGAGCCUCUUAAAACUCUAAGAUGUUCCGGACUAUUAGCAACUUCAAUCUAUUUUAGUAAUAUAACAAAAUUGAACCAAAAUUAGGAAGAUGAACAUGAUUUUAGCUCAUUUUAGCAUACUAUCAAACACUAAGUAUGCAUCAAUGUUUUAAGGCUAUUUUGUGGAAGAUUCCAUCAUUUCCCAACCCACUCUAUACCAUUAUUAGCUCACAAUCUUCCCACAUACUAUAAGGAUACAUGCAUGCAAGNNNNNNNNNNNNNNNNNNNNNNNNNNNNNNNNNNNNNNNNNNNNNNNNNNNNNNNNNNNNNNNNNNNNNNNNNNNNNNNNNNNNNNNNNNNNNNNNNNNNNNNNNNNNNNNNNNNNNNNNNNNNNNNNNNNNNNNNNNNNNNNNNNNNNNNNNNNNNNNNNNNNNNNNNNNNNNNNNNNNNNNNNNNNNNNNNNNNNNNNNNNNNNNNNNNNNNNNNNNNNNNNNNNNNNNNNNNNNNNNNNNNNNNNNNNNNNNNNNNNNNNNNNNNNNNNNNNNNNNNNNNNNNNNNNNNNNNNNNNNNNNNNNNNNNNNNNNNNNNNNNNNNNNNNNNNNNNNNNNNNNNNNNNNNNNNNNNNNNCUAGGUUCCUCUCUUAAUAAUCUUCAAGAUUUAAGUGAGAAUUGAAGAACAAUUUGAUGAAGAUCACUUCUCCCUCUAGGACCUUCUCUCUCACUCUAAAUAUAUCAGAAAAUAUGCUCAAAAUGGUCCAUAGGGUAUGUUUUAACGAAAUAGGGUCGGGUUUAAAAACCCCAAAAAUGAAGCUCCGGAACAAGGUCUGCGAUCGAAUAAACGAUAUGCAGACCGCAUAUCGAUCGCAUAAUCGGUGACCAAACAGCCAAAAAACCUGUCCGUGUCUGCGGUCACUAUACGGCUUGCAGACCUAUUCUGCGGUCGCAUAAUGAACCGCAGAAUAGUUAUGCGGUCGCAUAGUUGACCGCAAAAUCUCAUCCAAACUGGCCCAAUAACUUCCUCGCUCUGCGGCCAUUAUGCAGUCCGCAGAGUGAUUCUGCGAUCGCAUAAUCAACCGCAGAAACGCAUAACACUGCCAAACAUUUUCCUUUACUUUUUGAUACAUUGUUCAACCCAAAAGUCCAAACCGCGGCGAGCUUGUAAAACCAAUUCGGCACCACGAAACAUUAUUAUCAUUAAAAAAAAUUUCCUUUGCAAAAUUUUACGGGGCCUUACAGCUUAGCUGAUCAGGCUGGGAUCGGACGCCAUGCCGCGCACAUGUUGGUAUUGUAAGUGUAUGUCUCGGGGUGAGACGGCUUAUCCGGUCGGGCUAAGAUCGGAAUCCGUGCUAAAACACGGUGGUAUAUCAGUGCUAAAGAUCUCCCAACUUAAAUUACUGAAAUUUACUUUUCCCUAACUUGACACCUUGUUACCAUUUGAUCCUAUCAUUGAUUUCUUGUUUCCUUCUCUGUUUACUGUUAUUCGUUCUAUUGAGAGGGUGCUUAGUUUUACAUACUAGUAUUAUUCCAUAUGUACUAACGUCCCUUUUUGCCGGGGGCGCUGCAUUUUUAAUGGAUUCAGGCGGUUCCAUAGCAGGGGGUAUUGACCAGUGAUAGCAGCACACCCUCUCCUCAGCUGACUUGGUGAGCCCCACUUCAUUUCAGGGUCCUAUAUCUCUUAUCCUUUGUAUAUAGCAUUGAGGUAUAGUCGGGGCCUUGUUGCCGGCACUGUCAUAGCACUUUUGAAUCACUAAAGGGAGAAAUCGAAUUCCAAAUCUUAAUGAGGGUUCAAUGUUUGAAAAUUAGUCUACUGGUGUAAGAAAUCAACAUUUUUUCCGUGUACAUGGACGGGAUAUUGUCCAGUUCUUGGAGAUUAAGAUGAACGGGCCCAAUUCUGAGAGAUGGUACUUGCCAAGUUUAGGCAAGUACUAAGUAACACCAUUGUUGUGUAGAUAAUGACGCGGUAACACAAAUAAGGAAGGUGAAUCACAAGAAGAUUCCAUUGUCUAGCCGAAAUUGGAGAAGGAUUAGAGAUGAGGCGGCUAGGGUUUCUCAGGGGAGAAGAAGGGUUGACAGUGUUUGAGGCAGAAGAAACGGGAAAUGUCUCUAGGGUUUAGUGGGGAAGGAUAUAAGGAGAAGGGUAGGGUUGUUGGGGGCCGUUGAUCAUUUAAGAUCUAAGGCCAGGAUCGAAGGGGAAGCGGGGCGGGUUAUUAACGGGUUGCGACUGGGUUAAGUUAAAGGGGUCGUUUGGUUUGGGUUGCUGAAAGGUAAAAUGAGAUGGGCCAGGUCUUUGGGCCUGAUAUUUGUUCCGGAACUAGCUCAAAAUUGGGCUAUAAUACACGAAAUUCAUAAAAAAUGAAUUAUAAAAAUUAUUAUAAAUAAUAAAAAUAUUAUUUAUUCAUUAAAAUUCUUGAAAAUAAUAGCUUCACAUUAUAAAAAUUAUCAAAUGUUAUUUUAGCAUAAAUAAUAUAAUAAACGCAAUUAUUUAUUGAAUAUAGACUAUUAUUGUAACUUGUGUAGAUAAAAUAGAGAAAAAUACAAAUAUAAUUAUGUAAAAAUUAGAUGUAAUAUUAUAAAAUAAAUGUGGGUAUAAAAUUCUAAAUUUGGAUGAUUAAAUCACCCUAAAAUUAAUUUAAUGGGAUAAUUAAUAAAUAUUUGAACAAAUUAAAUGCAACAAAAUUAAUUUUAAAGAUUUAAAAAUUAUAGAAAAUUAUUGAAAGUACUUAUAUGACCCUUGUAAAUUGGGUAAUAAUGCAAAAUGAUAUUUUGAAAGUAUAUAGAAUACUUUAUAAAAUAUAAGGGCAAAAUUUGGUAUCAACAGUUGCCCCUCUUUAGCCGAGAAUGAUGAAAGAGUUGCCGGGUAAAGAAAAUAAUGACCAAUUUUGUCCGAAUGAGCAAGUAUGAGUUGUUUUUUUAAAAUGGGGGUUGAACCUUGGUUCCUGAGUUCUCUACAUAUCCCUAGUGUUACGGAAAUCAGGCCGUGUGUAGUUCUGGAUCCAACGGUGAACGAAACCGAUGGAGUUGUCAUAAAGAUGGUCAUACGUUUCGAGGAAGGAUCUUUUGGAUAGGAUAGUGUCAUGAGUAACGGAUAAUUUUAGGUAGAGCUAUGAAUGCAAAUUUGAACAUUACGGAUAUUCGAGAUAAAUGUUUGGGUGGUUACGGGAUGGAAACAAUCAUUGCCGGUUGUUGGUUACAUUUGACGUGAUCAAGGGAUAUGAAUGUUGUGAACGAAAAUCGGAGCGAGAAUUGCUCCUAUUUGUAGGAAGGUUACCUCCCGAGUUACAUGCAAAGCUUAAAACAUGAUGCAAAUAUAUAUAGUUAUUGUGGAAAUUUAAAAAUGAAGCAGAUUCCCUUUGGACCAUGAGAGUUGUCUUCGGACGAUGAGGAUGAUAUCCUUAGACCAUGACGUCCUGGGCCAUGAAGCGUAUGAUAAGGGAUUCGCAGGCCAUGAAAUGGUGUCCUCGGGCCAUGAGUAUGGUGCCUAUGGAUGAUGAUGCCUUUGAAUAAUGAUAUGAGGUUUCGAGAGAUCCUCAGGCCAUGGCAUGAUGUCCUCAGGCUAUACGGAUGAUGCCUUCAGACUAUGAUGCCUUCGGACGAUGUGGUAAUAUUUCAGCCCAUUCGAUGCAUGGAUGCAUUGAUAUUGAUUGCUUGAUAGAAGGAACAGGUGAUGCUUUAGACAUAUGCGAGAAUGAGACAAGGCAGUGUUUAGUCCUAUGCAGUGAUGAAAGCAGUGCUUAGCCCUUAUGCCAUAAUGGAGACAAUAGUUAGUCUCAUGUAAAGGAAGGCAGUGAUUAGCCUUGUGCAAUAAUGGAGGAAGUGCUUAGCCUCAUGCAAUGUAAUGGAGACAGUGCUUAGUCUCAUGCAAAGGAAGGUAGUGUUUAGCCUUAUGCAGUAAUUGGGGCAGUGCUUAGCCUCAUGCAAUGUAAAGGAGACAAUGUUUAGUCUCAUGUAGAGAAAGGCAGCAUUUAGCCUUAUGCAGUGAUGGAGGCAAUGCUUAGCCUCAUGCAAUGUAAUGGAGACAAUGUUUAGUCUCAUGCAGAGAAUGACAUCGUUUAGCCUUAUGCAGUAAUGGAGGCAGUGCUUAGCCUCAUAAGGGCAGUGCUUAGCCCUAUGCAAUGAUGAGGGCAGUGCUUGUCCCUAUGCAAUGAUAAGAGCAGUGCUUAGACUUAUGCAUUGAAAUGAGGGCAGUGCUUAGCCCUAUGCAUUGUAAUGAGGGCAGUGCUUAACCCUAUGCAGGAAGAGCAAUGAUUAAAUAUAAGAGAGAAAAGUAGUCCUUAGCUUGAUGUGUUUGUGCUUGGCGAAUCCCGUCGGUGUGAGGAUAGUGGUCUUGCCGUAUAUAUGUUUGUUGUGGACGUGCUUGUUAUGUCCAUUAUGCUUGCAUCCAAAGAGAGAUUGUGAGUUUGGGGGAAAGGUUAUUUCGUGUUCUUGAUUACUCAUUUUGCCUUUGCUCCGGUCUUGACACCUGUUCGAGUCACCCUGUGUAACCUCUGGCUACUACAGAAAAUGUGGUUUUUCGAAAAUAUGCAUUUAUGGUAAAUCAUUUAUAAGUAAUGCCAUUGCUUUAAAAAAUACUUAACAAAAGUAAAUAGUUUGGUCGAAUCAUAGAUUGUGACAUGCUUUGAGACAUUGCGACCUUCUUAACUCAGAAUUUUGAGGACCUCCUCAAAAUUCUACCCUAGUUUAAUGUAUACUUCUGGUGAUACAUUACUUGGCGAUCCUUAACGUAAUGAGACUGACGAAAACUCAAAAUCUUGCUCUGUUUCUUGACCGUAGAGGGGAAUGAAGAUUUUAUUAUGAUGUGACCGAACCCAUAGGGCUGCCUACAUAUCCCCUCUUAAGCGGGAAUCAGGUCAAGCGUGGUUUAUGUUACAUCAAAAGAAAGUGCAAAUACAAUCCCAAAUGUAAUAUCUCUUGACGGCGUCCGAAUUGAUAGGUUUUGGCCAUAUUUAUCCGUCCAUCUCUGCAAGUAUGAUUGUUCCACCUGUCAGUACUCGGUGAACCGUGUAAGGGCCUUACCAGUUAGGUGAGAAUUUUCCUUUUGCCUCGUCUUGGUACGGAAAAUAUGCUUCAAUACCAAUUGCCCCGGUGUGAAUUGCCUUGGUCUAACCUUCUUAUUGAAAGCUCUUGUUAUUCUAUUCUGGUACAGUUGACCAUGACACACCGUGUUCAUCCUCUUACCGUCAAUGAGAGCCAGUUGCUCAUACCGGCUCUGUAUCCAUUCCGCAUCGCUGAGCUCGGCCUCCUGUAUGAUUCUUAGGGAAGGAAUCUCCAUCUCGGCGGGUAUAACAGCUUCAAUACCAUAAACCAGUAGAUAAGGGGUUGCCCCAGUUGAUGUGCGGACUGUGGUGUGGUAUCUUAGCGAAGCAAAUGGUAGCUUAUCAUGCCAUUGCUUGUAGUUAUCCACCAUCUUCCUUAAUAUCUUCUUGAUGUUCUUGUUGGCGGCUUCCACGGCUCUAUUUAUUUGCGGCCUAUAUGCUGUGAGUUCCAGUGCUUGAUUUUGAAUAUUUCACAAAUGGCUUUCAUAAGAUCACUGUUGAGAUUGGCAGAAUUGUCGGUAAUGAUUGACUUAAGUACUCCAAAUCAGCAAAUAAUACGAUCUCGGACGAAGUCUACUAUGACCUUCUUAGUCACAACUUUAUAGGAAGCGGCGUCAACCCACUUUGUGAAGUAAUCUAUGGCCACCAAAAUGAAUCUAUGUCCGUUGGAAGCAGGGUGUUCAAUUAGUCCGAUGACGUCCACGCCCCAGGCAGAGAAAGGCCAGGGUAAACUCGUUGCAUUAAGUUCGUUGGGUGGCACCCAUGUCAUAUCAUCAUGUACUGUCUCCAUAGUCAUCCAGUAUUACCAUUCCCUUAAUAUCUUCUUGGCUAGAACGAACCCCUUCAUGUGAGGUCUGCAGGUUCCGGUGUGUAUCUCUUCGAGUAACCUAGAUGCCUCCUUGGCAUCGACACAUCGCAGCAAUCUCAAGUCAGGAGUCCUUCAAUACAGAAUUCCUCCUCUCCGAAAGAAAUGGUUGGCCAAUCUUCGAAGCGUACGCUUCUGAGUGUGUGUAGCAUUUCCUGGUAUUCUCCUUUCUUCAAAUACUCCUUAAUGUUAUGAAACCAUGGAUUUCCAUCAAACUCUUCUUCAACAUGAGCACAAUAAGUUGGCUACUUUCGAAUCUCUAUCGGGAUAGGAUCAAUAAAAUUCUUGUUUGGAUGUUGUACCAUGGAAGUCAAGGUAGCCAGCGCAUCGGCGAACUCAUUCUGAACUCUUAGAACAUGUUUGAAUUCUACCUUUGUGAAUCUCGUGAUCAAAUCUUGCACACAGUGCAGGUAUGGCAAUAUCUUAGUAUUCUUGGUGGCCCAUUCUCCGAGUACUUGAUGUAUUAGCAUAUCUGAAUCUCCGAUUACCACCAAUUCCUGAAUAAUCAUAUUGACAGCCAACCUGAGUCCUAAGAUCAAGCAUCAUAUUCUGCCAUAUUAUUGGUACACGGGAAUCUGAGCUUGGCGGAUACUGAGUAAUGUUGACCGAUUUCUGAUACCAAAAUAGCUUUGAUACCCACUUCUUUGAAGUUUGAGGCUCCGUUGAAAAACAUCCUCCAACCAUCAUAUUCUUCGGCAAUAUCUUCCCCUAUAAAUGACACUUCCUCAUUAAGAAAAUACAUCUUCAAAGGUUUGUAUUCUCCGUCUGCGGGGUUUUCUGCCAGGUGAUCUGCCAAUGCUUGCCCUUUGACUGCCUUCUGGGUCACAUAGAUAAUUUUGAACUCACUUAGCAAUAUCUGCCCCUUUGCUAGCUUACCCGUAGGCAUGGAUUUCUGAAAGAUGUAUUUCAGCAUAUCCAUCCUCGAUAUGAGAUAUGUGGUGCAUGCGCAGAAGUAAUGUCUCAAUUUUUGGGCUAUCCAUGUUAAGGCACAACAUGUACGUUCCAACAGAGAGUAUCGUGCUUCGUAUGGUGUGAACUUCUUACUCAUAUAGUAUAUUGCUUGCUCCUUUCUUUUGGUUUCGUCAUGUUUCCCCAAUACGCAACCAAAUGAUCCAUCCAACAUGGAUAGGUACAGCAGUAAAGGUCUUUCGGGCUCCGAUAGGACCAACACGGGUGGCUUGGACAAGUACUCCUUGAUUUUAUCAAAAGCCUUUUGACACUCUUCAAUCCAACUCGUCGCAGCAUCUUUCUUCAGCAUUUUGAAGAUUGGUUCACAUAUUACCGUUGACUGCGCUAUAAAACAGCUGAUAUAAUUUAGGCGGCCUAGAAAACGCAUCACAUCCUCCUUGCUCUUCGGCGGUGGCAGGUCCUGAAUAGUUUUGAUCUUUGAUGGGUCUAACUCAAUGUCGUGGUGACUUAUGAUGAAACCCAGUAACUUUCUAGCAAGGACUCUGAAAGCACAUUUCACAGGAUUCAACUAAAGAUUGUACUUUCGUAGUCGGUCGAAAAACUUCCUUAGGUCUGCUAUGUGAUCUGAAGUUCUCUUAGAGUUGAUGAUGAUAUCAUUCACGUACACCUCUAUUUCUUUGUGUAUCAUAUCAUGGAAAAGAGUAGUCAUGGCCCUCAUGUAGGUUGCUCCAGUGUUCUUCAAACCAAAUGGAAUCAUUUUGUAGCAAUACAUUCCCCAUGGAUUGAUAAAGGCUGUCUUUUCGGCGUCCUCUUCACCCAUCCAAAUCUGGUGAUAUCUUGCGAAGCAAUCCACAAAGGAUUGGAGUUCAUGCUUUGUGUAGUUGUCGAUCAGUAUGUGUAUGUUGGGUAACGGUAAAUCAUCCUUAGGACUUGCUCUAUUCAGAUCUCGAUAAUCAACGCACACCCUGACUUUCCCAUCCUUCUUUGGAACCGGUACAAUGUUGGCUAGCCAAGUUGUGUACUUGACCACCCGAAGGACCUUGGCUUUGAUUUGCUUGGUAACCUCUUCUUUUAUCUUUAAACUCAUAUCUAGCUUGAAUUUCUUGAGCUUCUACUUUACCCGCGGACACAUAGGGUUGAUAGGUAGCUUGUGAGCCACUAUGGAUGUGCUUAACCUAGUCAUGUCAUCGUAGGACCAUGCGAAAACAUCCUCAUAUUCCUUUAGAAACCUGAUGUACUCUUCCUUCUCUGAUGGUGAUAGAAGAAUGCUAAUGCGAGUUUCCUUGACUGUUUCAGAAUUCCCUAAGUUAACCGCCUCAGUUUCUUCCAGAUAGGACUUUGGUUUAUUCUCAAAAUUAUCUACUUCUUUGAAAAUUUCCUCAGGUAUUAUAUCAUCUUCCGAAUCACUUUCCUUAUGUUAUGUUAUCUCAUUACAUGUCACAGUUGUAGGUUCAUCAGGAUAUGUAAUAAUUAUGCUGAAAAAGAAUGUAGAAAGAUAAUAAUAUGAAUAAACGAAAAAGCAAUGAUGCAUUAAUUAAAACUAUCAAACAAGUACGACUCGAUAUUUCGAGUAAUUAUUUCAAAACAAAACACUAAAAAUGUCUUAAAUACCAAAAAUAAUUUUAAAAUGAAUCAUGCUAGUUCUGCCAAGGCUACCCAGGUGCUCGGCGAGCCCGGGAUGUUGCAGCAGUCCAGUUCCUGAGAACAGCUCCUUCUCCCACUGUUUGAAUGGUAAGGUCUUCCUCCUCCUCCCCCAAGAUUGCACUGCAGUCCAUAUUUUCCUUGUCCAGAAAUAGCUUCCUCAUACCGUCCAAAACCUCAUCUUCCUUGGAUCCCCAAAUCACAUCAGUCUGGCGGAAUGUCUGGUGCACCGGUGGUAUGGGUUGUUCCAAUGGAUAGUAAACGUCACGCCAUGACAGUAUCCAAUCAUUAUAUUCUUGCACGGUGUAUUCAUAUCUGAGACCAAAGGUUGUGCCAUGAUAUUGUGGUCGUAUUGGUUCUGUGAUCCCUUGAAGCUUUGGACCAAGUCCCUUGCCCGGUUCAAACCCUAACCACAUCAGUAUGCUCUCUAUCUUGUUGCUCCACCAUCGCUCUUUCUCGAUUACGUUUAUCCGCUCAAUGCUGUGAUAUAUUUCUCCUCCCAAUUUCCUCUUAUUCUCGAUAGCUGGCACAUCUUGUUGGUGUAGAUAGGGUUACUUCCAUCUCCAUGAAUAAUCACCUCUUGAUGAUUCCACUCAAACUUCACAGCUUGGUGCAGAGUAGAAGCGAUUUCCCCAGCUGCGUGUAUCCAUGGUCAUCCCAGUAAUAAGUUAUAAGUAGCGGAUAUAUCUAGCACCUGGAAUUCACCGUCGAACCAAGUCGGGCCCAUCUAUAGAUCCAGGUUGAUCUCUCCGAUGGUGGCUCUCUGAGACCCAUCAAAUGCCUUCACGUUCAUACUUCCCAUCCAUAUCUCAUGCAGGCCUAUACCCAGUCUUCUCAAAGUAGUCAGAGGGCAUAUGUUCAGACUUGAACCCCCGUCUAUCAGAACCCUAGCAAUUAACUUGUCUUCAUAUUGCAUAGUAAUGUGCAAUACUUUGUUGUGACUCAAUCCUUCCGGAGGUAGCUCAUCUUCAUGGAAAGUAAUCUUGUGACUCUCCAGUAUCUGCCCCACCAUGUUCGCCACAUCUCCACUAGUGAUACCGGUAGAUACAUAAGCUUUACUUAACACCUUCAUCAAGGCAUUCUUGUGUGCAUCUGAGUUUUGCAACAGUGAUAAGAUGGAUAUUUGGGCAGGAGUCUUGUUUAAGUGAUCGACAACGGAGCAUUCCCUCGCCUGCACCUUCCUCCAAAGAUCAUCAGUGUCUGUCUCCAUAAUAGGUGGUUUCGGUGCGGUCUCUUUACUUGUUCCUCAAAGAAUUUUAGGUCUGUAAACCCUGCCGGGUCUAGUCAUUCCUUGUGCAGAUCCUGUCUCUUCCAUUUUGGCUUUUCCUUUUCUCCUUGCCUCCGCCACAUAAUCCCAUGGGACAGCAUCAGACUUAUAAAACGGUAUUGGAGCUACCAUCACAGUGAAGGGCGUAGCUACCUCGACCCCGAAUGGCACCUAGGUUUGCACCACAAUUGGAAAGAGGGUGACAGGAGAUGUUUUGGGAGUGUCACCCUUUUGGAUAAGCCCGAUGGAUCCUUCCUGAUCCUAUUCUUCAUCAGUUUCUAUCACAUUUAUUCCCUCACCCCUGUGAUCGGGAAGAGGGUUAUGGCGGACAUUUGGCGUGGACUCAUUUGCUUGUAUAACUUUGAUUUCAAUCAGCAUCUAGAUAUUGUCUUUCAAAAUGAGGCAUUCCUAGAUAGCAUUACCCUUCAUGCUUGAGUGAUAGGCACAAGUCUUGUUUGGGGCUAUGGGUUCGGCGAUAGGGGUGUAUUGUCUGGGAACAAAGCUAGGCAAGACACUUACCUCAUUCUGCAACCAAAUCAAUAUUAUACUACAGCUUUUUCUUUAGAACAAGCCUCCAAACCAACCGAAUCUAGCAAAAUAUCAAUCAAAUAAUUCAAAAUAAAAUUUAGAAACUACCCGCGAACGAAAAAAGUUCAAUCUUUAGCUAAAUUGAAAAAACGUCAACAAAAUCCAACCCCAGGCCCGCUUGGUCAAAACCUGGGAUUCGGACUAAAACUCGAUUAUCCAUUCACCCCCGAGCCUGGUUAUGUGAUUUGUUUCAAAAUCCGACCUCAACUUGAGGUCUAAAUCUCAAUUUUAUAAAAUUUCAAAAUUCUAUCCAAAAACCCUAAUUUCUACCAUGACAUUCCUAGAUUUGAUUUUAAAAACUCAUGAAAAGUAAUGAGGAAUAGAUAAAAAAAAAAGUGGAUUAGAGGUUCUUACCAAUGAAUUUGGGAUGAAAAAGUUCUUCAAAAAUUGUCUCUAGAGUGUUUGGGGUUGAGAAAUGGUGUAUAAUGAGCUAAGUCCCAAUUUUUUCCUCUUUUACCCAGCUGCACGUGUCGCAUUUGUGAACACUUGUUCGCAGAUGCAAUACCCGCAAAUGCAGAACAGUGAUCGCAAAUGCGAUCAGUGCCUCAGGUCCUCAGAAGUUGCAAAAGCAACAAAAGUCUCACAAAUGCGAGGAGUCCCCUCAUCGCAAAUGCGAAGCUUAAGCUGCCAUCCCCCAGUACCUAAUCACAAAAGCGACCACCCACUAAAUGCAAAUGCGAAAAUUUUCAUCGCAAUUUGCGAAGACCCAGUCCCCAUCCCAUGCUCGCAAAUGCGAUCUCUUGGCCGCAAAAGCGAGGCUCAUAAAUGCGUGCCAAACCUUACAAAUGCGAGAUCUGCAACUGAACACCAGCAACUGGAAUGCACCAGCAAUUCCAAACACUUUCAAAACUCAUCCAAGCCCCUCGGUCUCCAAGCGGAACUUGCACGCAAAUCAAAAAAGAUCAAAUAGAGCUAGAAAAAGUCUCAAAACAUAGAAAAGAAAGCUAGUACUCAAAACGACCAAUCGGGUCCUUACAAAGAAUAUCGAAAUCACGAACAAUUUACGGCGCUGGAAAGUAAACUAGCGGAUCUUCGACGUAUAUGAAAAUCAGGACCAAAUAAUUCAUAGAUUCACUUAGGUAACUCUCUAAAAUUCGGAUUAGGAAUCUUGAUACAUUACAGCUUCAGAUUUGCGCGCGCUCACCAAAUAGCUUGUAUUUUGAUGUAGGAAGCUCGAAAUCAAGCACUUCUUGAUCCUUUGCAGACUACACUUCAGAGGCUACAUUUACACCAAAUAUUAGGACUUAAAUCACUCUUUGCUAUUUUCUAUGAUAUUUUAAAAGUUAGCUACAGGAUCUGAAUUUUCUGUUUCAAUUUUGGACAUACUUCACGAAUUUUAAUCUUCUUCUUCAAUUCCAUUCGUGCAGCGUAUACAACCUUGACUUCCAACAAACAAGAUGCAAUUUUGUGACCAUAAGAAGUAGCACCCUCAUCUUGAAAUCAUGAGCGACGAGCAAAAUCAGCUCGAUAAAGUUCUUACCUUGGAGGUUCAUCUUCUAGUGAUCGCGCCUUCCCUCUUGUUAGAAAGUUGUCAGUCGCAUCUCUUCAUCUUACAGAAUGGUGGAUAAGGGAGGCCAAAGUUGUUAUGGGCGACUUUUUGGCCAAGGUCACUAACAUGAAGGUCCUUAUUUUGACGUCCACAACACAUCGGGAAGCCGCACCAUCCAAUUUUCUCAUCGUGAUGGAUGUUUCAACUCUUAGAAUGUUCCCCCUUCCGACUUUGGCAAGGUUCGCUACACACCCGGCUAUUGUGAGUGGGUAGAAGAUGUGCUCCCCCACCAUAAAGAUGCUCUGGAACAUGUGAAGGUCUACCAUGCCAUAUACGCUUCAUUUUUUACGGACGACUAUAAUGACAACGUGCCUCAAGCCUUUUGCAAUCUUUGGAGUCCUUCCACCAUCACACUUUCUACCUUCAUCGGACAAUUAUCCAUAUCAUUAUGGGACCUGUGAAUGAUUGGAGGCUUUCCUGUGCAUGGGUCCUUUUAUGACGAAGUAGUUCAUUCGGCGAAGGAGUUAACGAAAAUGGACCAUCAAGCAAAGUCAUUCGUCCCAAAAAGUUGCUUAUACUUGUUUUCAGCAUUCUACAAACUUGCAAAAAGGGCACUUCAUGAGGUCUUCGUCCAUGAUUGGGUUGGGUUCUGAGUUAGAGGACCGAGCAGGUAUGCUAUACCUCCGCAAAAGGCAUCAAAAGGGUGGACCACCAAGACAAGGCAGAAUCAUAAUCCUUCUGGACAUAUAGACAUAAACUUCGAACCAUAAACAAACAAGGAGAAUGUCCCCUUCAUCGAGCUAGGUGUGGAGGAGUCGCUUAGAAACGAGACUAACUUGGCGACUUUCCUUGCAUGCUGGCUCUGCAAGCUUGUGCUUCCAAAUAAGAAUGUUGAACACAUAUGUGCUAGUGUUUUCAAAGUCACAAGCUUAAUGGCUCAUGGAGUAAAAUUCUCCCUGGCAAUCCCGGUCCUCGCGAGCAUAUCCGUGGCUUGAGGGAGGUCUCCACUUCCACAGACCUAGUUGCAAGCGAUGUAAUUUGCCUGAUACACUAUGUGUAUGGAUGGAUGGGAGAGUAUUUUGAGACCAAUCACCGUGUUAAUCACACACACCGAAGUUUACCCUUAUGCAAGAUCUCUAGCGAGAAGAUGGUUAAGUAUUUCAACCUUUCGAAUUCUCGAAGGUUGUUCCAACGUGAUGAUGCCUGUCAACUCCACAAUUUGGAAUUACUACGAGGCAAAGAGUUACAUUUUACAGACAAUGGUGAACUUUCAGACUCGUUCAGCAAAGUUUUUAUAUCUCUUCACUCUAGCUUUCUCACCCUUAGGCAUGAUGCUACUUUUAUAGCCCUCACAAGUUUAAUAGGCAGUUUGGUUUUUGCCAAGACAUCCUUGGAGACCUUAUGAAGCAACCUUAUGAUGGUACGUUGCAAGAAUUAGUGCAACUUUGGUAUUCAUCCACAUGUCUUGGCACCUCCUCAAAAUUCGUUGUACCACUACGUCUAGUAGACGAUGUGCCUUUAAUGACUCGUAAGUAUGCAGACUGGUGGCUAAGGGUGGCAUGUGAGCCGGUUAGGACCGGGCCCGGCCCAGAACCGCAAGCCUAAAUGGGCAGUGGGCCUAAACGGUUCUAACCGGAUAGGACCGGGACCGUGGGAAGGUGGGUUGGGUAGUGGGCCGGUCCCAUAGGCGAGGCCCGCGAGACCGGGACUAGCUGGGAAGUGGGCCGGUUCAAGCGGUCCUAAACGGGCCUAUCUGGGCCCAAGGGCUAUUUUUUAAAAAAUUAAAUCUGCCACAUUAUAGCCUUUAUGGCAUUUAAAAUAUGGCCGUUUUACCUGCCAAAAUAGCCGUUAGCUAUUUAUAAAUAGGCAUUUAACCCCUCCCCCCCUCCAACUUUGUUUUAAACCCAGUUUUUUUAUAAUUACACUUUUUCUUAUAUNNNNNNNNNNNNNNNNNNNNNNNNNNNNNNNNNNNNNNNNNNNNNNNNNNNNNNNNNNNNNNNNNNNNNNNNNNNNNNNNNNNNNNNNNNNNNNNNNNNNNNNNNNNNNNNNNNNNNNNNNNNNNNNNNNNNNNNNNNNNNNNNNNNNNNNNNNNNNNNNNNNNNNNNNNNNNNNNNNNNNNNNNNNNNNNNNNNNNNNNNNNNNNNNNNNNNNNNNNNNNNNNNNNNNNNNNNNNNNNNNNNNNNNNNNNNNNNNNNNNNNNNNNNNNNNNNNNNNNNNNNNNNNNNNNNNNNNNNNNNNNNNNNNNNNNNNNNNNNNNNNNNNNNNNNNNNNNNNNNNNNNNNNNNNNNNNNNNNNNNNNNNNNNNNNNNNNNNNNNNNNNNNNNNNNNNNNNNNNNNNNNNNNNNNNNNNNNNNNNNNNNNNNNNNNNNNNNNNNNNNNNNNNNNNNNNNNNNNNNNNNNNNNNNNNNNNNNNNNNNNNNNNNNNNNNNNNNNNNNNNNNNNNNNNNNNNNNNNNNNNNNNNNNNNNNNNNNNNNNNNNNNNNNNNNNNNNNNNNNNNNNNNNNNNNNNNNNNNNNNNNNNNNNNNNNNNNNNNNNNNNNNNNNNNNNNNNNNNNNNNNNNNNNNNNNNNNNNNNNNNNNNNNNNNNNNNNNNNNNNNNNNNNNNNNNNNNNNNNNNNNNNNNNNNNNNNNNNNNNNNNNNNNNNNNNNNNNNNNNNNNNNNNNNNNNNNNNNNNNNNNNNNNNNNNNNNNNNNNNNNNNNNNNNNNNNNNNNNNNNNNNNNNNNNNNNNNNNNNNNNNNNNNNNNNNNNNNNNNNNNNNNNNNNNNNNNNNNNNNNNNNNNNNNNNNNNNNNNNNNNNNNNNNNNNNNNNNNNNNNNNNNNNNNNNNNNNNNNNNNNNNNNNNNNNNNNNNNNNNNNNNNNNNNNNNNNNNNNNNNNNNNNNNNNNNNNNNNNNNNNNNNNNNNNNNNNNNNNNNNNNNNNNNNNNNNNNNNNNNNNNNNNNNNNNNNNNNNNNNNNNNNNNNNNNNNNNNNNNNNNNNNNNNNNNNNNNNNNNNNNNNNNNNNNNNNNNNNNNNNNNNNNNNNNNNNNNNNNNNNNNNNNNNNNNNNNNNNNNNNNNNNNNNNNNNNNNNNNNNNNNNNNNNNNNNNNNNNNNNNNNNNNNNNNNNNNNNNNNNNNNNNNNNNNNNNNNNNNNNNNNNNNNNNNNNNNNCCCACUUAGGCCCGCUUGGGCCCACUUAACCCGGGACCGGCCCACUUAACCCGGAUAGUUCGUGGUCCCGGUCCCGAGCCGAUUCCAACAAGAAGCCCGCGAAGCCCGGGACCGUUUAGGACCGGACCGCAUAGGACUGGCCCACUUAAGACCGUGCCCGCGAAGCCUACUUAUGACCGGGACCGGCCCACAUGCCACCCUUAAGUGGUGGCCAACCCAUCGACUAGAUCCUUCAAGAAGGAUCCUGCACAUCAUUUUGAAAAGUCCAAGGCAAGAUCAGGUCCCCGUGCGAUCCAAAGGGGUCCCGAGUCGACUGAAAAUAAAGUUAUCUUCUUCUUCAAAAUCCAAGACGAAAUCAAAUGAUCUUUUGCAAGCAGCCCAGACCCUUUCCAAGUUCAAUGUCGUGAAGGAUGUGGAUGCACCCACGAAAAAUAAAGUUAGGCAUCUUUCAUUAGCCUCGAAGGCGGCUACUACUGCCCCCAAGGUAACCAGCAACACUUGCAAAAGGAAGGAGCAUCUAGUUUCGCCGAACAAGGGCAGUAAUAGAGCGCCCAGCCUCGUGCCACUUUGUGAUGAGAAGACUCAUCCUUCCAUUUCGCCAAAUAGUAUUGGAGAUUUUACUAUAGCUUCCAAUCCAGUAGAGCGUGAAUCUAGCGAAGACCGCCAUUGGAACAGUCCGAACAAGAAGGCGAAGGAGUUGGGUGAUGAAUAAUACGGUACUGAUGUCUUAGAUACCAUUCUUAUUGGGGAUGAUUCCUUUGUGGAUGAGGAUACCGGCUUAACAAUGCCAUUUCCUGAAUUACCAGAACAAGUAAAAUUUAUCUUAUUUGUAUUUCUAUUACCUUCUUUUUUUUCCUUUUUCAAUACUAACAUCUUCUUCUUCUUUUUUCAGUCAAAUCUUCAGUAAUUAUGCGGUGAUGAUCUUGUAGAUGACAUUAUUGAGGGUUGAUUUGCAGGCGUAGAUGAUCUUGGUAUGACCGCAAGAGCUCCCAUAACCCUCUUAACGGUUCUAAGGAUCAUGUUAUGGGUGUAGCCUAUUCGGUGGAGUUAACUCCACCAAGGAAGCCAUAUUCCUCUUCUCCAGGUAAUAGAAAGCUCAUCCAACCAGUUGUGACGAAUGAAGUUAUGGAUGCUGCAAUUAAAGUCAUGCGCCCGAAGUCGUUCAGGCCUUCCUCAUGGUUGUUGCAGCCUGGUGCUUCAAGCAAAGAGUCGCAUGGGACUAUUUGUCGUAUCAAACAAACUUUUAUUAUUGUGAUGUGGUGUAGAUUGUGAGAGUGGAUUAAAGAGUUAUUUGUAUAUUCCUCGAAAAACUUUAUGAACUUGAAGGAAAGCAUCAGUUUGACUCUUACGGAAAUACGGAGAGAGAAUAUCAUUGGUACUUCUAUUUUGGAGGAUCUUGUUGAAGCUUUCUUUAAGACGUAUGCAGAGUAUGAUGCUUUAAGAUCAUCCAAGAUGACUAAAUAAUCCCACAAAGUGUCACUCUCUGAUGCACAAAAAUGCUUCAAUGAUGCGAAGCGGGAAUAUGGGAAGGCAAAUGAGUCCGCUGAGAAACUUCAUGUGGCUCUUGUGAAUAUCAAACACAGUUAGUAUCCUUGACCUCUAAAAAUAAGAAGAACAUCGCACUCCUAGAUAAACAACAAGAGAAGUUGUCCAAAAGUAAAAGGAAAAUCACAGUUACCGAAGGCGAGGUUCAUACCAUUGAGGCGAAUGUCCCGUUGUCUGAUGAUGAAGCAGAAAAAUUGUCCCUCCUGAAAGAUGUAGUUAAGACGAGUCUCCAGCAAAUCCUUAGCUCCAAAACUUUUCAAUAGUUAUAGAUUCUCCUUUUUCACUUAGGAUUCCUGUUUAUUUUAAGACGAAUAUCAUGUAUUGAUAUUUCUUUUCUUAGAGCAAUAAAAGUAUUUACUUUUUAUUUGCACUGUCUCAUUAAAUUUUGAGUUCCCUACGAAUUAUCAUAUGGAUGAAUUAUACAAAUAUAUUGAGGUUCAAUUGAGAUAUACUAACUGGUGUAGAAGUUCUGAAGAAGUUCAUUUCUACAAAUGUAUGAUGCUCAGAUUCUUUGCUUGGUCGAUUCUCCCUCUUUACUCUUUUGUAUAAUUCCUGUUUUGGUGUGUUGCUGGUCAGAGAUGCACCUUCAGGUUUGUUCAUUACUGCUUCCUAGUGCUACUAAGAAAGGUGAUUGAACGACCAAAGUUUCUUUUCCAGUUUUUGUUUGACCAGUAACUUGAGACAAGUCAAAAUUAUGUCAUCCUUGAUUUCAAAGCUGCUAUGCUUGAGCUUGAAUGUACGACCUGUUGUUAUUUAACAUCUCUGUUUAAACACAAAUGAAGUGUCGCACUAGAAAGUCAUGAACCAGAUCCAAAGUGGAGAGUGAAAAUUGAUGGACAAGUGCUGAAACUCCAAAAUGCAGCGAAUCUUUGAGAACUAGCUAGGUUGGUUGUAUAGAGAUUAGCUACUAGGCAAAUGGCUACUGCAUUUGAAGUUAUGUAAUACCUUAACUAUGCUUCUGAAAAGAUUCUUCAGUUUUCAUUGCUUUGAAAAGAUGAUUUUCUUUAUUUCUGUUACACCCAUCCACCCAUGGAUCUUUUGAUCGAAUGGCUAUUCGCAAUUGCGAGCUAGGGAGUUUAUCCCAUGAAAACACACUUGUGUAAGGUCAAACUUAAUUAUUAUGCUUGAUGAGCAGAUGUUAGAAUUUAUGUUGUGUUCCUAAGCAUUGCGAGCUUCUGUCAUUGUUCAAAAGGGCCUAAGCAGCGAAGAGUUCGUCAUAUGGUGUAGGAGAGGUAGUAAAGAUGCCUUGAUCAUGUGCGGUGAAGUUACUUUUUUUUUU